CAGUCUACAAGUAUAAGUCACCACCACCUCCUUCCCCAAUUUACAAGUCACCAUCACCACCUUCUCCAGUAUACAAAUUACCUCCACCACCUCCUCCAGUUUACAAAUCUCCACCACCAUCAAUUUAUAAAUACAAGUCUCCUCCACUACCUCCUCCAGUGUACAAGUCAUCACCACCACCUGCUUACAAGUCUCCACCUCUUCCAGUUUACAGUUCCCCACCACCACCAAUCUACAAGUCUCCACCUCCACCCUACCAUUACUACUACAAUUCUCCUCCUCCUCCUCCUCGUCACUACUAAGCAAUUGUAUGCAAGUUUUUGAGGUAAUAACGCUUAACCAAUAAACUAACUUUCGCAUGAUAAAACUUAUCUCUAUCAAGACAAACUGCCAUGUGUAUCAUGCCAAAUACGUACACCUAGAUCCAUGAAAAUGAAUGGUAGAAAAUUUUCUUAAGAACUAAGGAACAGCAUUAGUAUUCCCUCUGCUUCCAAAAACUUGUGUAUUAAAUAGAUUAAUGAAUUGUUUAACAUGCUCAUUUACUUGAAAAUACACAAUACCCAUAACCUACUGAAUUUUUUGCAGGAAAAGGGAAAGACAAUCUGUGUUUGAGAGCUUCAUGAAGAUGUUGAAGAAUAAGAAUAAAAGCCCAAUGCGAGGAUGUUUCAAGUUUUUCUAUGUUUCCACUUUAAUUUGUAAAUUGAAUUUUGUGACUCAAUUAAUUCCCUGUUUGUGGGGUACGUGUUGUUUUACGUACCAUGCCGUACAGGUUUGUAAGGAUUUCUAUCCUAUUGGCAAAAGUCGGUUCCAUACAAUUAAUCAAUUCAUUUCACUUCUAUUGGCUCUACUAUUUAUGCAUGUUACGACAUUUUUUCUCUCUUUCCCUUAUAUUUUGCCUUUAAUAUUAUUGAAUCAAUAUUAAUAAUGGGCCUUUUUCUUAAAAUUAUACUAUUAUACAUAGGUUGUUUGGUCUAACGCUAAAUUCAUGUUUGUCUUUCUUUUAUUCCCUUUACAUCUCAAAGUAUACUAUAGUUUGUAAUCAUUGUGGUGAUGAUAUUGCCAGCUGGUACUUAUAGUUUAAGGCAGAGACAUGAUAUUAACAACUAUCUCAUUGAAACAUAAAGAAAAAUCAUGACAAGUGUGAGUCUUGGUUAAUGCACAAUUUGUUAGUGGAAUUUAUAUUUAUAAAACUCAAAAAAAAAUUUUGACAAUGCUAUUACUAAUUAAUUAAGGACUUUAUUGCUAUAAUUUAUCGCUUACUAGUUUAAACUAUAAAUGAUCUCAAUACUUUUCUCCAUGAUGUCGAUUUCUUUAGAUUACGAAAGGGAAAAAUUAGUGACAUAUCCCUUACUGAUUACAACAUCAGCAAAAAUUAGUUAUAAAUUUUUCCGGUGGUUUUAAAUCCCUCGGGCACUAAGAUUUUUUGCACAUCGAGUGAAUUGAGGAACAUAGGCAAUUCGUUCUGCAUACCAAGUCCUUGUUUAAGAUGCAAGUACUAAAAUGCAUCCACUUCAUUAAUUUGGGAAAUUGCCAUAGUUUUUUUUAAGCAUUUUGAUUUUUUACAUGAUUCAAAAUUUUCUUAUUGGAUACAAUCACUUUGUAUCAAGAACAUUUUCAAUCAUCCUUUUUAUCUUCUCAAUAAGAAAAUAAAAAUUUAUUCAUGCUUUUCUAACAUAUCCAAUCAUUGAUCUGAAAAAUAAAGAAUUUAAAAAAAAAGACAUUUUCAAUCAUUGCUUACAGGGCAACUUCCCCAUGUGAACCUCUUCAAACAAAGCCAAUAAUAUGAAGGAACAUCUAAAUACACUUUUGCCCUAAAGGCUGGUUGCCUUGGGGUCAAAAUUUAACCUUCGGGAGUAUAAUUACCCUGCCAAAUUUAUUAUUUUUUAUGGGUAUAUAGUUCCAAUUUUUCCUCCUGUUAAGCUUAUAAAUAUAUUAUCACCCAGAAAAUAAAGGAAUCUUGAAUACUAACAUGUCCAUUUACUUGAGUUGUCAUCAAUUUGGCUACUUCGAUUCCAUGAGGGCAAUCCAAUUCACACUUGCUAGAGAAAAUGGUGAUAAAGGCACAAAGAAAAUUAUAUGUAAUAUUGAUUGGUAGUAACCACCUUGUAUUGAUCCCACUAUUGUGGAUACUCGUGCUCUUAUGAAAAAAAAUUAUAAAAAAUUAGCAAAAUUUAAAAGAACAAAGUAAAUUUAUUCGUACAAAUCAGUCAAAGAAGUAGCAUUUUAAAGACCAUGAUGAAAUUAAUACUUUCAAGGUCUCUAUUAGGAAGACUUCCUUUGUUGGUGAAACUACACUAGGUACGGUUACAUGCAGAUGUUUACUGUUUUGGUACCUAAUUUCCUUGCCUUGAGUUGGGUGCAGAUGUUUAUAUUACAAAUAGAUGGUAUCAUAAAUUUGUUGUAUUAACGUCUGUUCUUUUUUUUCUUCCUUAAGUUUUUUUCUUUAUUCUCGUGACUUCAAAAAUACGAACUCAAGAAAUUAACUGCUUCGACAUUAAGGUAUAACUUCACAACUAGAGCCAAUAGAAAUCGUCAAAUGAUUUUUUGACAUCCAAAUUAAGCAAUAAAUUUUGUUUUCAUUUCACGGGAGAUUUUAUAGUUUCUUUUGGGUAUCAUACCUACAAGUGAUAAUUGUCAUUGGAUAGUGAAAGAAGUGUUAAUGAUUGUAAGAUUAAAUAUUGAAAAUUUAAACUAUUUAUCUUUAUUGAGAGAUACAACUUAAAGAAUCGUAUCCAAAAGAGACUAUAGAAUUUUCUCUGUUUUUCAUCAUCUGUAGACAUAAACUUUCUACGGUUGAUGUACUAUAAGGAAAUUUUGCCUAUACAAUGUGAUACCAUUUUUUCAAAAAGACAAGAUGGCAAAUUGCCCCCUUGAACGGAAAAAAUCAUGAUCUUUCCUCAAACUAGUCUACUUGUCAAUUCUUUGAAAAAGAAUACACUGCCCCGCAGAAUUCUAGAAAGUUAGGCAAAACUAGACAAGUUGACAGCUAUAAUCAUACCCAAGAUCAGGAACAAGCAGUUACACAUUUCAAAAUUCGCUGCUGCAACAACUAAUUUGAUGACUUACAACACUAAAUGGUCAAACUUUGAAUGGCAAUGAAUCUUUUGUUGUACAUCAUGAUGUAAUUUUCAUGUUACAUAAUAGAUUGAUAUCUAUGUUCUUUAAAUUAUCAUAAUAAUUAAAUUUAACUGAUAAAAAGAACACAUAUCAAUACACAAAAGUGUGUAACGUGAAUGUUAUAUUAGUGUAUUGCAGAAGACCUAUAGUCUCUUCACAUCUCUUCCUGCAUCUUUUAUGUUUUAUUACCUCCAAAAGCCUUUACAGGGUCUUUACCCUAAAAAUCAAUUCACCGACUCGCAUUUGAUGUCAGAAAUUCUUAAGACGAAUUCUACUUUACUCAAAGAUUGACUGUUAAUAAUGAGACAACGACCAUUUUGUAUUAUUACACCGUCCUUCUUGAUAGGCAAAAGAAAUAGAGAGGAAAGCGGGUCCGUAUAUGGUCUUUUAUUCAUAGAUAAUACAACAUUACGCCAUCGAGCAUUCACACAAUAUUUCAAAGUCAUUGCAUGCCUAAAGCCCCGCUUGAUAAUCCAAUUUCAUACUUAAAUUUAAUGGAUUCAAAUUUUAACACAUUCAAAUUGUUUGAUAACAAAAAAUUGAACGUCUAAAUUAAUUAAGUAACACUAAAUUUUUUAGACAAAACUUGCUCCCAAAAUUAAGUGAUAAGCUAUAUCACUUAUCACUGAAUGUGAUAUGCAUUCAAAUGUAUUAUAUUUAAUACUUAAUAAUUUAAUAAUUUAAUGGAUUCAAAAUUCAGAUUUUAGAUUUCAGUUUUAUCAAACAUACCCUAAGUUGCAAAAUAAUACCAAAACUUGUUAUUAUAUAGCUUGAGAUUCAAAAAUUUAGAGCAUAAUUCUCAACCUAACACAAUUGAAUAAUGAAUAUUCACGAUUGUCAAAUCUAUCAAAGUACAAUUUGAGGACAACCCAUUCCAACGCGUACACAAUUUCUCACUUUUCUAAAGUUGUUGAGAGCUGUUAAAAGAGAUUUACCAUGUUUACAUCUUCCAAGUCUUGGGAGUAAAAAAUGAAGCCACCGAGUGCUAUAAAAAGGGGGCUAGAGGCUGCCUAGAAGCAUAUCAGCCUAAAACAAGAAUUUGUAGUAACAAUGGGGAGCAAAGCAAAAGCAACGGGGUCUAGGCUGACUCCUCUUCUUACCACUGUUUUAGUGGUAUUUGUCGCCCUUGGCUUGCCCUUGGAAACUGCAGCUGAUUAUUACAAGUAUUCAUCUCCUCCUCCUCCUCCUUACCACUAUUCUUCACCACCACCUCCAGUGUAUUCACCUCCACCAACCCCUGCUUAUAAGUUACCCCCACCAUCUCCUCCAGUUUACAAGUCCUCACCACCACCUUACCACUACUCACCACCUCCGGUGUAUUUACCUCCACCAUCUCCAGUUUACAAGUCACCACCACUACCCCCUCCGGUAUACAACUCCCCGCCUCCACCAGUGUACAAAUACAAGUCCCCACCACCACCUCCUCCAGUUUACAAAUCUCCACCGCCACCAGUUUACAAAUACAAGUCACUCCCACCACCUCCUCCGGUAUACAAGUCUCCUCCGCCACCUGUUUACGAGUACAAGUCUCCUCCACCACCUCCUCCAGUGUACAAGUCCCCACCACCUCCAGUUUACAAGUACAACUCACCUCCACCUCCUCCCCCAGUUUACCUGUCUCCACCUCCACCCUAUCAUCACUACUACGGUUCUCCUUCUCCUCACCACUACUAAGCAAGUGCAUAAGUUUUGAGGUAAUAAUACCUAUCCAAAACUUUAUCAACACAAACUGCCAUGUAUAUCAUGCUAAGGACGUACACUUGAUCCAUGAAAAUGACUAGUAGAAGAUUUUUUUUAAGAACCAAAGAAAUACAUUAUUUUUUCGGUCUGUUUUCAAGAAUUUGAGCAGUAUACAGAUUAAAGAGUGUUUUUUUUUUUGUAAACUUGCUUGUCAACUUAAAAAUGCACAUAGCUGAAAGCCAACUGAAUAUUUGCAGGCAAAGGAGAAGGCAAUCGGUGUUUGAGACCUUCAAGAAGAUGUAGAAGAAUAAGAAUAAAAGCCCAAUGCGAGGAUGAUUCCAAGUUUCUACGUUACCAUUUCUACAUCUAAAUUGACUUUAGCUCCUGAGUUCCAUGUUUAUGGGGUUUGUACCGUUUUACGUACCAUGCAGUACAUGCUUGCAAGGUUUUCUGUCCUGUUGGCAAACUGCAGGUCCAUAUAAUAAAUGAAUACUAUUUACAUUACGACACUUUUCUCUUUUUCUCUUAUAUUUUGUCUUUAAUAUUGUUGAUCAUUUUUUUUUUAUCAAAAGCAUCAAAUGCUUAGGUAAUUUGGUCUAAUGCUAAUUGUUUUACUUUUAUUUUUCACCUACACCCCUUUUCAACUCAAAGGAUGCUAUAGUUUGUGAUAAUUGUUUAAGACCGAAGCAUGAUACUAAUAAAUAUCUCAUUGAAAGUCAAGGAAACUAACAUUAGGAAAAGUUUAAAUCUUGAUUUGAUGAAACUAUUUAUUCGUGGAAUUUAGAGAUACAAAACUCAAAUUGUGACGGUGUUGUUGCUAAAUUAUUAAGGACAUUAUCACCAUUAUUUUUCCCUGAUCACUAGUUUCAACUGCAAUGAUCUCAAUCUUUUUGUGACUAAUUCUUUCCUUAAUAAUUUAUAAAGACAAAACUCACAAAGAAUAUGUGACUAAUUCUUUCCUUUCGUCUUCUAAAGAAAAUGCCAACUGUUAGUUUAUCAAGGGGAAAAAGGAUCGACAUCAGUUAUUAUUGAAACUAGUAAGGAAUAAAUAAUGGUGAUAAUGUCCUUAAUAAUUUAACAACAGCACCAUCAGAAUUUGACUUUGAGCUUCGGUCUUAAACAAUGAUCACAAACUACAGCAUCCUUUGAGUUGAAAAAGGAAGUAGGUGAAAAGAAAAGUAAAAAAUACAAUUAGCAUUCCCUCAAAUUGUAGAAAGUUAGGUAGCAUUAUAGACAAGUUGAUAGCGGCAAUUUUACAUUUCAAACUUCACCUAUUCAAUAACUAAUUCGAUGGCUUGCUACAUGGUCAAUCUUUGGACCCCUUCCUGCCUCCAGAUAUCCCUUUCCUCAAUCAGGGGCUUCUACAAUUACCAGUUUCAAUUGUAUGGUAUAGUGUAAAUAUCAACAAAUUAGAUGUAGAUGCUAACAUAAUAAAUGUGAAUGCUAAGACAGCAACAUACAAUCGAACCUGCAAUUGUAUGAACCCCAAUCUCGCUUCCUAGUCCACCAUCUUUCUCUAGGUAAUAAUCUCCCUUCUAAUUUAUUCACAAAAUGCACCUUUCAUCACCUCCAAUAGCGUCGACAUGAUCUUUACCCUAGAAGACUAUUCACCGACUCUCAAUUGACGUCAGAAAAUCUAAGAGUAAUUCUACUUUACCCUAAGAUUGAUAUCAACAAGACAAGGACAAUUUAGAAUUAUUACACGCCUCUUCUUAAUAGGAAAAAGAAAUAGAGAAGAAAGUCAGGCCAGGUCUAAUUUCUUUUCAAAGGCAAUACAACAUUACGAAAUCAAGCAUUCAUUCAUACAAAUAUUUCAUAGUCACCGGUUUGCUGAGUAGAAAAAUUUAGACAAAAACUUAAUAUUAUAUUGUUUAAGAGUUAACAAUUUAGAGCUUAAUCUCCUUGUACUUUGGAGUUAACAAUUUAGAGCUUAAUCUCCUUGUACUUUGGACUAAACUUGAACGUGAAAGGAAAUCCCAAAACCAUAUUGGGCAUGAAUUCACACUUAAUAUACCCAAUAAAAGAUGGCGACUGGUGAAAGGCAGUGGAGACUGGUGGAGAGAUUUGAGGAAUAGAAGCAGACGGAAAAGCAACAAAUUUUUGCCGAAAAACGGUCACUUUCAUGGUUAAUUUUGCUACUCUCCAAUUGUACUUGACCAAUUACAACAAUUUCAUGGAGUUUGAUACGUGAAAAGAAUUUUUUAUAAAUUUUAUUUUGAUCCAUAAUGUUAUCUUUACAUAUAUAAAACAUUUUACAAUUUUGAUUUUGGCGCAGCUAACUUUUGGUUAACAAAAAUGCUCAUGUUUAAAAAACCAGAAAUAAAACAAAACAAGAAACAAAAGAAAUAAGAGGGUAGCAUAGACAUUUUGGAUUUUUCCGUUAAUUUGGAUGAUUUCCACCCACGUUCUAAUUUAAUCCAAAACACAAAGGAAUUACGUAGAGGUUUUAAAUAAUCAGGGAGCUUCAUGAUCGAACCCCAAACCACGUGAUAGCAUACAAGAGUUCUAUUUCACUAUCGGUAGACAAAGACUUUCUAUGGUUGAUGUACCGUAGGAAAAAAUCUGCCUAUACAACGUGAUAGCAUUUUUUCAAAAACACAAGAUGGAAAAUUGCCCCCUUAAACGUGGAAAUUCAUGAUCUUUCCUCGAACAAAGAAUACUCACGCCUAUUCAAGAUGGAAAAUUGCCCCCUUAAACGUCUAUUUGUCAAUUCUUGAAAAAAGAAUACUCACGCCUAAAACACGGCCUCUUCAUCUGCAGAAUUCUAAAAAGUUACGUAAACUCUAUAAACAAGUUGAUAGGUACAAUCGUACCCAAGAUCAAGUACAGAUAGUUGUACAUUCACUGCUGCAAUAACUAAUCUGAUGACUUACAAACAUAUCAUGGUCAAUCGUUGAAUGGUAAUGAGUCUUUUGUUAUGCAUUAGUAUUAGUGUGUACACUCUAAUAGAUUGAUACUUAUACUCUUUAAAUUAUCAUAAUAAUACCCUUAAUUAACUUUAACUCUUAAAAAGAAUACGUGUUAAUACACGAGAGUGUGUAACCUGAAUUGUUACUUAUACAUUAGUGUGUAAUAGAUAGGGAUGGCAGUGAGGGCGAGUGCCCGCGGGGGGCUCUCGGGGCGGGGGCGGGGGAGAAUUUUUUCCCCCCGUUUAGAAACGGGGCAGGGGACGGGGGAGUAUACCCCCGCCCCAUCCCCCGCCCCGCCACCCGCAAAAAAAAUUAUAUAUAUAUAAUUAUAUAUAAUAUGUAAUUUAAUUAGUUAUAAACUUAUGAUAAUGAUAUUAUUAGUUAGAUGUAUUAUAUAAUGUAUAUUAGUGUAUGUAAUAUAAUUAAUAUUAUCAAUUAUACGAAUAAUUAGACAUGUCCACUAAUAGAGUUUAUUAAUUAGUUAUACUAAAUUUACUAAUACAUUUGUACUAAAUUUCUAAUUACACUUAAUAGAAUAACACUUUUUUCUAAAAAAAAAAGCACAAACACAAUAAUGAAUUAGUGAUUGUAUUUGUACCAAAAGUGAAAACUUAACUAUUUUAGUUGUAUUUAUUUCAUCAUGUUGGAUUGUAUUCAAAUAAUUUUUGUUUGAUUGUUUUUAUGAGUUUCAAUUGUAAAAUUAAAAUGAAUAAUAACUUGAUGAUGUGUUGAUAUUUUAGUACUUGAUUAUUUAUUGAUUUAACUAUAAUAAAAUUUUAUUUUAUUAAAAUUUAACUAUAAUAAAAUUUUAUUAACCAAACGAGUUAUUAAUCCCGCGGGGGCACCCACGGGGGAAGCGGGGCGGGGCGGGGGAGUGGGAGGCGGGGGACGGGGCGGGGGUGGGGGGAGUUGUAGGUAGCGGGGCGGGGGAUGGGGGAGGGGUCCCCCGCCCCAACCCCGCCAUCCCCCGCCCCGUUGCCAUCCCUAGUAAUAGACUGGCAAGCAUUGUGGUGGUCAUUGAGAACUUACUGGAGAAAUAGUCCUAUAAGCUGUUCAAUGAGCAAUCACAACUUGCUAAUUGGAUGACUAAUAUAGCUCUAGCUGUAAUGUUUUAAUUAAAUUACAUCACUAACGUUGGGAUGACUUUUUAACCAAAAAAAAAUGCCUUAGUUCAAGCUUUUCCCUUUAUUGUGCAUUUUUUAAAGCAUUUGAUAGGCACUGCAAAUCUGUCAUUUUGGACAUUUUAUUAUUGACUAACAAUGAAAGCCGUGACGUCUACCCAUAACCAACACAAGAUUAAAUUAAUAUUAGAAAAAAUAAUUGAGUAAUUGGAAAAAAAAAAAGAGACUCAUUUUCAUUGAAACCCACCGACAAACUAAACGUGUCCAUGGCUUUUGAAUAGUGCAUUCAACGUUUAAUUGUAUAGUCCAGUUCAUUGCAGAUUACAUGGAGUAAAGAUUGUGCUCUUUCCUUUUUCACCCCUUUUGGAAUCGAUACUGUGGAGAAUUGGGUUUUUCCCUUCUUUUUUUCUUUUCUUUCCUUCUGUGCUUUGCAAAACAUAGGUAAAAAUAUGAAAUCCGAAGCAUUCUUUAAUUGGGAUUAAGUAUUGUUGUUGAAAUUAAAAAGAAAAAAGAAAGAACAACAAAAUUCCCAAUCUGGGUUGAUUGUUGAGCUCUAGAUUGGUUGCAUCGUGCUUCCAUAGAAGCUCUCUUAGUGUGAUACACUGCUUUCAAUCAGUUUAACACGGGAAAAAAAAAAAAAGAGAUGAAAAGCAAAUUUGGUGGGGAUAAUUUCAGAAACCUCCCCUGAAGAUUUUGACUAUUCUACUGGUCUCCCUUCAGAUUUUAAAAAUUACACUAAUCUUCCUUGAAGUUAAUUAUCUUGUAACAUUUAAAUUCAAUCAAUAAUUUAAAAAAUGAUAUUAUGAGAGAGAAAAUAAUGAUUUUAUCAUUGCCCCCCAUCUUACUACAUUAUUUAAUUAAUUUAAUAGCAACCCACACAUUAAAGAAAAAUAUUAAAAUUUGUUGUUUAUCAUUAAAGAUCAAAUCGCUUAUAACAUCAAAUAAUAGUAUAUUAUUUAUAUUUUUCACUCAAUAUAAUAUCCAAAUUACUCUUUUCAAUUACAUACCCAUUGUUAGACAAUCAACAACAAAUAACCAAAAAAUUUGCAACCAAAAUAUUACAAAAAAAUAAACUUUAACAUAUAAAUAUUCUUAUCAACAUAUUAAAGUUAGUUACUGAAAUUUUUAUGCUGUUAAACUUCACUCUUUUUGGUUACAGAUUUUUUUGAUUAUUUGUUAUUAAUUAUGUUUGAUGAUGGAUUUAUAAUUGAAAAGAACAAUUUGAAACUUACAUUAAGUAAAAUAUAUAGAGUGAUAUACUAUUUUUUAUAACAUAUGUGAUUCAAUCCUUCUUGAUAGGAUUGGUAAUAGAGGUAGAGGGGGGAGCCGGCUGCAUCCGGUCUACUUUUCAUAGAUAGUACAAUAUUGCGAAAUCGAUCGCAUUCACGCAAUAUUAUUUCCAAGUCAUUGCAUGGCUAAGCUGCAAAAAAAGUACGAACACAUGUUAUUAUAUAGCUUACGAUUCAAAACUUUAGAGCAUAACCCUCCACCUAACACAAUUGAAUAAUGAACAUUCACGUUUGUCAAAUCUGUCAAAGCACAGUUUGAGGACAACCCAUUCCAACCUGCAAAAGAUUUUUUACUUUUCUAAAGUUGUUGAGAGCUGUAAAAAGACUUACCAUGCUUGCAUCCUCCGAGCCUUGGGAGUUAAAAAUGAAGGCACUGAGUGCUAUAAAAAGGGGAAUAGAGGCUGCCUAGAAGCAUAUCAGCCUAAAACAAGAAUUUGUAGUUAAGAUGGGAAGCAAAGCAAAAGCAAUGGGGUCUGGGCUGACUCCUCUUCUUGCCACUGUUUUAGUGGUGUUUGUUGCUCUUGGCUUGCCCUCACAAACUGCAGCUGAUGAUCACUACAAGUAUUCAUCUCCUCCUCCUCCUUACCACUAUCCCUCACCACCACCACCAGUGCAUAUACCUCCACCUCAUCCUGUUUACAAGUACAAAUCUCCACCACACCCCCAGUACAAGUAUAAGUCACCACCACCACCUCCUCAUCCGGUAUACAGUCUCCUCCGCCACCACACACCCAGUUUACAAGUACAAGUCACCACCACCACCUCCUCAUCCGGUACCACACCCAGUUUACAAGUAUAAGUCUCCUCCGCCACCAGUUUACAAAUACAAGUCUCCUCCACCACCACCUCCAGUGUACAAAUACAAGUCUCCACCACCACCAGUUUACCACUACAAGUCUCCACCACAGUUUACAAAUACAAGUCUCCACCACCACCCCCAGUUUACAAAUACAAGUCUCCACCACCACCAGUUUACCACUACAAGUCACCACCACCUCCUCCCCCAGUUUACAAAUACAAGUCUCCACCACCUCCUCACCACUACUAAGCAAUUGCUUCUGAGGUAAUAACACUUGUUCAAUAUACCCACUUCUGCAUGAUAAAGCAUAUCUCUAUCAACACAAACUGUCAUGUCUAUCAUGCUAAGUGCCUUCACUUCAUCCACCAAAAUGACUGCUAGAAAAUUUUUUUUAUGUUACCAAAGAAAGGCAUCAUUUUUUCCCUCUGUUAUCAAGAACUUGUACAGUAUAUAGAUUAAAGAGUAUUUUUUUAACUAGCUUAUCAACUGAGAAAUGCAUAUAGCUGAUAGCCAGCUGAAUAUUUGCAGGCAAAGGAGAAGGAAACCAGUGUUUGAGACCUUCUUGAAGAUGUAGAAGCAUAAGAAUUAAAGCCCAAUGUGAAGAUGAUGAUUUCAAGUUUUUCUACGUUACCAUUUCUUUAUCUAAAUUGGUUGUAGCGCCUUAGUUCCUUUGUUUAUGGGAUUUGUAUCGUUUUACGUACCAUGCAGUACAUGUCAUGUUUGUAAGGUUUUCUAUCCUGCCGGCAAACCGCAGGUUCCAUGUAAUAAAUCAAUACUAUUUAUAUUACGACACUUUUCUCUGUUUCUCUUAUAUUUUGUCGUCUUUAAUAUUCUUAAUCAUAUUUUUAACAAAAAUAUUCAAACACUUAGGCAAUCUGGUCUAAUGCUAAUUGUAUGUUUUACUUUUCUUUUUCACCUGCUCCCCUUUUCAACUCAAAAGGAUGCAAUAGUUUGUGAUCACUGUUUAAGACGGAAGCAUGAUACUAAUGAAUAUCUCAUUGAAACUCAAGGAAACUAACAUUGCGAAAAGUGUAAAUCUUGAUUUGAUGCAACUAUUUAUUCGUGGAAUCUAUAGUUACAAAACUCAAAUUCUGACUGCGCCAUUGAUAAAUUAUUAAUGACGCUAUCAUCAUUAUUUAUCCCUAACUAGUUUCGACUACAACUGAACCCAAUAUUUUCCCCAUGAUAAAAGUUUUUGACUAUUUUACUGGCCUCUCUUCAAAUUUUAAAAAUUACACUAAUCUUCAUUGAGAUUAAUUAUCUUGUAACAUUUAAGUCCAAUUAAUAAUUAAAAAAUGAUAUUAUGAGAGAGAAAAUAAUAUAAUUUUAUCAUUGCCCCCCAUCUUGCUAUAUUAUUUAAUUAAUUUAAUAGCAACCCACACAUUAAAGAAAAAUACUAAAAUUUGCUGCUUUUCAUUAAAGAUCAAAUUGCAUAUGCCAUAAAACAUAGUAUAUCAUUCUAUAUGUUUCACUUAAUGUAAGAUCCCAAUUGUUCUUUUCAAUUACAAACCCAUUGUCAAUAACAAAUAACCAAAAAAUUUGCAACCAAAAUAUUACAAAAAAAAACUUCAACAUCAUAAAUAUUCUUACCACCUCUAGUGCAUUCACCCUCAUAAAAUAAUUCAAGACCCUACUGUCAUAAAAUGACUGAUCAACUCCCGUAAACCUAAUUUGACAACAUUUAAAUGGAGAACUUUAGCUAAAAGAAUUAUGGUCAAGCUAAAGAAAAAACCAGUUAUUUUCCAACAUAUGCAAUCAUUGAUCAGGGAAAAAAAAAAGAGCAAAAAGACAUCUUCAAUCAUUUAAUAGCUUACAGGGCAAAUUAACCCCUAAGCGAAAACUGGUUGCUCUAGAAUCAAAAUUUUACUUUAGUUACCCAGGCAACUUUUUUGUUGCUUUUUUUUUUUUUUUCCUUUAGUUUUGCCCCCUCUGUCAAGCUUAUAAAAUUAUUAAGAUAAUAAAAGUGCCUUGAAUAGUAUUAAUAUAUCCAUUGACUUGAGCUGUCGUCAGUUUGCGAUUCCAUGAGGCCUUUUCAAAGUACUCAGAAAAUGGGGAGUCAUGAAAUCCAUUUGUUCUAUUCAUUGCUAAGAUGCUUUUCUCUAUAAAGAGACUUCCUAACGAAAAUACUUUGUAGAUUUCUUUACUCCAAGUGGUGCAUGGAAAAUUAAUAUUUUCAAUUAUCAAAUAAAAUUCCCUUUUUUCGGCGUAGAUUUCAUCCAUCCAGCUGUUAACACAUUCUAUAAAUCCGAAUUGACUAAUCUUUUCGUUUCCAUUUUCCAACUUGCGAAUACGGCAUAUAGUGUCUGCUAAACACUAUAUAUUCUCUGCCAAAUAUGAAUACAUAUCACUUUUCUGAGCAAGUGCAGAGUCAUUAUCAUUUUUAUUCCCACCUAACAAAUUAGGGAUAAAAAAGUUAAUAAUCUUUACAUGCUAUCAGGUCACAAGUUAAUAAUCUUUUAAAGAACAUGUUAAAUUAAUUUAUUGGUAUGAAUAGUAGUCAAAGAAGUAUGUUAAAGUUAGUAAUCUUUAAAAUAAUAUGUUAAAAUCAUUCGUACAAAUUAGUCAGAGAAGUAGCAUAAACACCGCGAUGCAAUUAAUACUUUCAAUCUCAAGGUCUCUAUUAUGGAAAUUUGCAUCGGUCAAUAUACACUUGGCAUAAUAUAAUCUCCCAACUCAUUUCUUUACAAAUGCACCUUUAAUCACCACCAAAAGGUGUGGACAUGAUCUUUACCCUAGAAAACUAUUCACCGACAGGCAAAUUGACGUCAGAAAUACUGAGGAAUUCUAGUUUCCUUCGGGUUCAUGCCAUGUUGUAUCCUUCAACUGUAACUCGAUUUCUAAGCUGUAAUUUGUGACAUAAUAGUCCUUAAACUAUGAAACCCUUCUUACUUAAUUACAAUGGUUAAUACAAUGCCCGUGACUAGACAAGUAUGAAGCAACCAUAACAGAAAAAAAAUCCAAAAUUAGAGAAAAGAAAGAAGUUUCGCGACCACCACCAGUUUACAAGUCACCUCCACCACCUCCUCCAGUUUACAAGUCACCUCCACCACCUUACCAUUAUUCCUCACCACCACCUCCAGUGCAUUCACCCCCACCACCACCAGUUUACAAGUCUCCGCCACCACCUUACCAUUAUUCCUCACCACCACCUCCUGUGCAUGCACCUCCACCACCAAUUUACAAGUCACCUCCUCCAGUUUACAAGUCUCCACCACCACCUUACGAUUAUUCCUCACCACCACCUCCAGUGCAUUCACCCCCACCACCACCAAUUUAUAAGUCUCCCCCACCGCCUCCCCCAGUAUAUAAGUCACCACCACCACCUCCUCCAGUAUACAAAUCACCUCCACCACCUCCUCCAGUUGACAAAUCUCCACCACCACCAAUUUAUAAAUACAAGUCUCCUCCACUACCUCCUCCAGUGUACAAGUCAUCACCACCACCUGCUUACAAGUCUCCACCUCCUCCAGUUUACAGUUCCCCACCACCACCAAUCUACAAGUCUCCACCUCCACCCUACCAUUACUACUACAAUUCUCCUCCUCCUCCUCGUCACUACUAAGCAAUUGUAUCCAAGUUUUUGAGGUAAUAACGCUUAACCAAUAAAUUAACUUUCGCAUGAUAAACCUUAUCUCUAUCAAGACAAACUGCCAUGUGUAUCAUGCCAAAUACGUACACCUAGAUCCAUGAAAAUGAAUGGUGAGGAGGGCCAUUUAGGCUCGGAGCGCCCUAGGCCUAGUUCCCCACCAUUUCCUGAAGUGCCGCCUCGGGUAUUAUCCUGGAAGGCGAUCGCGGCCCAUUUACCACCUCGGCUACAAUGUCAGGUCGUAACACCGAGGUGGACAUUGAAUGACAACUACGAAAAGGGGAGAUGUGAUCUCUGACACCUGAGCAAAGGCUGCUCUGACCCGCCGCCUGAAUCUGACAGAAUGUCCCAUCACGUCUCUUCAUGGAGACCGGUCAAGUCCACCUGAUCCACUGACUAUCUCAGAUCUUUUGGGACCCGUGCAAACAUCUCCUCUCUCCUAUCAGUCCCCUAUAAAUACACGAUACUUCUACUGAAAAAGGAGAUGACCAAUUUCUGGUAAAACACACUCCACUCAUUAUUUACUUCUCUAUAUCCGAACUGACUUAAGCUUCGGAGUUAUACCGGGGGAUCCAGCCCCUUUCUUAUCCAAGCAGGUGACUUCGUCCAAGAGAGUUGCCCAAGGUAAAGAUAUUCUUCCAAUUGAGGUGACUCACUCCUGCGGGUCGAAAAUCACCUCUUCAAUUGGCGCCGUCUGUGGGAACCGCAAAGAUAUUAGAAGAUGAAGCCUGCGCGUUCUAGAAGCAGAAAAGCUCUCACUAUCGAGGCUGGGCAAAGCAAUGCAGCUCAACAAGAAAAUAUUUCUGAAGGGCAGGAGUCCCCAAGGACUCAGCCCGCAAACGAAAAAGCCAUAACCCGUAUGGCCGAGUUUGUGACCGAGAACCCCAACAUCUUUGAAGAGUUGGGAAGAUACCUGAAGAGGCAAGGCAAACAAAAGGCCGAGUCCUCUAAAAGGAUGUCAGAUGGGUCUCUUGAGGACUCAUCUGAGGAGGAGUCGGAUGGAAGGCACUUAAGCCGAAGUGCCUCAAAGCGAGCAUUUUCUAAGGCCACUUCUAAGGUAGCCUCCCUGACCAAGGCGUUUUCCCGAGGGCUCUUGGGCCGACGACCCGAGGAAGAACCUCGGCCCUUGGGAAUACCCGGGGUGGACUGCAUGAGGGCUCCACCGUUCACGGAUGAUAUAAACGAGGAAAGGCUUCCUCCCAAUUUUAAGCUCCCCGCAGUACAAUCUUACGAUGGCCGAGGUGAUCCCGAGAAUCACAUCCAUACCUUCAUCUCGGCCUUCCAAAUAUACUGCAUCCCAGACCCUGUCAUAUGUCGGGCCUUUCCAGUAUUCCUCAGAGGAACUGCUCGAAAAUGGUUCUGAGCUCUAGAACCUAGGAGCAUUUCGACCCUGGGUGAAUUAGUGGAGAAGUUUCUCCACCGAUUUGUCUCCUCCCGACCUACGACUAGGACCUCGGCUUACCUGCUCACCGUGCAGCAGAACCCGGGAGAGUCACUCCGGUCGUACGUCCGGAGGUUCCAUGAGGAAAGCGUUCAGAUACCUGACCCCAAUGAGCAGGUAACCCUCGCUGCCUUUACCCAUGGACUCGUUGCCGGGGAGUUCAAUACGGGGAUCCAUAAAAAAUACCCCCGCACACUGCAUGAAUUGUGGUUGAAGGUUGAAAAGGGCAUACAGGCCGAAGACCUCCAUCGCAUGAAGAAAGAGGUCCAAGCCACCCGUCCAAGGGCUGAGCCCAGAAAGGGAAAAGACGCUGGCCGAACUGAAGUAGGGUCGGGAAGUGGCUUCCGAAGUCCUGGCCGAGACCGCCGCAGCGUGUUCGACAGGAUAUCCAAGGGGAAGUCACCUAUUCCCGAGUCCGAGUUGACUCCUUUAAAUACUACCCGAUCUCACGUGUUGUCCGUGAUGGAACAAAACAACCUCGGCAAGGGCCCGCCGAGGAUGUUUGGAAGCAGAGACAAGAGGAACUCGAACCUCUACUGCUUGUAUCAUCGUGACAUUGGUCACGAAACUGAGGAUUGCAACGAUCUCAAGAAGGAGAUCGAGAACCUCAUUAGACGGGGACACUUGAAACAGUUCAUCCGCAGAGGUGGAGGUCACCAACGUGACGAAAACCGGCAUGACAAAUGAGGUGACCAACGCCGAGAUGAGCGGCGGAGCUCCAGAAGCAGUUGCCGACCUCCUGAGGAUCCCAGGGAGACGAAAAGGCCUCCCCCAGACGGAUCUUCGGGACAUGGGCCAACCAUUGCCCGGGUCAUUAACACCAUUGCCGGAGGUCCGACGGGAGGGGACAGUCAGAACUCCCGGAAGAGAACCUAUAAGCAGGCUAACCCGGAUCAGGCCGAGUCGAGUUCUCGCCUGUCCGAGGUGAUCACCUACGGGCUCAGUGAUCCCAUCCCAGCUGCAUCCAGCAGUCAUGAAACCUUGGUGAUUGAAGUCCUCACCAAUAACUACAUUGUGAAAAGGUCUACAUAGACCCGGGAAGUUCAGUUGACGUCAUGUACCUCCGUACCUUUGAGAGCCUUAAAAUGGCUAAGGGGUGCAUGACCCCGCUGAGAACCCCUCUUGUAGGGUUCGGGGGACACGUGGUGCACCCCGAAGGGAUGGUGACUCUGACAGUGACCAUAGGGCAUCACUCUCGCUGUAGAACCGUCCCUGUCAAUUUUGUGGUGGUUAAGGCUGACUCCCCAUACAACCUACUUUUAGGUCGGCCUACGCUCAAUGCCUUGCGGGCGGUCUACUCCACCUACCACCUGAGCUUCAAGUUUCCUACCCCAGCAGGGGUGGCCGAGGUCAGCAGCGACGUCUGUGCUGUCCGGGAGUGCUACCUCGCCACCCUACAAGCAGCCUCCCCGUCUACCUCCGGUGCGAGGUCCGAGAAGAGGUCAAAUAUCCUCUCAAUAGAUAGCAUCGAUCCUCAGUGAGCUGAGAAGGUCCCGAGGCUGGAGACUGGGGAUGAGGUGGAAGAGAUUCCCCUGGACCCCACGAAACCUGAUCAGACAGUUCGCGUUGGUACCCGAUUGCCCGGUCCUAUCCGAAGAGGUAUGAUGGACCUCCUCAGGGAAUACCGGGACGUCUUUGCUUGGGCCGCCGAAGAGGUCCAAGGAGUCCCGCACCAUCUCAUGAUGCAUGACUGAACGUCGACCCCCAAGUCCGUCCGGUCAAACAGAAGAGAAGGCACAUCGGCCCUGAGCGCAGCCAAGCUGUUGGUGAGGAAGUGGACAAGCUUUUACCCGCUAAAAUAAUCCGAAAAGUCCAAUACCCGAUCUGGUUGUCUAACUCGGUCAUGGUCAAGAAGGAUACGGGGGCUUGGAGAAUGUGCGUCGAUUUUACCGACCUCAACAAAGCCUGCUCCAAGGAUUGCUACCCCUUGCCCAAAGUCGAUACUUUGGUAGACUCAGCAAUGGGCUACGAGAUCCUCUGUUUCUGGGAUGCAUUCAAAGGCUAUCACCAAAUUGGGAUGAGUCAAGAAAACCAGGAGAAAACGGCCUUCUACACCGACCGCGGCACGUACUGUUAUACUACCAUGCCAUUCGGGUUGAAGAAUGCCGGAGCCACUUAUCAACGCUUGGUCAACCAAGCAUUCAAGUCUCAAAUCGGCCGGAAUGUUGAGGCCUAUGUAGAUGACAUCCUCCUCAAAAGCCAGACGAACUCCACCUUCCUGGCCGACUUGAAGGAGGUCCUUGACAUCCUGCGGAAGGUGAAAAUGAUGCUGAACCCCAAGAAAUGUGUUUUUGGGGUCACCUCGGGGAAAUUUCUAGGUUACCUCGUCUCAAGGCGAGGUAUCGAAGCAAAUCCGGAUAAGGUGCGAGCCAUCCAGGAGAUGUCUCCACCCCGGUGCGUCCGCGAUGUCCAAAGGCUGACAGGGCGAUUAGCCGCCCUGAAUCGGUUCUUAUCGCAGUCGGCAGCUAAAGCACUGCCCUUUUUCAAAGUGUUGAAGAAAGCUGACCAUUUCUCCUGGACGGAAGAGUGUCAACAGGCGUUUGAGCAGUUGAAGGAUUACCUUCACUACCUUCCAACGCUCACCUCACCUCGUCCGGGGGACAAAUUAAUCUUAUACCUUUCUGCUGCGGCCGAAGCGGUGAGUGCCGUGCUGAUAAGGAAGGAAGGGGUCCAAAUGCCCGUCUACUACGUUAGCCGAGUCCUCCGAGGUCCAGAGACCAGGUACACACAAGCAGAGAAACUUGUGCUAGCCCUGAUCCACGCCGCCCGCAGACUCAAGCCCUACUUCCUAGCUCACCACGUCUGCUUGAGGACUGAUCAACCACUUCGGCAGAUUUUGACACGACCAGAGGUUUCGGGACGUCUUACCAAAUGGGCCAUUGAGCUGGGGGAGUACGACCUAACUUAUGAGCCUCGCACAGCGAUCAAGGCCCAGGCUCUCGCAGACUUCGUAGCCGAGCUCACCUUUGACGAGGUGCAAGGAUCCGUCCCGGCUGCCACAUCGGCCACAGUUGAUGUGGCCACCACUGGGCUCCAGCGGUGGAUCCUACACGUGGACGGUUCGUCAACAGUGAGGGUAGUGGAGCAGGCUUGCUCCUCGAAGACCCCCAAGGAGAAAUAUGCUAAUAUGCCUUAAGAUUUGACUUCGCUGCUUCAAACAAUGAAGCUGAAUACGAAGCCGUCAUUGCUGGACUGCAGCUAGCUCGCAAGCUCGGGGCCGCACACAUCUUGGUUUAUAGUGAUUCCCAACUCGUCGUGUGCCAGAUAUUAGGUGAGUACGAAGCCAGGGACGAGGUGAUGCAUCGUUACCUCUCCAAGGUCCUCCAGUUGGCGACUCACUUCGAGUCUUUUGAAAUUCAAAGAAUACCGCUAUCGAAAAACAGAAGGGCUGACGCCCUCUCCCGGCUUGCCUCAACCUCUUUCUCUGACCUGAACAAGACGGUUCUCGUUGAAGUUCUAGCCGAACCAGGAUAUGUAGCCGAGGUAGUAUACCCCGUCUACCCUGGGGACACCUGGAUGGGUCCCCUGACUCGAUUUUUCAGCCAGGGUGAGCUCCCCGAAGACCGAGCUGAGUCACGGAAGCUCCAACGAAAAGCAGCACGGUACAUUCUCCGACAAGGCCUUUUAUACAAAAGGUCUUACCUCGGCCCUUAGUUGCGAUGUAUCACGCCCGAGGAAGGCCAGAGAAUCCUCCAAGACAUACAUGAGGGGCUCUGUGGUGCUCACGUCGGCUACAGAAUGCUGGUAAAAAAGGCUUUGUUACUUGGGUAUUUUUGGCCCACUAUGAGGAUAGAUGCCCAGGUCAUGGUCCUUUGCUGCCCCUCCUGCCAGCAUCACGCUCCUGAGCACCACCAGCCGACCAAUUUAAUGAUCCCUAUCACCUCGUCAUGGCCAUUUGAGCAAUGGGGAACGGACAUAAUUGGCCCCUUUCCCAGAGCUCCAGGCAAUUAUACCUACGUGGUGGUAGCAGUGGACUACUUCACCAAAUGGGUCGAAGCUGAACCCCUAAAAAAUAUCACUGGUGCGGCAGUCCAGAAAUUCUUCUGGAAGAAUGUGGUUUGCCGCUUCGGCCUACCCCGGGUGAUCAUCUCGGAUAAUGGCCGACAGUUCGCCGAUAAUCCUUUCAAGGCCUGGUGUGAGAACCUCGGGGUCAAACAGCAUUUCACUUCGGUGGGACACCCCCAAGCCAACGGACAAGCCGAAAACUUCAAUCGCACGCUCCUCCAUGGCCUCAAGACCAGGCUCCACCAGGCUGGAUCGUUUUGGAUGGAAGAGCUCCCCAGUGUGCUGUGGUCCUACCGAACUACGCCGAGAUCAGCAACCCAGGAAACCCCGUUUUCCUUAACCUACGGGUCAGAAGCUGUUGUUCCAGCCGAAUUCAUCACCCCGAGUCCACGAAUGGCCGCAUAUGCUGCCGAAGUCAAUGAAGAAGAACGGCGAGUUGACCUCGACCUCGUCGAAGAGAAGCGUGAUAUGGCCGCGGCCAAAGUUGCUGUUUACAAAAAUAUCGUAGCUGGCUACUACAACGCUCGGGUUAAACAUUUGCGGUUCAGUCCGGGAGACCUGGUGCUCAGGAAGAACUCAGUCAGCCGGGCUGAACCUCAGGGUAAACUAACCCCCAAGUGGGAGGGACCAUACCGUGUUGUUGAGUCCAGCCAAAAUGGAUAUUGUAAAUUGGCAUACCGAGAUGGGUCUCUGAGUGCCCCGAACUUGGCAUGCUGAAAAUCUUAAGUUGUACUACCCUUGAGGGUAUGUGCUUUUAAUCUUGAGUUAUUUCACACUUAUUUUCAUUUCAUUAUAAGUGAAAAAUAAGGGGACAAAGUAGCAGUAAAGAGGAAAACCGAAUUUAAUUAAAAAGAAAGCAAGAAUAUGAACUCAAUUCCAUUGAAUUACAUAAAAGUAGAAAGCCGAGGUCACCUUUAAUUAGGAAGAAAGCAAGAAUAUAAACUCAAUUCCAUUGAAUUACAUAAAAGUAGAAAGCCGAGGUCACCUUUGACCUCGGCCUACAAUGACAAAAAAAAAAACAAGUGCCUCUAGGCACUCCCUACCCUGACAUCCUGGCCCCCCGUGGUCGCGCCACCCGUUUCGGCACCCUGUCCACCCUCAGCUCCUCCACCGGCCUGGUCGUCUUCAGUACCAUCUAGUUCAAACUCCUGGAGCCAUUUGUUGAAUUCGGCUCGGACUUCGGUUAGGUCUUUCUCAGUCCGGAUGCCCUCAGCCAUGCUGUCGCAUAGCUCCUUGGCAUCCUCGUUAUAGUGCGAAGUGCUCUGAAGGGACUCCAGUUGUUCAGAGGGAAGAAAGGAUGCCGCGUCAUUAAUAGCCGACGUGUACCCGAACAUGAAGCUUGGCCGGGUGAGCUCGCCGAGGUCACGGAUGAAGGACUCUGACGUCCGGAAGGCUUCCACAGCAGUGACCCCGGCCUUGUCCAUGGCCUCCCUGUUUGACUGUUCUUCUUGGGCCCUCCUUUUUUUCUCCUCAUCAAGAGCAGUCACCAGGGAAUUGUUCGCGACCUCGGCCCUUUUGUUAGCCGCCUUGGCCUUGUCACGCUCCAACUCGGUUGCCUUCAGUUUUUCUUCCAACUCGGCAAUUCUCUUCUGGAGCUCGGCAGGAGGCUCAUAGUUUUCCAUGAACUUUCCAUACCGUUGAAUCAUCUCGACAAAAAAAGCCGUGGUAGAGGCCCAUGACACCGAGGCGCUCUGCAUCAACUCCCCUGCGGAGAGCUUCCUAGCAUAAGUGCUAUCUCGUGGCAGCACUGAAUGCACCAAGAGCUCCUGAGCGACCAAAGGGUUCUUGCAGCGAUCGUUGAAAUUAAUCUCCCACUCUGGACACCAGUGUGAUCCGGGGUGUCUCUUGUCCUCCUCAGCUGCCUUGAAAGGCACAUGAUGGAGUUUGAACAAAGAUGACCCCGUGACGGGGUUCUCCGGAAAUAUGGUCACACCCUGACCCCGGGGGGGAGUGGCAAUCGUGACCCAGCGAGAAGGGAUUCCCACCGGAAUUGCCGAGGCUCGGGAACCUCCCGGAGUGGCCGAGGUGUGCGAGCCCUCGCCCACGAUCACCACGGCAGGCUCGCGGUCGCCCGACGCCGCGGUGGUUUUCUUAGCCGGCCUGGAAGAGGACCCUGCAGUGUCCUUGCGCUUUUUGGGAGCUCUUUUGACCACCUCGACAUCUCCCGAGGUUAUCAGGUCGAAAAUCUUCGUCACUGCAAAGUAGGAGACGAAGUCAGUUAGAAUUCAAGAGGGAUAAACUAAAAGGGAAGAAAUGGAAAAAUACAAAGUCUGUGAAGCCUAGUCGAGAGUAAGACAGGCUGGUCAGAGCUCGUCAAGGCUCAACUGAUCCCGCCUUCCACGAGCACCACUUCGGGAAAAUCCCAGCAGUUUAUCCUGAGGCCCGACCCCGUUAACUUCUGGAAGUUACGCUCUUCUAACUUCCCUGGAGAUAUCUCCUUGAUCGAGGUGGGAGGCCUCCACCAGAAUCCGCGAGGGAAGUCAUCGGCCGAGACGAAGAAGAAGUUUUGCUUCCACUCCUUUAUUGAGUUCGGAGCAUCAACCACCAACUUCGGAACUUUGUUUCCGAAGUAGAACCAUCCUUUUUCACUUCUGCUGUUCUUGAGUGAGUAACAGCGGCGAAAGAGGUUGACCUAAGGUUGUAUCUCCUGAUGUCGGCAAAGUAGCUGGAAGCCAACGAGAAUGCGAAUAGCGUUAGGGGUGAGUUGAGUGAUUCUCACCCCCCAGUACCUCAGGCAGUCCCGAAGAAACCUCGUCGUGGGCACUCUGAGUCCGGCCUCCAGCUGUUCCUGAUAGAUAGUCACCUUGCCCUUUGGUGGCAGUGCGGCUGACUGAUGCGGUUGGGGUAUGUAAAUACUAUAAUCCCUUCUCCAGGGAUACCUGCGGACCACCUCGGCUAUUGAGGCUUGUCCCAUACCACUACUGAAGAACGGCAUCUGGCCGUAGUCGAGAGUUGCCACGUUUGGAGGAGUGGAAGGUUCUUGUACUCCCUCGUCUCUAGGGAUCUCAAUCCCGAGGUCAUCGUUGUAUAGGACCUCGGGCUGGACCUCGAUCUCCUCGGGCUGCACCUCAACCGCCUCAGCUCGGCGUGAUGCCUCGGCACCUCCACCCUCAGCUUGGUGAGAUGCCUCAGCACCUCCGCCCUCGGACGCGGUCCUUUCCUGGGAGGGGUCAGGCCUCUCUGCCUCAGUGAGGUCAGGUCUCACUGUCUCUUUGUGCGUACGAGCUGUUCUAGCCAUUGUAUCAGAAGGGGAAGAAGUGAACUUACUUAGAAUCUGCGACUGGAAGAAGAUGCCGAAGUAGACGUGGUUUAGAAAGGUUGCCGAAGUGAAAAGAGAAAGAAACAGAGUUCUGGGGUGAUUCUUGAUUUUUGGUGAAGAGUAAAACGGUGAAAAAAGACCACUAUUUAUAGGCCACCAGGGUGAAACCCAAGAGACGGCACCCUCUCUCUUCAUUAAUGGGAGGACUGUUCGUCUGCCAACACAGCUGACAGCCGUCCCUUCAGUUAUCACUCAGUCCCAUCUAUGCGGUCAUGACGUGUCCGUGUUCCGUGUUUUAUACGCUUCUCAGCUUCGGGAAGUAACGACCACGGCGGAUGCCCAUCUCGCCCUUCUCAAAGCUUGGGGGGCUUAGUGAGGAGGGCCAUUUAGGCUCGGAGCGCCCGAGGCCUAGUUCCCCAUCAUUUCCUGAAGUGCCGCCUCGGGUAUUAUCCUGGAAGGCGAUCGCGGCCCAUUUACCACCUCGGCUACAAUGUCAAGUCGUAACACCGAGGUGGACAUUGAAUGACAACUACGAAAAGGGGAGAUGUGAUCUCUGACACCUGAGCAAAGGCUGCUCUGACCCGCCGCCUGAAUCUGACAGAAUGUCCCAUCACGUCUCUUCAUGGAGACCGGUCAAGUCCACCUGAUCCACUGACUAUCUCAGAUCUUUUGGGACCCGUGCAAACAUCUCCUCUCUCCUAUCGGUCCCCUAUAAAUACACAAUAUUUCUACUGAAAAAGGGGAUGACCAAUUUCUGGUAAAACACACUCCACUCAUUACUUACUUCUCUAUAUCCGAACUGACUUAAGUUUCGGAGUUAUACCGGGGGAUCCAGCCCCUUUUCUUAUUCAAGCAGGUGACUUCGUCCAAGAGAGUUGCCCAAGGUAAAGAUAUUCUUCGAAUUGAGGUGACUCACUCCUGCGGGUCGAAAAUCACCUCUUCAAAUGGUAGAAAGUUUUCUUAAGAACCAAGAACAGCAUUAGUAUUCCCUCUGCUUCCAAAAACUUGUGUAUUAAAUAGAUUAAUGAAUUGUUUAACAUGCUCAUCUACUUGAAAAUGCACAAUACCCAUAACCCACUGAAAUUUUUGCAGGAAAAGGGAAAGAGAAUCUGUGUUUGAGAGCUUCAUGAAGAUGUUGAAGAAUAAGAAUAAAAGCCCAAUGCGAGGAUGUUUUCAAGUUUUUCUAUGUCCACUUUAAUUUGUAAAUUGAAUUUUACAACUCAAUUAAUUCCUUGUUUGUGAGGUACGUAUUGUUUUACGUACCAUGCCGUACAUGUUUGUAAGGAUUUCUAUCCUAUUGGCAAAAGUCGGUUCCAUACAAUUAAUCAAUUCAUUUCACUUCUAUUGGCUCUACUAUUUAUGCAUGUUACGACACUCUUUCCCUUAUAUUUUGCCUUUAAUAUUAUGAGUCAAUAGUAAUAAUGGGCCUUUUUCUUAAAAUUAUACUAUUAUACAUAGGUAGUUUGGUCUAACGCUAAAUUCAUGUUUGUCUUUCUUUUAUUCCCUUUACAUCUCAAAGUAUACUAUAGUUUGUAAUCAUUGUGGUGAUGAUAUUACCAGCUGGUACUUAUAGUUUAAGGCAGAGACAUGAUAUUAACAACUAUCUCAUUGAAACAUAAGUCAAAAUCAUGACAAGUGUGAGUCUUGGUUAAUGCACAAUUUGUUAGUGGAAUUUAUAUUUAUAAAACUCAAAAAAAAUUUUUGACAAUGCUAUUACUAAUUAAUUAAGGACUUCAUUGCUAUAAUUUAUCGCUUACUAGUUUAAACUAUAAAUGAUCUCAAUACUUUUCUCCAUGAUGUCGAUUUCUUUAGACUACGAAAGGGAAAAAUUAGUGACAUAUCCCUUACUGAUUACAACAUCAGCAAAAAUUAGUUAUAAACUUUUCCGGUGGUUUUAAAUCCCUCGGGCACUAAGGUUUUUUGCACAUCGAGUGAAUUAAGGAACAUAGGCAAUUCGUUCUGCAUACCAAGUCCUUGUUUAAGAUGCACGUACUAAAAUGCAUCCACUUCAUUAAUUUGGAAAAUUGCCAUAGUUUUUUUUAAGCAUUUUGAUUUUUUACAUGAUUCAAAAUUUUCUUAUUGGAUACAAUCACUUUGUGUCAAGAACACAUUUUCAAUCAUCUUUUUUAUCUUCUCAAUAAGAAAAUAAAAAUUUAUUCAUGCUUUUCUAACAUAUCCAAUCAUUGAUCUGAAAAAUAAAGAAUUAAAAAAAAAAGACAUUUUCAAUCAUUGCUUACAGGGCAACUUCCCCAUGUGAACCUCUUCAAACAAAGCCAAUAAUAUGAAGGAACAUCUAAAUACACUUUUGCCCUAAAGGCUGGUUGCCUUGGGGUCAAAAUUUAACCUUCGGGAGUAUAAUUACCCGCCAAAUUUAUUAUUUUUUAUGGGUAUAUAGUUCCAAUUUUGCCUCCUGUUAAGCUUAUAAAUAUAUUACGACCCAGAAAAUAAAGGAAUCUUGAAUAGUAACAUGUCCAUUGACUUGAGUUGUCAUCAAUUUGGCUACUUCGAUUCCAUGAGGCCAAUCCAAUUCACACUAGCUAGAGAAAAUGGUGAUAAAGGCACUUAGAAAUUUAUAUGUAAUAUUGAUUGGUAGUAACUGAUAAGUAUAUAUUUUACGUGUUUUAAAUAUGUUUUAUUAGUUAGUUUUGGUGUGUUUUAACUACUUUUAUAACUAAUUAACUAGGAAUCUAGUGAAAAUAUGCAUUUUGUGGUUUGAAGUGUGAAAAUUGUAUUUCUAUGGAUUUUAAUGGUGAAAACUUCAUGUUUUUGUAGGUUUAAUGAUUCAAUCAUCAAAUGACAUGAUUUGAGAAGAUAAUUAGAUGAUUGAUGAUGUUUUGAAGUGAUAAAAAGAGAAUACAAAGUGCAAGAGAGGAAAUGCAAUCAAGAAUAAAAGAAGAAAAUUUUUGUAGCUUUGACAUAUUGUGGUAUUUUGGCAAUAUAUUGAGCUACAAUGAUUGGAUUAAGGUGAUUCUUAAACCAUUUGAAGCUAAGAUAUAGAUCUACAUUUGGUAUGAAGGCAUCGAAACCCAUGUCAGUCAUUUUCCUUGUCAAAAUGUUGAAAUACAGAAGUGCAACUCUGUUCUCGAAAGCUAAAACAGAGCUCUGGCUAGUCGAGGGUAUUUUCAUCAUUUCUUAGUCCACAGAGCUCCAAAUGAGAUGAUUCUUAAGGCAUUAGAACCCUAACUCAAAGAGCUACAACUUUCAUAUUUUGUACAAGAGUUAGUUCGGCCUCCAUCAUUCAGAAAAUAGUAGUUGAAGUGGUGCCAAAUGCAUAGAAGUGAAAACGCGAGCUAUCAAUACUCGACCUGAAGUCGCGUAUUCCUGAGGUCAUGCAUUCUCUUCUAUUUUCUGCAACUUGCCCUGCUUUCACAUAAUUUUUUCAUCUCAAUUCCAACUAUCAAUUUCGGCUAUAUCUGAUCAAGAAAAGUGUGGAAAGUUUGAAAGACAACUCAUAGGAGUUUCAAGAGUCAAAAAUUACAAUUAGAAACAACUCAUUUGGCUCUUGAAUCCUCUAUAAAUAGAGGCCUUUGAAGAACAUUUUCACAACUUUGGAAGGUUAGAGAAACUCCACAAAAACAUAGUCUUCACUAGAAUUUCCUUAGUUCAUUAGUUAGGGUAGUAUAGUAUAGUUAGUGUAGCUUUUCCUUCUUGUAUUUAUAGUUAGGUUUGAAUGAAGAUUCAGGAGCAAAGAUAGAGAGGUUGAUCUCAUGUGACAAGGGUGAUAUCUCUUCUACUACUUUCUCUUUUGUAUUUGAUUUCAUAUUUAACUAUACUACAAAUUUGGCUUUGUUUUUUUUUUUUAUCAUGUUUAGUUAAAGUUUAUGCCUAGAGUAUGGAUGACCUUUCUAUAUCUUGUUUGUGAUAUUUAACUGGUUAUUUGAUGAUGUUAUUUUUGAGCAAGUUAUUUAUCACUUUUGCUUUUCUAAUCGUGAUUAACUGGCCAUUAGUUGUGAUUAUCUAAAAGUGUUAAGUUUGUAAUGAGAAUUGGAGUUUAACACUAGUUCAAGGAAGUGAUAAAUUUAGGGAGUUCACUCAUGAGAGUAGAGGAACACCUUUGUGACCUAAGUGACUUGUUUCAUAUAAUUUCAUAGAAAAAAUGAACUUGUAAUUAAUUUCAUAACCACGAGAGUAAGUAUGGUUUAGCUAUAUGUAUAGUUGAUUCACUACGAGAGUAGGUUUCACAUACAUUAGAAAAUUACAUCAUAACUAGUCAAGAUAAUAUCAUUCAUUUAAUCAGUAAUCUCAUUUGCAUGAGUAGUAAGGCAUUCCAUAUCUCUAGGAGGUUUUUAGUAUUAUUUUCAUUACUUUUAUGUUUAUGGUAGUCUAGAUAAUAAUGGAGUUCAAAAACUACUAGUAAUUGAAAAUUUUCCCUGUGGGAUCGACCUUUAAUACCCUAUACUCGCUCUCGACUCGUAUACUUGCGAAAAAUCACGUGUGCGGUAUUUAGAAUUUAUAAAUGUAAAACUUGACUGUAGAUGAACUAAUUGAUAUAUGUAUACCCCGCACUCGUCAGUAACCAGCUUGUAUUGAUCCCAUUAUUGUGGAUAAUUGUGCUCUUAUGAAAAAAAAUUAUAAAAAAAUUAGCAAAAUUUAUGAUAACAAAUUAAAUUUAUUCAUACAAAUCAGUGAAAGAAGUAGAAUUUUAAAGACCAUGAUGAAAUUAAUACUUUCAAGGGCUCUAUUAGGAAGACUUCACUUGUUGGUGAAACUACACUAGCACAGUUAUAUGCACAUUUACUGUUUUGGUAUCUAAUUUCCUUGCCUUAAGUUGGGUGCAGAUGUUUAUAUUACAAAUAGAUGGUAUCAUAAAAUUGUUGUAUUCACGUUUGUUCUUUUUUUUUCUUCCUUAAGUUUUUUUCUUUAUUCUCGUGACUUCAAAAAUACGAACUCAAGAAAUUGGCUGCUUAAUCAAUAUGUCAUACAGGCUUCGCUAGUGAGGUAUAACUUCACAACUAGAGUCAAUAGAAAUUAUCAAAUGAUUUUUUAACAUCCAAAUUAAGCAAUAAAUUUUGUUUUCAUUUUAUGACAUAUAAUAGUACUACUUCAUGAGAGAUUUUAUAGUUUCUUUUAGGUAUCAUACCUACAAGUGAUAUUUGUCAUUGGAUAGUGACAGAAGUGUUAAUGAUUGUAAGAUUAAAUAUUGUUAAAUAUUGAAAUUUAAACUAUUUAUCUUUAUUGAAAGAUACAAGUUAAAGAAUCGUUCAAGGGGGCAAUUUUCCAUCUUGUCUUUUUGAAAAAACGCUAUCACAUUGUAUAGGCAUGAUAGGUUCAAAUUUGUCAUUAAAUUUAUGAUUGAUUUCCCUUUUAUUCAAGCCAAAUAUUGUUUUAAUUAUCAAAUUCUACUUAUAUUUGGUUAAUUGUACUAAUUGUAGGGCGGUAGAGCAAAAGUUGCUAAAAAUAGGUGAUUUUCUGCAAAUUGGUUGUCAAGGCUGAAGGAUUUGGGAUUCGCAUGUUCAAGGCCUGUUUCCAAGUUUGAUUCAAACUCUGGACAGUUUUAGAGGAAGAUUUGGAAGAUUUGAAAUUUCAUUAUUAGUUUUAUGGUUGAAUUAGGAAUCUUGGAAUAAUUUCUUUUGUGAUUUAUUUUUCUAUUUAGGAGACUAGUUGUUAUUUAGUAGUAGACUUCAAUUAGAAAACAAAGAGAAAAAGAAGGCCGGAAUCCCGCUUGAUUAAUACCUUGGCCAGGGAACAAUCUCGGUGGGGAGGACGGCCACUUAGCCUCUCAAUUCAUCUUGCUUUUCGUUAGUUUGAGAGGAAAACCAAUUGCAACUAGAUUCAAUGGAGUCUGGCAGAAUUUCUUCUAGGAUGCGUAGCUAAAUCCUCAAUUUUUAGUCGAAGGUCAAUUUGAAAAUUCGGUUCCAAAUAUCUGUGAAAUCGAAUUAUUUUACUUAUUUCUUUUAUUUAUUGGUAUUCGCACGUUUUCUGAUUUAACUUUUUAUGAUUGUUUUGUUAUUUGAAUGUCAAGGGUCCGAUAUUCGAAUUAACUUAAUAAUCUACUGCCAAAUUAACCGGUUAAAUCCGUAAUUGUUUGAUUGAUUAAUAUCAGUGGCGACUAGCGUGAUUGGUCCCAUGUUAGGAAAACGUCUGAUCUAAUUUAAACAAACCGUCGUAGCGUGUUUGUUGAUUAGGGUUGGACUUUUCUAAUUCUUAAUUCAAUUGAGAAAUUAAAUCUCCCGGUCGUACCUAAGAUUAUUUUUUUGUUAGCGAAAUAGUUAAUGGUCGUACCUUGACUAUCGAAAAAGUAAGGAAGAGUUGAUUGUUUAUCGCGUGUACGACAACUAUAAUCAAUCUAUUAAUGAGUAAUUGAAUUAUCUUUGCAUCAGUAAUCAGUUGAAUGGACCGUGUCUGAAAAGUUGUACCUUUGGCUAGAGUCUUAUCUGUUGUUGAUUCAUUCAUAUCUAUCUUCAUGCGUUGUUUUAAUUUAGUUAAUUAGUUAUUUUUAUAAAAACCCCUCAUCUCUGGACUCUAAAAGAAAUAAAUUAUUUCUAGUUCCUGUGGAUUCGAUCCUACUCACCGCUAUAUACAAAAUUUGUAUUUUUUUGAAUAAAUAAUUAUUAUUACACAGGCUUGACACCUGUCAAGGCAAAAUUUCCUUAACUUCAUCAUCUGUAGACGUAAACUUUCUACGGGUGAUAUAAUAUAAGGAAAUUUUGCCUAUACGAUGUGAUAGCAUUUUUUCAAAAAAGACAAGAUGGAAAAUUGCUCCCUUGAACGGAAAAAAUCAUGAUCUUUCCUCAAACUAGUCUACUAGUCAAUUCUUUACAAAAGAAUACUCGCUCCUAAACAUAGCCUGUUCAUCUACACUGUCCCGCAGAAUUCUAGAAAGUUAGGCAAAACUAGACAAGUUGACAGGUAUAAUCAUACCCAAGAUCAGGAACAAGCAGUUGCACAUUUCAAAAUUCGCUGCUGCAACAGCUAAUUUGAUGACUUACAACACUACACGGUCAAACUUUGAAUGGCAAUGGAUCUUUUGUUGUACGUCAUGAUGUAAUUUUCAUGUUACAUACAUUAAUAGGUUGAUAUCUAUAUUCUUUAAAUUAUCAUGAUAAUACCCUUAAUUAGAUUUAACUGAUAAAAAGAACACGUGUUAAUAUACAAAAGUGUGUAACGUGAAUGUUACAUUACUGUAUUGCAGAAGACCUAUAGUCUCUUCAUAUCUCUUCCUGCACGUAUCAAUUCGUUUCCUCUAGAUAAUAAUCUCCCAACUCGUUUCUUUACAAAUGCACCUUUUAUGUUUUAUUACCUCCAAAAGCCUUUACAGGGUCUUUACCCUAAAAAUCAAUUCACCGACUCGCAUUUGAUGUCAGAAAUUCUUAAGACGAAUUCUACUUUACUCAAAGAUUGACUGUUAAUAAUGAGACAGCGACCAUUUUGUAUUAUUAGACCGUCCUUCUUGAUAGGUAAAAGAAAUAGAGAGGAAAGUGGGUCCGUAUAUGGUCUUUUAUUCAUAGAUAAUACAACAUUACGCCAUCGAGCAUUCACACAAUAUUUCAAAGUCAUAGCAUGCCUAAGGCCCUGUUUGAUAGCUCAAUUUCGUAAUUAAAUUUAAUAGAUUCAAAUUUUAACACAUUUAAAUCAUUUGAUAACAAAAAAUUGAAUAUUUAAAUUAAUUAAGUAACACUGAACUUUCUAAACAAAACUUGCUUUCAAAAUUAAGUGAUAAGUUAUUCACUUAUCUUUGAAUGUGAUAUGCACUCAAAUAUAUUAAAUUUAAUAAUUUAAUGGAUUCAGAUUUCAGAUUUCAGUUUUAUUACACACCCUAAGUUGCAAAAUAAUACCAAAACUUGUUAUUAUAUAGCUUGAGAUUCAAAAAUUUAGAGCAUAAUUCUCAACCUAACACAAUCGAAUAAUGAAUAUUCACGAUUGUUUCAAAGUACAAUUUGAGGACAACCCAUUCCAACGCGUACACGAUUUUUAACUUUUCUAAAGUUGUUGAGAGCUGUUAAAAGAGAUUUACCAUGUUUACAUCUUCCAAGUCUUGGAAGUGAAAAAUGAAGCCACUGAGUGCUAUAAAAAGGGGGCUAGAGGCUGCCUAGAAGCAUAUCAGCCUAAAACAAGAAUUUGUAGUAACAAUGGGGAGCAAAGCAAAAGCAACGGGGUCUAGGCUGACUCCUCUUCUUACCACUGUUUUAGUGGUAUUUGUCGCCCUUGGCUUGCCCUUGGAAACUGCAGCUGAUUAUUACAAGUAUUCAUCUCCUCCUCCUCCUCCUUACCACUAUUCUUCACCACCACCUCCAGUGUAUUCACCUCCACCAACCCCUGCUUAUAAGUUACCCCCACCAUCUCCUCCAGUUUACAAGUCCUCACCACCACCUUACCACUACUCACCACCUCCGGUGUAUUUACCUCCACCAUCUCCAGUUUACAAGUCACCACCACUACCCCCUCCGGUAUACAACUCCCCGCCUCCACCAGUGUACAAAUACAAGUCCCCACCACCACCUCCUCCAGUUUACAAAUCUCCAUCGCCACCAGUUUACAAAUACAAGUCACUCCCACCACCUCCUCCGGUAUACAAGUCUCCUCCGCCACCUGUUUACGAGUACAAGUCUCCUCCACCACCUCCUCCAGUGUACAAGUCCCCACCACCUCCAGUUUACAAGUACAACUCACCUCCACCUCCUCCCCCAGUUUACCUGUCUCCACCUCCACCCUAUCAUCACUACUACGGUUCUCCUUCUCCUCACCACUACUAAGCAAGUGCAUAAGUUUUGAGGUAAUAAUACCUAUCCAAAACUUUAUCAACACAAACUGCCAUGUAUAUUAUCAUGCUAAGGACGUACACUUGAUCCAUGAAAAUGACUAGUAGAAGAUUUUUUUUAAGAACCAAAGAAAUACAUUAUUUUUUCGGUCUGUUUUCAAGAAUUUGAGCAGUAUACAGAUUAAAGAGUGUUUUUUUUUUUGUAAACUUGCUUGUCAACUUAAAAAUGCACAUAGCUGAAAGCCAACUGAAUAUUUGCAGGCAAAGGAGAAGGCAAUCGGUGUUUGAGACCUUCAAGAAGAUGUAGAAGAAUAAGAAUAAAAGCCCAAUGCGAGGAUGAUUCCAAGUUUCUACGUUACCAUUUCUACAUCUAAAUUGACUUUAGCUCCUGAGUUCCAUGUUUAUGGGGUUUGUACCGUUUUACGUACCAUGCAGUACAUGCUUGCAAGGUUUUCUGUCCUGUUGGCAAACUGCAGGUCCAUAUAAUAAAUGAAUACUAUUUACAUUACGACACUUUUCUCUUUUUCUCUUAUAUUUUGUCUUUAAUAUUGUUGAUCAUUUUUUUUUUAUCAAAAGCAUCAAAUGCUUAGGUAAUUUGGUCUAAUGCUAAUUGUUUUACUUUUAUUUUUCACCUACACCCCUUUUCAACUCAAAGGAUGCUAUAGUUUGUGAUAAUUGUUUAAGACCGAAGCAUGAUACUAAUAAAUAUCUCAUUGAAAGUCAAGGAAACUAACAUUAGGAAAAGUUUAAAUCUUGAUUUGAUGAAACUAUUUAUUCGUGGAAUUUAGAGAUACAAAACUCAAAUUGUGACGGUGUUGUUGCUAAAUUAUUAAGGACAUUAUCACCAUUAUUUUUCCCUGAUCACUAGUUUCAACUGCAAUGAUCUCAAUCUUUUUGUGACUAAUUCUUUCCUUAAUAAUUUAUAAAGACAAAACUCACAAAGAAUAUGUGACUAAUUCUUUCCUUUCGUCUUCUAAAGAAAAUGCCAACUGUUAGUUUAUCAAGGGGAAAAAGGAUCGACAUCAGUUAUUAUUGAAACUAGUAAGGAAUAAAUAAUGGUGAUAAUGUCCUUAAUAAUUUAACAACAGCACCAUCAGAAUUUGACUUUGAGCUUCGGUCUUAAACAAUGAUCACAAACUACAGCAUCCUUUGAGUUGAAAAAGGAAGUAGGUGAAAAGAAAAGUAAAAAAUACAAUUAGCAUUCCCUCAAAUUGUAGAAAGUUAGGUAGCAUUAUAGACAAGUUGAUAGCGGCAAUUUUACAUUUCAAACUUCACCUAUUCAAUAACUAAUUCGAUGGCUUGCUACAUGGUCAAUCUUUGGACCCCUUCCUGCCUCCAGAUAUCCCUUUCCUCAAUCAGGGGCUUCUACAAUUACCAGUUUCAAUUGUAUGGUAUAGUGUAAAUAUCAACAAAUUAGAUGUAGAUGCUAACAUAAUAAAUGUGAAUGCUAAGACAGCAACAUACAAUCGAACCUGCAAUUGUAUGAACCCCAAUCUCGCUUCCUAGUCCACCAUCUUUCUCUAGGUAAUAAUCUCCCUUCUAAUUUAUUCACAAAAUGCACCUUUCAUCACCUCCAAUAGCGUCGACAUGAUCUUUACCCUAGAAGACUAUUCACCGACUCUCAAUUGACGUCAGAAAAUCUAAGAGUAAUUCUACUUUACCCUAAGAUUGAUAUCAACAAGACAAGGACAAUUUAGAAUUAUUACACGCCUCUUCUUAAUAGGAAAAAGAAAUAGAGAAGAAAGUCAGGCCAGGUCUAAUUUCUUUUCAAAGGCAAUACAACAUUACGAAAUCAAGCAUUCAUUCAUACAAAUAUUUCAUAGUCACCGGUUUGCUGAGUAGAAAAAUUUAGACAAAAACUUAAUAUUAUAUUGUUUAAGAGUUAACAAUUUAGAGCUUAAUCUCCUUGUACUUUGGAGUUAACAAUUUAGAGCUUAAUCUCCUUGUACUUUGGACUAAACUUGAACGUGAAAGGAAAUCCCAAAACCAUAUUGGGCAUGAAUUCACACUUAAUAUACCCAAUAAAAGAUGGCGACUGGUGAAAGGCAGUGGAGACUGGUGGAGAGAUUUGAGGAAUAGAAGCAGACGGAAAAGCAACAAAUUUUUGCCGAAAAACGGUCACUUUCAUGGUUAAUUUUGCUACUCUCCAAUUGUACUUGACCAAUUACAACAAUUUCAUGGAGUUUGAUACGUGAAAAGAAUUUUUUAUAAAUUUUAUUUUGAUCCAUAAUGUUAUCUUUACAUAUAUAAAACAUUUUACAAUUUUGAUUUUGGCGCAGCUAACUUUUGGUUAACAAAAAUGCUCAUGUUUAAAAAACCAGAAAUAAAACAAAACAAGAAACAAAAGAAAUAAGAGGGUAGCAUAGACAUUUUGGAUUUUUCCGUUAAUUUGGAUGAUUUCCACCCACGUUCUAAUUUAAUCCAAAACACAAAGGAAUUACGUAGAGGUUUUAAAUAAUGAGGGAGCUUCAUGAUCGAACCCCAAACCACAAGGCGAUUUACUAUAUUUUACUCUUAAAUUUUGGUUUCAUCUCAUAGCAUACAAGAGUUCUAUUUCACUAUCUGUAGACAAAGACUUUCUAUGGUUGAUGUACCAUAGGAAAAAAUCUGCCUAUACAACGUGAUAGCAUUUUUUCAAAAACACAAGAUGGAAAAUUGCCCCUUAAACGGGGAAAUUCAUGAUCUUUCGUCGAACAAAGAAUACUCACGCCUAUUCAAGAUGGAAAAUUGCCCCCUUAAACGUCUAUUUGUCAAUUCUUGAAAAAAGAAUACUCACGCCUAAAACACGGCCUCUUCAUCUGCAGAAUUCUAAAAAGUUAGGUAAACUCUAUAAACAAGUUGAUAGGUACAAUCGUACCCAAGAUCAAGUACAGAUAGUUGUACAUUAACUGCUGCAAUAACUAAUCUGAUGACUUAUAAACAUAUCAUGGUCAAUCGUUGAAUGGUAAUGAGUCUUUUGUUAUGCAUUAGUAUUAGUGUGUACACUCUAAUAGAUUGAUACUUAUACUCUUUAAAUUAUCAUAAUAAUACCCUUAAUUAACUUUAACUCUUAAAAAGAAUACAUGUUAAUACACGAGUGUGUGUAACCUGAAUUGUUACUUAUAAAUUAGUGUGUAAUAGAUAGGGAUGGCAAUGGGGGCGGGUGCCCGCGGGGGGCUCUCGGGGCGGGGGUUGGGGCGGGGGGGAAUUUUUUCCCCCCGUUUAGAAAUGGGGCAGGGGACGGGGGAGUAUACCCCCGCCCCAUCCCCCGCAAAAAAAAAAUUAUAUAUAAUAUGUAAUUUAAUUAGUUAUAAACUUAUGAUAAUGAUAUUAUUAGUUAGAUGUAUUAUAUAAUGUAUAUUAGUGUAUGUAAUAUAAUUAAUAUUAUCAAUUAUAUGAAUAAUUAGACAUGUCUACUAAUAGAAUUUAUGAAUUAGUUAUACUAAAUUUACUAAUACAUUUAUACUAAAUUUCUAAUUACACUUAAUAGAAUAACACUUUUUUCUAAAACAAAAAAGCACAAACACAAUAAUGAAUUAGUGAUUGUAUGAUAGGGUGUAAUUUUACUAUUUAUUUUAUUAUUAAUUUCCCCUAUCACCUGACCUGAUGUGGAUUAAUUGCUGGAUUCUGCUCACUUUUAGUACUUUGUAUUUAUUUCAGGGAGUAGAACGGAAAUUUGAUAACAGGUGCUAAUUUGGCAGAAAAAGAGUCCAGAUGAUAGAGCUUGCCCCAAGGGCAUUUUUGGAAAGGAGAACUUGUGCCCAUCUUGGUAAUUUGGGAGAAAAGGGAAACAGACAAAAUGGGUCUAACAUGGAUUGGAAGCGGCCGCACAGUAGCAGGGAAGAGGGCAGACGUAAAAGCAAUUGCAGGGGGGAAAAGGAGUUUUUUUAGUUUUUAGCUUAGCAUCUGAUUUUCCCUGGGAGACUUUUGUUAAAGAUUUCCUUUUGGCUGAUAUUACGCAUGGCAGAUGGCUUUUAACUUAUUCCUCCAUCUUUGACUUUUCUUCUUUAGCUUGUGGCAGUGGAUUGCUACUUACGAAUGUCAGCACUUAGCCAUUCGUGGCUUUUGAUCUUUUCUUCCUUAGAAAUUCUGAGUAACCUCUUUUCCUUUGUGCGCCAGACGAAGUGAAAACUAUAAACUUUUGUAGUUUUUCUAUUCAUUCAAUAUAUUGAGACGAGUUGGAUUCUACCAAAUUUCAACGGACAUGGCCGCUGGUUUCUCUUCAAUUUUAUAUGGGCUUUGUUCAUCCAACAUGAACUAAUUUCACCACUCUAGUCAAGGAGCAACGAAGGCUCUGAUUUGCCUAAAAAUUGUGAGAUCGUUUUAAUUUAAUCUUUUCCUUUUAUUUAUUGGUAUCCGCACAUUUCUUGAUUGCUAUGCUUAUGGUUAUUUAAUUAAUUGAUUGUCUUGGAUCCAGAUAAUUAAUUGAUCUGAUAGCCUAUUGUCAAUUAGGGCAUUUAAAUCCGUAAUUGUUUAAUUGUCCUGAAAUAGUGACAACUGGCACGAUUAGAUUCGUGCCAGGGGGGAUAUGCGGGCUAAUCUAAAAUAACCCUGGUAGUGUGUUAUUUGGUUAGAAUAGGGCUCCUCUAAUACUAAGGCAAUUGGGGAAUUAAAUUCUACGGGCGUACCUAGGAUUAUUUCUUAAUUAGAGCAGUGAUUAACGGGCGUACCUUGAUCACCGACACAGUAAGGAGGGGUUGACCGUCAUCGCUUGUUUGGCAGUUAUAACCUAUUUAUCAGUAAAUAAUUGGGAUUGCCUUGCAUCAAUGAUCAAUUAGGUGAACCAUUGUUGAAGUUACUUCUUGGUUAGAUCUUUAGUUAAUAUUACCUUGAUUUUGGUGAAUUGCCAUUUGAUUUUUAGUUGCCUACUUUAUUUUAUUUUUAAUUGUUUCCUUGCUUUAAUUGAGUUAGGCCUUUAAUUAUUGUUAUUCUAAGUUUAGUGAAUUGUGGUUUAAUUCCUAAUUAGUUAUUUAUUUUUACUUUCUUAUUUGAAUUUAUUUGCUUGUUAUCAUUCCUACGAAAUCACCCCCCUGUGUUACUUUGGAUUUCUUAAGAAACAAAUAUACCCAAUCCCUGUGGAUACGACCCUACUUGCUCUGUUCACGAAUUCAUAAUUAUUUGUGAAAAGAAAUAACCAUUCCACUCGGGUAUAUCGGAUCAAGCAAAUUCUUCGGGAACAGGGUGAAUCAAGUAACCCAAUGCACACCUAGAGUCCCUGCUCCAGUACUUGGAAUUGGGUUUUGGUCAUUUUAACUGGCAAUUAGGUUUAAUUUUAUUAUUGCACAGGCUGACGACCCUGUCAAUUUUUGGCGCCGUUGCCGGGGACUGGCGUUAUUAUUUGUUUCUUUUUAAAUUCAUUCUUUGUCCUAAUUUUCUGGUUUUCUUCUAGUGUAUGCCUCGAUCUUCUCGUACAGGUAAUUUGAUUUUUGACCCUGAGGUAGAGAAGACCGCAUGUAGAACGAGAAAGGAAACCAGACAGCUCAGAGAAGAGCACUCCAGUGCUACAUCUCAGAGACCCGAGUCAGAAGUUGAACUAACAGAUUCGUUUGGUAACACUUCGAGUGACUCUGACCAGGAGGAAGACACCAUGGCUAAUGCACGAACAUUAAGGGAGUUGGCUGCUCCUGAUUUAACUCAGCAGCCUUUAUGCAUUACUUUCCCCACUUUAAAUGAUAACAUUCCAUUUGAACUAAAAUCUGGUCUGAUUCAGCUUUUACCCUCUUUUCAUGGUUUACCAGGUGAAGAGCCGUAUAAGCAUCUGCAGGAGUUUGAUGUCGUGUGUAAUAGUAUGAAACCCUCGGGAAUCACAGAAGAGCAGAUAAAAAUGAGGGCAUUCCUCUUCUCCUUGAAAGAUUCUGCGAAGGACUGGCUGUACUACCUGUCACCAGGUAGCAUCACCACGUGGGACCAAUUGAAGAAAAAAUUUUUGGAUAAAUAUUUUCCUGCGUCCAGGGCUGCAAGUCUAAGGAAAGAAAUUUGUGGGAUCAAGCAGCAUCCAGGGAAGUCACUUUAUGAGUAUUGGGAACGGUAUAAGAACUUGUUGCGCAGGUGCCCCCAACACCAAAUAAGUGAGCAAUUGAUCAUACAGUAUUUUUAUGAGGGGCUCCUUUUUAGAGACAGGAGCAUCAUUGAUGCCAGGGGGGAGGGUUGGGAUGGGUGGUACGGGGGGAGGGAGUGUAAGCAAGAGGUCUCGGGUUCGAGUCCUCCCGCUUACACACAAAAAAAAAGAUGCUGCAAGUGGAGGGGCACUGGUAAACAAAACCCCUCAGGAAGCACGGGAGUUAAUAGAGGGGAUGGCAGAGAAUUCACAACAAUUCAGUACAAGAGAGGAUGUCCCAAUACGUAAGGUGAAUGAGGUAGAGACACCCUCUAUGCAGCAGCAGCUAACUGAGUUGACCGCGUUUGUUAGGCAACUGGCUGUGAGAAAUGCAUCACAAGCCAGGGUGUGCGGGAUUUGCACUGGUAUGGGUCAUUCUGCAGACAUGUGCCCAAUGAUUCAGGAAGAAACUGCAGAACAGGUGAACAUGGCUGACCACGCGCCCGCGCCAAGGAAGCAGUACGACCCUUACUCAAGCACCUACAACCCCGGGUGGAGAGAUCAUCCCAACCUCAGUUAUGGAGAAAAUAGGCAGCCCAACAUUACACCGAACAGGCAGUCUAACUUUGUGCCAAAUAGGCCACCAGGGUACCAGCAGCAAUAUCAACCCCGACCACCUCCGUCCCCAAGCUCUGGCCCAUCUUUGGAGGAGAUGAUGAAACAAAUGAUGACAACUAUGGCUCAAAAUCAGCAAAUGACGGAGGCAACCAUUAUGCAAAAUCAGCAAAGGACGGACUCCGAAAUGAAGGAUAUAAGGAAUCAGAUAAGUCAAAUGGUCACAACAAUCAACCGUUUGGAUUCCCAGAACCAAGGUAAAUUGCCAUUUCAGCCCGAAUUAAAUUCGAAGAACGUGAGCGCAAUGACCCUAAGGAGCGGGAAAGAAAUUCAGGGGUCUGAACCUGUGAUCCCUAAGGAUAAGGAUGAGGAAAAGAUCGAAAAUGAGCUUGAAAGGGAGGACAGCAAUGGUGCAGAUCUAAAGGUACUUCCUGACCCAAUAAUUACAGCUAAAACUAACCCGCCUCCUUUUCCUAGCAGGUUGGAAAAAUCGAAAAAAGAGGAUAAGGAGAAGGAGAUCUUGGAGGUUUUUCGCAAGGUUGAGAUAAAUAUCCCCCUCUUAGACGCAAUCAGACAAGUACCAAAAUAUGCCAAGUUCCUAAGGGACUUGUGUGUCAACCGAAGGCAGUUGAGGGAAGAUGAACGGGUUAUUGUUGGGGAGAAUGUGUCAGCAGUCCUGCAGAGAAAGCUCCCACCAAAGUGCGGGGACCCAGGUAUGUUUACUAUUCCCUGUAGGAUAGGUAAUACUGUGAUAGAAGGGCCAUGUUGGAUCUGGGAGCAUCAAUUAAUCUCAUACCUAAAUCUAUCUAUGCUUCUCUAAAAUUAGGUCCAUUAAAAGAAACUGGAAUAAUCAUUCAAUUAGUUGACCGAACUAAUGCAUAUCCUGAUGGGUUGGUUGAAGAUGUGUUGGUAAAAGUUAAUGAUUUGAUGUUUCCAGCUGAUUUUUAUGUACUUGAUAUGGAUGAUGAUCACUCCCCUGAUCCCUCACCUCUGUUAUUGGGUAGACCCUUUAUGAGCACAGCACAGACGAAAAUUGAUGUUAAUAAGGGUAUCUUGUUCAUGGAGUUUGAUGGGAAAAUUGUGCAUUUCAAUAUCUUUGAUACUAUGAAAUAUCCCUCAAACUCCAACUUUAGCACAGUUUUCUCUGUGAGUGCUAUUGACCCUGUAGUGCAGGAAGUGUUUGAAACUGAUGGCAGGGAUGAGUUGGAGGUGGCUUUGACCAAGCACCUCGAGUUGGAGACAACUCCUGAGGUGGAAUGGAGCGAGGACCUAAAAUGCACAAUAGGUGCAUUACACUCAUUGCAGUCCACCACGAAAAGGUAUGAAGUCUUACCUAUUUUUACUCCCGAACCUCACCAGAGGGUGUUGCCAUCUGUGGUGCAGGCACCUGUACUAGAAUUUAAACCUCUAUCAGAGCACCUGAAAUAUGCAUAUCUGGGUGAUAAUGAGACACUCCCGGUGAUUAUCUCAUCGACACUGUCAAAAAUCCAGGAGGAGAAACUGAUCCGGGUCCUUAGAGAGCAUAAAGAGGCGAUAGGUUGGACAAUCGCAGAUAUUAAGGGGAUCAGCUCGGCCAUCUGUAUGCACCGGAUUAGACUAGAAGAGGAUGCCAAACCUGUUAGGCAGGCUCAAAGGAGGCUCAACCCCCUAAUGAUGGAAGUUGUAAAGAAAGAAAUUUUAAAAUUGCUAGAUGUGGGGAUUAUUUUUGCAAUAUCAGAUAGCCCUUGGGUAAGCCCGAUCCAGGUAGUCCCAAAGAAGGCAGGGGUGACGGUGGAGGCAAACCAAACGGGUGAGCUCGUGCCAGUGCGCAAACCCACUGGAUGGAGGCAGUGUAUAGACUACCGUAGGCUAAACGCCGUCACCAAAAAGGACCAUUUCCCUCUCCCUUUCAUUGACCAAAUGGUUGAACGUUUAGCUUGUAGAGCUUAUUAUUGCUUUUUGGAUGGAUUUUCAGGAUACUUUCAGAUAGCAAUUGCUCCAGAGGAUCAAGAGAAGACAACCUUCACGUGCCCGUUCGGGACCUUUGCUUAUAGACGAAUGCCAUUUGCGUUGUGCAAUGCACCUGCAACAUUCCAGAGGUGUAUGGUAAGUAUUUUUUCUGAAUAUGUGGAGAAAAUUAUUGAAGUUUUCAUGGACGAUUUCAGUGUGUAUGGUGAUAGUUUUGAUACGUGUUUAGAUAAUCUGAAAUUGAUCCUGAUAAGGUGUAUAGAGACUAAUCUUGUGCUUAAUUGGGAAAAAUGUCAUUUUAUGGUUGAGCACGGGAUAGUCCUGGGUCAUAUUGUAUCGUCUAAGGGCAUAGAAGUUGACAAGGCUAAAAUAGAUAUUAUUUUUGCAUUACCUUACCUCGCGAGUGUGCGGAAGGUGCGUUCUUUUCUUGGACAUGCAGGUUUUUAUCGAAUGUUCAUCAAGGAUUUUUCAAAAAUUGGAGCCCCGUUAUUCCAACUCCUACAAAAGGAUGUGACCUUCGAAUUCGAUGAUAAGUGUGAGGAAGCCUUCAACAAGUUGAAAGAAUUGUUGACCUCACCCCCAAUUAUCCAGCCCCCUGAUUGGAGUCUACCAUUUGAGAUCAUGUGCGAUGCCAGUGAUCAUGCCGUAGGGGCUGUAUUGGGGCAAAGAGUAGGGAAGGCAGCUCACGUCAUCUACUAUGCAUCCCGAGCAUUGAAUGGAGCCCAAUUGAAUUACUCCACUACUGAAAAGAAGCUUCUUGCAGUUAUUUUUGCUUUAGAAAAAUUCAGGUCAUAUUUGCUAGGUGCUAAAGUAAUUGUAUUUUCUGACCAUGCAGCAUUAAGGUACCUAAUGACCAAGAAAGAUGCCAAACUGAGGCUCAUUAGGUGGAUAUUGCUACUGCAGGAAUUUGACCUGGAGAUACGGGAUAAAAGGGGCUCAGAGAAUUUAGUAGCUGACCAUCUGAGUCGUAUACCCGUUGGAGAGGAUAAUGAACCAUUGAGGGAUGCGUUCCCUGAAGAGCACUUAUUUUCUUUAAAUUCUCAGUUGCCUUUGUAUGCCGAUCUGGUCAAUUAUUUGGUAACUGGUAAUUUUCCUGCAGGUUGACCAAAAUCGAAGAGGGAUAAAUUGAAGAGCGACGCCAAGUAUUUUAUUUGGGACGACCCGUACCUAUGGAAGAGGUGUGCAGAUCAAGUGAUGCGGAGAUGUGUAAGUGAAAUGGAAUUUCAAUCGAUUUUAGCUUUUUGUCAUACUUUUGCCUGUGGAGGUCAUUUGGACCCAAGAGAACUGCUCAUAAGGUUUUAGAAAGUGGAUUUUAUUGGCCUUCAUUGUUUAAGGAUGCCUAUGUGUUUUGUAAGUCAUGUGAUCGCUGUCAAAGGGUAGGUAAUAUACCCCGUAGAGAUCAAAUGCCCCAAGUCCCGUUGAUUUUUAUUGAAAUUUUUGAUGUCUGGGGUAUAGAUUUCAUGGGGUCUUUUCCUACUUCAUUUGGUUUUUUAUAUAUUUUGCUGGCAGUUGAUUAUGUGUCUAAAUGGGUGGAGGCUAAGGCCACUCGAACUAAUGACUCGAAAGUAGUUGCAAAUUUUGUCAGGUCUAAUAUUUUUGUGCGAUUUGGAAUGCCUAGUGCUAUUGUCAGUGAUAGGGGAACGCACUUUUGCAACAAAAUCAUAGCUGCGUUGUUUCGCAAGUAUGGUGUACUCCAAUGGGUCUCAACGUCGUACCACCCUCAGACCAAUGGUCAAGCGGAGGUGUCGAAUCGAGAGAUCAAGUCUAUCUUGGAGAAAAUGGUGCGCCCCGAUAGGAAAGACUCGAGUCAAAGGCUGGAGGACGCACUUUGGGCCUAUCGGACGGCGUACAAGACUCCUAUAGGGAUGUCACCGUACAGGUUGGUAUUUGGGAAGCCGUGUCACCUUCCAGUGGAGUUUGAGCACAAAGCUUUUUGGGCGAUAAAGUAAUGCAACAUGAAUUUAGAGGAAGCCGGUGCCCAACGAAAGUUGGAUUUGCAAGAAUUAGAAGAGAUCCGGAACGAGGCUUACGAAAAUGCACUAAUUUAUAAGGAGAGAAGCCGGAUAUUUCAUGAUCAACAAAUUUCAAGAAAAUCCUUUGAAGUUGGUCAGAAGGUCCUACUAUACCAAUCCAGGCUCAAGCUAUUCCCAGGUAAACUACGUUCCCGUUGGAUUGGACCUUUUCUUGUUACUCAUGUUUUUCCAUAUGGUGCAGUUGAAAUCCGGAGCGCUAAAACAGACAACAAAUUUGUGGUGAAUGGACACCGUCUCAAGCAUUACUACGAAGGAUUUUCAGGUGAAAAGGUGGAGACAAUAAGUCUAGACGCGCCACCGUGUCCUAAUCAGUGACAUUUUACUAUGUCUAGCCAAAGACAUUAAAGACAGGCGCUCAUUGGGAGGCAACCCAAUUGUCCCUUUUAAUUAUUUGUUUGAUUUCGUGUGAUAGUUUAAAUAUGUUUUCCUUGAAUUCGACUGAUUUUGGGUUUCAGUUUUCGUUUUUGCUGAAUUGUAGGUGACCUUCAGUCUUGACGCGCCCGCGUGAUGACAUGCAGGAAGCUCACGAUCAGAAUCGUCUGAAAGCUCUCUUGCCCUUUUGACGCACCCGCGUGAUGACGUGCAGGAAGCUCACGAUCAGAAUCGUCUGAAAGCUCUCUUGCCCUCUUGACGUGCCCGCGUCACGUUCGCAGGAAAGGUACGGGUUUCAAAAAUUUAAAGAAAAAAUAAUAAUAAUAAUAAUUUAAAAUUUUGAAAUUAACUUCCGUAAAAAAAAAAAAGAAGAAAAAAAAUUUCACCGUGGCUUAAAUAGAGCCUAAAGAAGAGAAAAAAGAAACAAUUUCUUUCUUUUUUUUUUCUUUUUCUUCUUUCUUCCUUCUUUCUUUCUUUCUUCUUUCUCUUUUCCCUCUCUCUUCUCCCCUGUUUCUUCUCCCCUGUCCGUCGCCCGUGCGCCCCAUCGCUGCUCCACCUCCACACGCACGCCGACGCUGCGAGCCACCUGCGACCCCAGCGCCAGAUCUGGACCAUCGCCGAAACCCGCAGCCUCCGCCACCUCCACCUGAGCUCUGCCUCGCGCGCAACCCAGCUGCUCUGCGCCCGAAGCUCCACCGCCGCCACAGCCUCCCCACGCAGCUCCCUGCUCACGCGGCCACAAGCCCAUUGGAAACGGGACAGAGACUGCCGCCGAGCCACUUGCCCGCGUGACCGCCGCUGUUUUCCACCACCUCCCUCACGCGAGCUCUUUCCCUCUCAGCAGCAAUCCACUUCACAGCGCACCCGCUGCGCGCCGUCGCAGCCCUCGCAGCUCCAGCCCGUCUGGUCUAGUCCGCCGCGCGCACCAACCACCCACGGACGCUACCCCCAUCGCUAACCCACGCGGCCUCCACUCCAGUCUGUCCGCCGCCGCUGCUCGUGUCUCCCUUGCGCACCUCACGCCACCCGCUACUGUCCCCUUCCGUUUGGUUAGCAUCCACGGUGGAGGUAAUUGGAGGUUAUUUUCUCAAUUGUGUGACUUCCGCCUGUGAUACUGGUUGCAUUAUUUUUGCUGGGAAUUGCUACUUCUUUUGGGUUGGGUUCAACUGUGCAAUUAAUUGGCCAACUGGAGCCAUUUGUUGGGAUUUUGGGUGAGCUGAAAUACUGCAUUUGUGUGUUACAUUGGGAGGUUUAUUGGGUACAUUCUAACCGCUGUUUUCCAUUGUUACUCUCGCUGGGGUGUCUAUUAAAUUGCGAUUGAAGUAUUUUGGAUAUUGCAUGUUGAGAUUGAGGUUUCAUUGAAUUUGGCCUACGUUCUGCCCCCAGUGGUACUGGUGGGAAUAUUUUCAAUUGAAUUUGUUACCUCUAGUUGGUUGGCUACAUUAUUAUGGUCGAAUUCCUAAGUUGUCGUCAUUGCAUUUGUUGAUCUUGAUUUGGGGCAUUAACCGGCCAACUGGAGCCAUCUGUGCGUUUUUAGGCGCUAUUAUUGGUUUCUUCUCCCUUAACUUUGUCAACUAUAUUUGGUUGGGUAUUUGGUUGACUGCCACGGACUUGUAACUGUGUUUUGCUUCUAAUUGACCAGUUGCACAGCAGUUUUUUUUUAAUUGAUAGGGUGGUUAUACCUCUGGAUAUUUGUAUCCACUGGUUUGAGGACAUGGUGAGACCAAAAUCCUCCUCUAGGUCUAGGACCCCUAGAACCUCGCAAUCCCAACCCCAAGCCUCUACUCUAGUCAAUACCCCUAUAAAUCAACCUACUGCUCCCGGUGUCCGAACCUGGUUAGGUAGGGGUAGAGGUGCCCACGUGGCUUCCGCCACUCACUUGGGAGGGCAUUUGGAAUUCACUAGAGCCGCCGAUCAGCGACGCUAUGCUCAAGCUUGUGAGCGGCGUAUCAUUCCGUGCAAAUGCGCGGACCACAUUACUAUGGUUUUUCUGGGGAUCCAAGGGGAGGUUGAGCGCAUGUACACCGCCAUUGGAUGGCGCCCCUAUCUGGAUAUUUUCCAGCCAGCCUUUGUCGAGUUGACUAGAGAGUUUUACACCACUUUUAAGUUUGAAUUACCGACUAGGUAUACUGUUGCGACUCCCGAUAUCAUUCACUUCCGUCUCAUGGGCCAGGAAUUCAAUUUCUCUAUCACCCAGUUCAAUCUGGCUUUCGGUUUCAUCACUCGGGAGUAUGCAGAGACUAGGGAAUACGGUGAGAGUGCCUGCGAUUUUGUGGAACCUUUCCUUACCGCCUACCGUGAGGUGUGGGAGGACAUGUCUGUGGACAUGCAGCGUUACGAUCCCUCUCGGUCUCGGAGCUCCUUUCUAGAGGACCCGAGUGCUCGGUAUGUUCAGCGGCUUUUAGCAUAUAGCUACUCGGGCAGAAAGAACAGCUUCGGUAUUAUCUCUCGGCCGGAGCUCUUCUUCCUUUGGUGUAUGAAGAAUGGGUUCAAGGUCAAUUUGGGUUGUUGGUUGGCGGCACAGUUCAAGACCGUCAUGGCAAAGAAGAACAAGCCGUUGAUUCUUGGGUCGUAUAUCACGUACUUGGCGGUCCAGCUAGGCGUUCUGAAUCUACAGGAUCACGAUUUGCACUUGGCCUGCGACAUGGAGUAUCUCACUGCUGACCGGCUAGAGAAGAUGGGGGUUCUGGAGCUUGUCGAUGGCCACUACCGAUUUGUGCCCCCGGGACCGCCCCGCGCCCCGCCUCGCUCUUCCUCCACCCAUUCGGCCCCAGUUGGCGGUGAUCCUGGCCCGUCGACAUCCGCUCAGCUCCCUCCACCAGCAGGGGCUGAAGAUUGGCACCAAAUCAGGACGCAGAUUCAGAAUUUGGACGCCCGGAUGAUUAGCAUCGAGAGCAACGUGGCGGCUAUAUCACAGAAUCUGGCGGCAUUCCUGCAGCACUCGGGUUUCCCGCCCCCAAUCCCACCUCACCCUCCACUAUGACCCGGUUUCAGGGAAGUUUGGUUACUUUCUCCCUCACUUUUGUUGUUUUUUGACACAUUGAGGACAAUGUGUCCUAUAGGUGUGGGGGGGUCUAUAGUCUUUCUAGUUUUUAGUAGUUGUUAGUUUUUAGUUUUUUAGUAGUUUUAGUUUUAUUUCUAGUUGCGUAUUUUCUUUCUUUUCUUAGUGCUUAUUCCCCAUGUGAAAAGAAAAAGAAAACAAAAAAAAAGAGAAAAAAAUGUUGGUUUAUUGACUCUAACUCUACUUUUGCCAAGUUUUUUUUAAAUAAAAAUGUAUCGGGUUAAUGUGGUUGGAUCCAGAAUAUCUCCCUGGUGAAUAUCGGAUUGCUUGGCUCUUUUGAUUUCUGUGUUAAUUUCUCUAGGCAUAGGGAAUGACUGUUGGCAUUUUAAUGUGAACUGGUCCAAUAUUGACUCCAGUUCUCUAUGUUUGGCAAUAAUGAGGCGAGCUGUUCCUAUUUUUGGUUCUUAGUGUUGUUAUUAUGUGUUUUUGGCUUUGUUUGGCUGUGAAUAAUCUGGACUGUACUCCGCUAUGAGUUACUACUGAGUAACCGAGGAUCGGCACCUAAAAGUGUCGAUUCUCGCGUCAAAAGGUGGUACUUUAUAUGAGUACGUGGUCGUAUAGCAGUAGGAGCUGAGUAACCGGGCUCCUUCAUCUAAAAAUGUUGGAGUUCGCGUCAAAAGGCCCCGACGGCUAACGACUAAGUCUUUUUGUGUUAAUUAUUAUUGCUUUGAAAAACAAAAAAAAAAAAGAACGAAAAAAGAGAGAAUAAAUAAUAGGAAGGCUUGCCGGUUUAUGGACUUAAUAUGGAGACUUGUGUGAAUAUUUGGACCAUUAGCUAAUAAAUGUUGUGCGCCAUUCCCUUUUCUUAGAGUAGUUAACCUGGAAAUUGAAGGAAUUUGCAGUUUAGGGGCUAACCGGGGGGGAGGCUUCUUGGAUUUUAAUCACCAAUGCUCGAUAUAUGUUUUUCUCUUGAAGAUCUUGGCAAUAUAGGAGAUUGGACAAUGGCCAUCAUCGAAUUUUGGUGUUCGUUUACUAUUCUUAUGCUUGAGGACAAGCAUGGUUUAGGUGUAGGGGGAAUUGAUAGGGUGUAAUUUUACUAUUUAUUUUAUUAUUAAUUUCUCCUAUCACCUGACCUGAUGUGGAUUAAUUGCUGGAUUCUGCUCACUUUUAGUACUUUGUAUUUAUUUCAGGGAGUAGAACGGAAAUUUGAUAACAGGUGCUAAUUUGGCAGAAAAAAGUCCAGAUGAUAGAGCUUGCCCCAAGGGCAUUUUUGGAAAGGAGAACUUGUGCCCAUCUUGGUAAUUUGGGAGAAAAGGGAAACAGACAAAAUGGGUCUAACAUGGAUUGGAAGCGGCCGCACAGUAGCAGGGAAGAGGGCAGACGUAAAAGCAAUUGCAGGGGGGAAAAGGAGUUUUUUUAGUUUUUAGCUUAGCAUCUGAUUUUCCCUGGGAGACUUUUGUUAAAGAUUUCCUUUUGGCUGAUAUUACGCAUGGCAGAUGGCUUUUAACUUAUUCCUCCAUCUUUGACUUUUCUUCUUUAGCUUGUAGUAGUGGAUUGCUACUUACGAAUGUCAGCACUUAGCCAUUCGUGGCUUUUGAUCUUUUCUUCCUUAGAAAUUCUGAGUAGCCUCUUUUCCUUUGUGCGCCAGACGAAGUGAAAACUAUAAACUUUUGUAGUGUUUCUAUUCAUUCAAUAUAUUGAGACGAGUUGGAUUCUACCAAAUUUCAAUGGACAUGGCCGCUGGUUUCUCUUCAAUUUUAUAUGGGCUUUGUUCAUCGAACAUGAACUAAUUUCACCACUCUAGUCAAGGAACAACGAAGACUCUGGUUCGCCUAAAAAUUGUGAGAUCGUUUUAAUUUAAUCUUUUCCUUUUAUUUAUUGGUAUCCGCACAUUUCUUGAUUGCUAUGCUUAUGGUUAUUUAAUUAAUUGAUUGUCUUGGAUCCAGAUAAUUAAUUGAUCUGAUAGCCUAUUGUCAAUUAGGGCAUUUAAAUCCGUAAUUGUUUAAUUGUCCUGAAAUAGUGACAACUGGCACGAUUAGAUUCGUGCCAGGGGGGAUAUGCGGGCUAAUCUAAAAUAACCCUGGUAGUGUGUUAUUUGGUUAGAAUAGGGCUCCUCUAAUAUGUAAGGCAAUUGGGGAAUUAAAUUCUACGGGCGUACCUAGAAUUAUUUCUUAAUUAGAGUAGUGAUUAACGGGCGUACCUUGAUCACCGACACAGUAAGGAGGGGUUGACUGCCAUCGCUUGUUUGGCAGUUAUAACAUAUUUAUCAGUAAAUAAUUGGGAUUGCCUUGCAUCAAUGAUCAAUUAGAUGAACUAUUGCUGAAGUUACUUCUUGGCUAGAUCUUUAGUUAAUAUUACCUUGAUUUUGGUGAAUUGCCAUUUGAUUUUUAGUUGCCUACUUUAUUUUAUUUUUAAUUGUUUCCUUGCUUUAAUUGAGUUAGGCCUUUAAUUAUUGUUAUUCUAAGUUUAGUGAAUUGUGGUUUAAUUCCUAAUUAGUUAUUUAUUUUUACUUUCUUAUUUGAAUUUAUUUGCUUGUUAUCAUUCCUACGAAAUCACCCCCCUGUGUUACUUUGGAUUUCUUAAGAAACAAAUAUACCCAGUCCCUGUGGAUACGACCCUACUUGCCCUGUCCACGAAUUCAUAAUUAUUUGUGAAAAGAAAUAACCAUUCCACUCGGGUAUAUCGGAUCAAGCAAACUCUUCGGGAACAGGGUGAAUCAAGUAACCCAUUGCACACCUAAAAUCCCUGCUCCAGUACUUGGAAUUGGGUUUUGGUCAUUUUAACUGGCAAUUAAGUUUAAUUUUAUUAUUGCACAGGCUGACGACCCUGUCAUUGUAUUUGUACCAAAAGUGAAAACUUAACUAUUUUAGUUGUAUUUAUUUCAUCAUGUUGGAUUGUAUUCAAAUAAUUUUUGUUUGAUUGUUUUUAUAAGUUUCAAUUGUAAAAUUAAAAUGAAUAAUAACUUGAUGAUGUGUUGAUAUUUUAGUACUUGAUUAUUUAUUAAAAUUUAAUUAUAAUAAAAUUUUAUUAACUCAACGAGAAAAAUUUUAUUAAUCCCGUGGGGGCACCCGCGGGGAAAGCGGGGCGGGGCGAGGGGAGUGGGAGGCGGAGGACGGGGCGGGGGCGGGGGAUGGGGGAGGGGUCCCCCGCCCCAACCCCGCCAUCCCCCGUCCCGUUGUCAUCCCUAGUAAUAGACUGGCAAGCAUUGUGGUGGUCAUUGAGCAACUUAUAGGAGAAAUAGUCCUAUAAGCUGUUCAAUGACCAAUCACAACUUGCUAAUUGGAUGACUAAUAUAGCUCUAGCUGUAAUGUUUUAAUUAAAUUACAUCACUAACGUUGGGAUGACUUUUUAACCAAAAAAAAAAAGCCUUAGUUCAAGCUUUUCCCUUUAUUGUGCAUUUUUUAAAGCAUUUGAAAGGCACUGCAAAUCUGUCAUUUUGGACAUUUUAUUAUUGACUAACAAUGAAAGCCGUGGACGUCUACCCAUAACCAACACAAGAUUAAAUUAAUAUUAGAAAAAAUAAUUGAGUAAUUGGAAAAAAAAAAAAAAGAAGAGUCUAAUUUUCAUUGAAACCCACCGACAAACUAUACGUGUCCAUGGCUUUUGAAUAGUGCAUUCAACGUUUAAUUGUAUGGUCCAGUUCAUUGCAGAUUACAUGGAGUAAAGAUUGCGCUCUUUCCUUUUCACCCCUUUUGGAAUCGAUACUGUGGAGAAUUGGGUUUUUCCCUCCUUUUUUUCUUUUCUUUCCUUCUGUGGUUUGCAAAACAUACGUAAAAAUAUGAAAUCCGAAGCAUUCUUUAAUUGGUAUUAAGUAUUGUUGUUGAAAUUAAAAAGAAAAAAGAAAGAACAACAAAAUUCCCAAUCUGGGUUGAUUGUUGAGCUCUAGAUUGGUUGCAUCGUGCUUCCAUAGAAGCAAGAUUUGUAAAAUCGGAAUCCUACAUAGGAUCGAUUUUAGUUUCACAGGAUCGGAUUGUAAAAUCGUAAGAUCCUACCAAAAGCUCUCAAUUGCAAUUAAAGGUUGCAAUUCUUUAAUAAAUUACAAAUAUACCACAAAUAUUUUCAUUUACUUGCAAAAUGGAGCUUCGUAUUUCACAAAUUUACAAAAAAAUUGUAGGAUCGUACGAUCCUACCGAUCCUACGAUCCUACACGAUCCUACCGAUCCUGCUACGAUUCUAUGCGAUCCUACAAAGAUUAAUAUGAUUUGCGACUCUGCAUACGAUCCGGAUCGAUUUUGGUUAUCCGGAUCGUAGGAUCGUAUGAUCCUACGAUCCGGAUCGCGAUUUUGACAACUAUGCAUAGAAGCUCUCUUAGUGUGAUACACUGCUUUCAAUCAGUUUAACACGGGAAAAAAAAAAAGAGAUGAAAAGCAAAUUUGGUGGAGAUAAUUUCAGAAACCUCCCCUGAAGAUUUUGACUAUUCUACUGGUUUCCCUUCAGAUUUUAAAAAUUACACUAAUCUUCCUUGAAGUUAAUUAUCUUGUAACAUUUAAAUUCAAUCAAUAAUUUAAAAAAUGAUAUUAUGAGAGAGAAAAUAAUAUGAUUUUAUCAUUGCCCCCCAUCUUACUACAUUAUUUAAUUAAUUUAAUAGCAACCCACACAUUAAAGAAAAAUAUUAAAAUUUGUUGUUUAUCAUUAAAGAUCAAAUCGCUUAUAACAUCAAAUAAUAGUAUAUUAUUUAUAUUUUUCACUUAAUAUAAUAUCCAAAUUACUCUUUUCAAUUACAUACCCAUUGUUAGAGAAUCAACAACAAAUAACCAAAAAAUUUGCAACCAAAAUAUUACAAAAAAAAUAAACUUUAACAUCAUAAAUAUUCUUAUCAACAUAUUAAAGUUAGUUACUGAAAUUUUUAUGCUGUUAAACUUCACUCUUUUUGAAUACAGAUUUUUUUGAUUAUUUGUUAUUAAUUAUGUUUGAUGAUGGGUUUAUAAUUGAAAAGAACAAUUUGAAACUUACAUUAAGUAAAAUAUAUAGAGUGAUAUACUAUUUUUUAUAACAUAUGUGAUUCAAUCCUUCUUGAUAGGAUUGGUAAUAGAGGUAGAGGGGGGAGUCGGCUGCAUCCGGUCUUCUUUUCAUAGAUAGUACAAUAUUGCGAAAUCAAUCGCAUUCACACAAUAAUAUUUCGAAGUCAAUGCAUGGCUAAGUUGCAUAAAAGUACGAACACUUGUUAUUAUAUAGCUUAAGAUUCAAAACUUUCGAGCAUAACCCUCCACCCAACACAAUUGAAUAAUGAAUAUUCACGAUUGUCAAAUCUGUCAAAGCACAGUUUGAGGACAACCCAUUCCAACCUGCAAAAGAUUUUUUACUUUUCUAAAGUUGUUGAGAGCUGUAAAAAGACUUACCAUGCUUGCAUCCUCCGAGCCUUGGGAGUUAAAAAUGAAGGCACUGAGUGCUAUAAAAAGGGGAAUAGAGGCUGCCUAGAAGCAUAUCAGCCUAAAACAAGAAUUUGUAGUUAAGAUGGGAAGCAAAGCAAAAGCAAUGGGGUCUGGGCUGACUCCUCUUCUUGCCACUGUUUUAGUGGUGUUUGUUGCUCUUGGCUUGCCCUCACAAACUGCAGCUGAUGAUCACUACAAGUAUUCAUCUCCUCCUCCUCCUUACCACUAUCCCUCACCACCACCACCAGUGCAUAUACCUCCACCUCAUCCUGUUUACAAGUACAAAUCUCCACCACCCCCACCACCACACCCAGUUUACAAGUAUAAGUCACCACCACCACCUCCUCAUCCGGUAUACAAGUAUAAGUCUCCUCCGCCACCACCACACCCAGUUUACAAGUACAAGUCACCACCACCACCUCCUCAUCCGGUACCACACCCAGUUUACAAGUAUAAGUCACCUCCACCACCUCCUCAUCCGGUACCCACAGUUUACAAGUAUAAGUCACCACCACCACCUCCUCAUCCGGUAUACAAGUAUAAGUCUCCUCCGCCACCACCACACCCAGUUUACAAGUAUAAGUCACCACCACCACCUCCUCAUCCGGUGCCACACCCAGUUUACCACUACAAGUCACCACCACCACCUCCUCAUCCGGUACCACACCCAGUUUACCACUACAAGUCACCACCACCUCCUCACCCAGUUUACAAAUACGAGUCUCCACCACCACCAGUUUAUAAGUACAAGUCACCACCACCUCCUCCACCAGUUUACAAGUAUAAAUCUCCUCCACCACCACCACCAGUUUACCACUACAAGUCUCCACCACCUCCUCCCCCAGUUUACAAAUACAAGUCUCCACCACCUCCUCACCACUACUAAGCAAUUGCUUCUGAGGUAAUAACACUUGUUCAAUAUACCCACUUCUGCAUGAUAAAGCAUAUCUCUAUCAACACAAACUGUCAUGUCUAUCAUGCUAAGUGCCUUCACUUCAUCCACCAAAAUGACUGCUAGAAAAUUUUUUUUAUGUUACCAAAGAAAGGCAUCAUUUUUUCCCUCUGUUAUCAAGAACUUGUACAGUAUAUAGAUUAAAGAGUAUUUUUUUAACUAGCUUAUCAACUGAGAAAUGCAUAUAGCUGAUAGCCAGCUGAAUAUUUGCAGGCAAAGGAGAAGGAAACCAUGUUUGAGACCUUCUUGAAGAUGUAGAAGCAUAAGAAUAAAAGCCCAAUGUGAAGAUGAUGAUUUCAAGUUUUUCUACGUUACCAUUUCUUUAUCUAAAUUGGUUGUAGCGCCCAAGUUCCUUUGUUUAUGGGAUUUGUAUCGUUUUACGUACCAUGCAGUACAUGUCAUGUUUGUAAGGUUUUCUAUCCUGCCGGCAAACCGCAGGUUCCAUGUGAUAAAUGAAUACUAUUUAUGUUACGACACUUUUCUCUGUUUCUCUUAUAUUUUGUCUUUAAUAUUCUUAAUCAUAUUUUUAACAAAAAUAUUCAAACACUUAGGCAAUCUGGUCUAAUGCUAAUUGUAUGUUUUACUUUUCUUUUUCACCUGCUCCCCUUUUCAACUCAAAAGGAUGCAAUAGUUUGUGAUCACUGUUUAAGACGGAAGCAUGAUACUAAUGAAUAUCUCAUUGAAACUCAAGGAAACUAACAUUGCGAAAAGUGUAAAUCUUGAUUUGAUGCAACUAUUUAUUCGUGGAAUCUAUAGUUACAAAACUCAAAUUCUGACUGCGCCAUUGAUAAAUUAUUAAUGACGCUAUCAUCAUUAUUUAUCCCUAACUAGUUUCGACUACAACUGAACCCAAUAUUUUCCCCAUGAUAAAAGUUUUUGACUAUUUUACUGGCCUCUCUUCAAAUUUUAAAAAUUACACUAAUCUUCAUUGAGAUUAAUUAUCUUGUAACAUUUAAGUCCAAUUAAUAAUUAAAAAAUGAUAUUAUGAGAGAGAAAAUAAUAUAAUUUUAUCAUUGCCCCCCAUCUUGCUAUAUUAUUUAAUUAAUUUAAUAGCAACCCACACAUUAAAGAAAAAUACUAAAAUUUGCUGCUUUUCAUUAAAGAUCAAAUUGCAUAUGCCAUAAAACAUAGUAUAUCAUUCUAUAUGUUUCACUUAAUGUAAGAUCCCAAUUGUUCUUUUCAAUUACAAACCCAUUGUCAAACAUGAUCAAUAACAAAUAAUCAAAAAAUUUGCAACCAAAAUAUUACAAAAAAAAACUUUAACAUCAUAAAUAUUCUUACCACCUCUAGUGCAUUCACCCUCAUAAAAUAAUUCAAGACCCUACUGUCAUAAAAUGACUGAUCAACUCCUGUAAACCUAAUUUGACAACAUUUAAAUGGAGAACUUUAGCUAAAAGAAUUAUGGUCAAGCUAAAGAAAAAACCAGUUAUUUUCCAACAUAUGCAACCAUUGAUCAGGGGAAAAAAAAAAGCAAAAAGACAUCUUCAAUCAUUUAAUAGCUUACAGGGCAAAUUAACCCUUGAGUGAAAACUGGUUGCUCUAGAAUUAAAAUUUUACCUUAGUUACCCAGGCAACUUUUUUGUUGCCUUUUCUUUUUCUUUUUUGGGUAUAUAGCUCCAGUUUUGCCCCCUCUGUCAAGCUUAUAUAAUUAUUAAGAUAAUAAAAGUGCCUUUAAUAGUAUUAAUAUAUCCAUUGACUUGAGCUGUCAUCGAUCGGUUUGGGCUACUUCGAUUCCAUGAGAACAAAUGGUAAUAAAAGUACUCAGAAAAUGGGGAGUCAUGAAACCCUUUUGUUCUAUUCAUUGCUAAGAUGCUUUUCUCUAUAAAGAGACUUCCUAACGAAAAUACUUUGUAGAUUUCUUUACUCCAAGUGGUGCAUGGAAAAUUAAUAUUUUCAAUUAUCAAAUAAAAUUCCCUUUUUUCGGCGUAGAUUUCAUCCAUCCAGCUGUUAACACAUUCUAUAAAUCCGAAUUGACUAAUCUUUUCGUUUCCAUUUUCCAACUUGCGAAUACGGCAUAUAGUGUCUGCUAAACACUAUAUAUUCUCUGCCAAAUAUGAAUACAUAUCACUUUUCUGAGCAAGUGCAGAGUCAUUAUCAUUUUUAUUCCCACCUAACAAAUUAGGGAUAAAAAAGUUAAUAAUCUUUACAUGCUAUCAGGUCACAAGUUAAUAAUCUUUUAAAGAACAUGUUAAAUUAAUUUAUUGGUAUGAAUAGUAGUCAAAGAAGUAUGUUAAAGUUAGUAAUCUUUAAAAUAAUAUGUUAAAAUCAUUCGUACAAAUUAGUCAGAGAAGUAGCAUAAACACCGCGAUGCAAUUAAUACUUUCAAUCUCAAGGUCUCUAUUAUGGAAAUUUGCAUCGGUCAAUAUACACUUGGCAUAAUAUAAUCUCCCAACUCAUUUCUUUACAAAUGCACCUUUAAUCACCACCAAAAGGUGUGGACAUGAUCUUUACCCUAGAAAACUAUUCACCGACAGGCAAAUUGACGUCAGAAAUACUGAGGAAUUCUAGUUUCCUUCGGGUUCAUGCCAUGUUGUAUCCUUCAACUGUAACUCGAUUUCUAAGCUGUAAUUUGUGACAUAAUAGUCCUUAAACUAUGAAACCCUUCUUACUUAAUUACAAUGGUUAAUACAAUGCCCGUGACUAGACAAGUAUGAAGCAACCAUAACAGAAAAAAAAUCCAAAAUUAGAGAAAAGAAAGAAGUUUCGCGACCACCACCAGUUUACAAGUCACCUCCACCACCUCCUCCAGUUUACAAGUCACCUCCACCACCUUACCAUUAUUCCUCACCACCACCUCCAGUGCAUUCACCCCCACCACCACCAGUUUACAAGUCUCCGCCACCACCUUACCAUUAUUCCUCACCACCACCUCCUGUGCAUGCACCUCCACCACCAAUUUACAAGUCACCUCCUCCAGUUUACAAGUCUCCACCACCACCUUACGAUUAUUCCUCACCACCACCUCCAGUGCAUUCACCCCCACCACCACCAAUUUAUAAGUCUCCCCCACCGCCUCCCCCAGUAUAUAAGUCACCACCACCACCUCCUCCAGUAUACAAAUCACCUCCACCACCUCCUCCAGUUGACAAAUCUCCACCACCACCAAUUUAUAAAUACAAGUCUCCUCCACUACCUCCUCCAGUGUACAAGUCAUCACCACCACCUGCUUACAAGUCUCCACCUCCUCCAGUUUACAGUUCCCCACCACCACCAAUCUACAAGUCUCCACCUCCACCCUACCAUUACUACUACAAUUCUCCUCCUCCUCCUCGUCACUACUAAGCAAUUGUAUCCAAGUUUUUGAGGUAAUAACGCUUAACCAAUAAAUUAACUUUCGCAUGAUAAACCUUAUCUCUAUCAAGACAAACUGCCAUGUGUAUCAUGCCAAAUACGUACACCUAGAUCCAUGAAAAUGAAUGGUAGAAAGUUUUCUUAAGAACCAAGAACAGCAUUAGUAUUCCCUCUGCUUCCAAAAACUUGUGUAUUAAAUAGAUUAAUGAAUUGUUUAACAUGCUCAUCUACUUGAAAAUGCACAAUACCCAUAACCCACUGAAAUUUUUGCAGGAAAAGGGAAAGAGAAUCUGUGUUUGAGAGCUUCAUGAAGAUGUUGAAGAAUAAGAAUAAAAGCCCAAUGCAAGGAUGUUUUCAAGUUUUUCUAUGUUUCCACUUUAAUUUGUAAAUUGAAUUUUGCGACUCAAUUAAUUCCCUGUUUGUGAGGUACGUAUUGUUUUACGUACCAUGCCGUACAUUUUUUUUUUCCAACAAACGGUAUCAUGUUAUAGAUAUUAACACUUGACCUUACAAGGAUUAGUUACAAAAAGGGGAUACUACCCUCAACUCUGUCCUAGCUAAAUCAGUCAGCCAUAUUGGGAAAUUAGUUUCCCAUUCAAUAUCAUGUACAAGCUUCACAGCAUAUUGUGCUAAUUGAUGGCUGAUGUGAUUUUCAGUUCUAGGUAUAAACACAAAAGAACAUUUUUCAAAAGCUAGACUAAGUUCCUGCACAUCUUCUAAGAUAGUUGCAGUCGUGUAGUCAUACUCCUUGCGUUUAGUAAUCUGCUCUACCACUGAUUUGCAGUCUGUAUGGACUAUAAUUUGUGUCCAACCUGCUUGGGUAGCCAUCAGCAGAGCAUUUCUCACAGCCCGAGCUUCCACUUCACUUGCCGAUCCCUUUCCCUGUGUGACAAUUCCUUUUGCUUUCAAAAGCUGUCCUUUCCAAUUUCUUGCUAUAAUCCCUUGUCCGGUCCUGACUCGUUUAGCUGAUAUCGCUGCAUCGGUAUACAGCCUUAUCUCUUCCUUCCUUGGCCGCACUCUCCUGGUAGGUAAGGCAUCAUUCAGCUUCCCUGCGAUCUCCUUCUGGUCUGUACUCCCUACCUGUUCAAACUCAAGCCAUUCCUCCUGUGCUUUCCUUACUAUUUUUACUGGAUCCUGGUUGGCUUGUUCAAAAAAUUUUUUGUUCCUGGCUUUCCAAAUUUGCCAAAGGAUAUUGAUAGUAAGACUAACUCUCUCCUGACCUUGGUUCAGUGCCAGCGAUUGUGUGACUUGUUCCCACCAUAACCAAAAGUUAUAUUGCAUACCCAGUAAUCCAUCCCACCUGACCGGUGCUAGCUUCCACGUUUCCACAGCCUUUUCACAGAAGAAAAACAAAUGCUCAAUAGUUUCCAUAUCUUCACCACAGCAACCACAUCUGCCUUCCCCUCUAUGUAGCCUUUUCGACAUCUGUUCAUUGACUGGCAGACAAUUUUGUAAGCACUUCCACAUGAAGUGUUUUAGUUUGGCCUUCACCUUCAAAUGCCAUAGCUGCUUCCACACAUUUCGUUUUCGUAUCUCCCAACUUGUUUCUGCCUCUUGGCCUGUCCUUGUACCUGCUUUUCCUUCCCGUUGCCUUGCUAAAGCAUAACCAGAUUUCACGCUAUAAAUUCCAGCUUUGGAAUGCCCCCAUACCAACCUAUCCUUUCUUCUUCCUAUACUUGUUGGAAUUCCCUUUAUGUGCUCUGCAUCUUUUGCACAAAACCACUUGAGAAGCAAAUCAUUUUUCCAUUUCCCUUCCUCUAUCAGCUCACUUACCCAUUCCAACUUGCAUCCCACAGGUUGUGUGGUUGAUGCAAAGCCGGUAUCUGAACCAACUAUCCAUCUGUCCCGCCACAUGUUGACUGACUUGCCAUCUCCAAUUCUUUUCCAAAGACCAUCAUACAGAAAGGAGGCUGCACUAUGAAUACUCUUCCAACACCAUGAGGCUGAAGAGACUGGCUUCUUGUCCAUCCAUUUUUCAUCACUCAUAUACUUCGCCUUCAUUACCUUACUUACUAACAAAUUUGGAGCCAUUAAGAAUCUCCAAAUUUGUUUUGCCAGUAAUGCUGUGUUGAAGGCCUCCAAAUCUCUAAAGCCUAAACCUCCUCUUCCCUUAACUUCUAAGAGCUUCUUCCAGCUUGCCCAAUGUACACAGGUACCCUUUUCUCCCUUCCCCCACCAGAAACUCGCUAUUUUACCUGUGAUUUGUCUACACAAACCCCUUGGAAGUCUAAAGCAAGCCAUCACAUAUGUUGGCAUAGCCAUAAUCACUGAUUUGACCAGAAUUUCUUUCCCUCCUUGGCUCAACAGUUUUUGUUUCCAACCUUGCAACUUGUUACUAAUUUUGUUCUGGACAAAUGCAAAGACCUGUGUCUUUGAUCUUCCAAUUGCCAUUGGGAGUCCUAGGUAGGUUCCAUUCCUUGCCUCUUUAAUGUUAUCUAAUACCUCCCUCACUCCAUUCUUCCUUUGAUCAGUGGUAUUUUUGCUAUAGAAGAUAGCUGACUUUUCAAAAUUCACCACCUGUCCGGAUGCUUGACCAUAUCUUUCCAAUAUGCUUUUGACCUUCCUCGCCUCCUGCUUGGUUGCUUGGCAGCAUAGUAGAGAAUCAUCUGCAAAAAAUAGGUGAGAAACCAUCGGACUGUCCUUGCAUAUUUUGAUCCCUGUAAUUUCCUUGUUCAUCAUAGCUUUAUGGAUCAAACAUGAAAGACCUUCAGCGCAUAUAAUAAACAAGUACGGGGAUAGGGGGUCUCCUUGUCUAAGCCCUCUACUCGGUUGAACACAGCCUACCUUUUGCCCAUUUAAGUUGAAGGAGUAAGUCACAGUAGAUAGGCAAGACAUGAUCCAUUUAACAAAAAUUGGACAAAACCCCAUUUUCAUCAUAACUCUCCCCACAUAUUUCCAUUCGACUCUAUCGUAAGCUUUGGACAUGUCCAGUUUAAGAGCCAUAAAUCCUACCCUUCCCUUUCUCCUAUUUUUCAAAAAAUGCAGGAUUUCAUGUGCAACUACUACAUUAUCAAGAAUUUGACGGCCUGGGAUAAAAGCGGAUUGAGAGGGACUAAUACAAUGAUGCAAGACACCUUUCAAUCUAUUAGCUAUGAUUUUAGAAAUGAUUUUAUACAGGACAUUGCACAAGCUAAUAGGUCUAAAAUGCACCACAGAUUCAGGAGUAUCAACUUUAGGAAUCAACGAAAUAAUAGUAUCAUUCACAGCUUUGAGCAAAUGCCCAGUAUGAAAGAAACUCUUAAUAGCUGCUACCACAUCAUCCUUGAUAAUAUCCCAAUAGUGUUGAAAAAAUAGAGGAGACAUACCAUCCGUUCCUGGUGCUUUAUUAGGGUGCAUCGAGAACAAAGCUUUCCUGAUCUCACUUUCCUCCACUUGUCGUAUCAGUUGUCCAUUCAUAUGACUCGAAAUAGUGCUUGGAAUUUCAGCUAGAAUGUCCUCAAAGCAGUCCGGGUUAGUAGUGGUAAAAAGGUCUUUAUAGUACUCACAAAGUUCCUCCUCAAUCUCAUGUUCCUCCUUGCACCAUGUCCCAUCUUUUUUCUGCAAUAUAGUGAUCUUAUUUCUCCUCCUCUUUGCCAUGACCGAAGAAUGGAAAAAAGCUGUAUUCUUGUCCCCUUCUUUGAGCCACUUGUUCCUGGAUUUUUGACUCCAAAACAUCUCUUCCUCUGCAUAAGCUUUAUUCAAUUGUGCUUUUAGUUCAGCCACUUGUACUCUUUUCCCUUCAUCCUUUCUUGCUUUCACUUCAGCCAAUUUCUCCUUUAACACUUUAAUUCUAACCUUUGAGUUUCCCUGCACCUUUUUCCUCCAAUCCAGAAUAGCCAUGCGACAUUCCUUUAUUUUUGUAGCCACUCUAAACAUCCUGGACCCUGACUUCACCUUUGUCCAUGCUCCUUGAAUCACCCUUUUUGCUUCUGGAUUUAGCGUCCAUCGUUGAUCAAAGUAAAAUCUCCGUUUUCUCCUUGUGUUUUCCGGGUUUGUAUCCACAAGAAGCAUUAGAUGAUCAGAGGCUUCAGUAUCUAAAUGAGUACACUGUGCCUUUUCAAAUCUUUGCAGCCAUUCGGUGCUGCAUAAACAUCUAUCCAACCUCUCUUUCACUUCCCCAUCCCCCUCCCAACUAUUGCACCAAAUCCACGGGACCCCUUGAUAACCUAAGUCAACCAGGUUAUUGUCUUUGAUAAACCUGUUGAACUCCCUAAAACAUCUUUCAGCUCUAUCCCUUCCUCCCCACUUCUCCUCACUAGACCUCAAAUCAUUAAAAUCUCCUACAAUGAUCCAGCCAUCCCCCCAGUCCCUCAUCCUGUCCUCUAAAUAUUUCCAUUGUGCUUUUCUAAUGUUACUAUCUGUGCUUGCAUAAACACACACUAGCCCCCAGUAUCCUUUAGUAUCCUUGUCCUCAACUCUAGCACUAAUACACCAAUCAGUACUUACAAUCUGGUCUAAAAUCACCUCAUUGUUCCAGAAUAAUGCUAGACCGCCUGCUUUACCUAUUGAAUUCACAAAAAAGCUAUUGUCAUACUGAAUCUUCCUUUGAACCUUGCCCAUAAACCCUUCCUGAUUCUUAGUUUCACAAAGGAACACCACCUUAGGAGAGUGGAAGUUAGUCACUUCCUUUAGUUGGGGACUUGUCAAGGGGCCUCCUACACCUCGACAAUUCCACACCACAACCUUCAUUUACACUUUGGAGGCUUUCCGGGGCUAGCCUCCAUUUCCCCUAUUGUACUAACAUUUAUUAGAUCCAGUUUCAUAACCUUUACCUUCGGUACAUUAUCAUCAUCCUCCUCUAUCGGUUGUGUUCCCUGAAACAUACCAUCAGCCUUCCUUUUAGCACACGAAACCUGCGUUACUUGUCCAUUUGUAUCUGCCUUUAAGGAUGUUUUAGCCGGCCUCCCUCUUCUUUUAAAACUGCUUCUUUUUUCAGCUUUGUUAUCUUCUUCCCCUGGAGUAGCCUCCUUUCUUGGCAUUCUUGCAUUUGUCUCCUCCUGCUUUAUUGACCCUACCCGCAAACUUUCACAUUCCUGUUUUGAGCUGUCCGUUUCCAUAUCCUCAUAAUCUACUGGUGGGAUUACGCUGCUCCCUCCUUUACUCCCUUCCUGUACCCUACCCUCCUUUUCACCAUUUCCCUCCAUUAAGACCACAGCCAAACUUUCCACCCGUUGGUUUGCCUUUCCAUACUGCCUGCUGUCUUUUAGAAUCUCAUCCCACCUCUCUUCAUAUUGUCUCGUCAUCAUUUUCUCCUUAUCCCCCCUUUCCUUUCCCCCCAAGACUCUACCAUUUUUUCCCCCAAGAGUUAAUGUAUCUCCAGCCAUUUGUACUCCAGUUUGAACUUCACUACUAGGAGACCCUGCCCCCACCCUCCUUGCAUCAAUUUCACUUACUCCUUCCAGCCGUCCCUUUAAGGGAGAUACCAUUAUAUUUCCAGCUCUCAUCCAGGCACCAUAUUGUUCCUCUCGCUUCUCCCCCCCACCCUUCCUACCACAGUACAAGUCCUAUCACUAUGCCCAAUGAUACCACACCUAUAACAGAAAUCAGGGCAGCGUUCAUACCUGAACUCAACCCACACUGCCUGGUUCUUACAGUUGAUCUUUGUCCCUCUAACCAGUGGUUUCGUUAUAUCUACCUCAGCCAUAAUCUUCAUGUGGCGACCCUCUUUCCCACCACUUCCUGGGAGAAUCACUCCCCUCACUGAUUUAAAGAUCCCUCCUAUUUUCAAACCCACUGCUCUGCUCAACCAGUGCACCGGUAGGUUCCAUAGUUGAAUCCAAAGAAAGGAAUGCUGGAAAAAGCUGCUGUUUGUAUCAUACCCCUCUACCCACUCCUUCACUAUCAGCAACUGGUUGUCCAUGACCCAAGGCCCUCCAGAUAAGAUCUUUUUCUUUUCCCCUUCAUCUCCCAGAUGGAAAUGGAAUAAGUUAGGACCUAACUCAGUCACUUUCAUCUUUGAGGGGUAUCCCCAUGCAUGAUUUGUAAAGUUCUUUAACCCCGUAAAGUUGGCAAUUUUUUCACCAAUCAGCUUUCCUACCAGGCUUCCUUGACACUCAGAGACGCCUUCUUCCAGGUCCUCACCACUCAGAUCGACACCUCCUAACUCUGUUUCAGACAAGUCAAAAUUUUGAAAGGCUCUUUCUAAAGCAUCCGCCAUUGCUGUGACGAGAGCUCCUUGAGAAACCAAGCACUAUUUCUGAGCUAUGAGUGACCCACUGACAGACCUGUGAAGAAUUGCAAAGACAGACAAAGCUGUGUUAUCCGUACACACUAAAAACCAACCAGAAAAACAGAGAGGAACUCGACAGAAAAAGCACAGGCACAAGAAGAAACGAAAGAAAAAAGAAAAACCAACAAACCACUAUCCCACUCCCGACCACAUAACAGCAUUAAAGAAAGGGACACAAAUACGACACUCCAACUUCCGAUCACAUGCUCUGACUCAAUGGAUCAUAUCUUGCCCAAAGCGUUUACUCCUCCAACCGAUUCCAAACCACUACAGACAUUGUCUCCCAUUUUGAAGCCGGAAGAAAGGUGGCUUCUGGACAGGGAACAUGAAAGCAAAGGUUGAACUAAAGAUUUGAUUUUAGAUCUGAAAAUUACGCUGUAGGAAAAAGUGCUAUGUGUUUGUACCUCACCCACUCUCCCACACCGAGGAGGGGAACCUCUAAAGUUAGAGAGAGAAGCUCUCAAGUUAGAGAGAAGCUUUGGAAGUUAAUUACCAACGUACCAUGCCGUACAUGUUUGUAAGGAUUUCUAUCCUAUUGGCAAAAGUCGGUUCCAUACAAUUAAUCAAUUCAUUUCACUUCUAUUGGCUCUACUAUUUAUGCAUGUUACGACACUCUUUCCCUUAUAUUUUGCCUUUAAUAUUAUGAGUCAAUAGUAAUAAUGGGCCUUUUUCUUAAAAUUAUACUAUUAUACAUAGGUAGUUUGGUCUAACGCUAAAUUCAUGUUUGUCUUUCUUUUAUUCCCUUUACAUCUCAAAGUAUACUAUAGUUUGUAAUCAUUGUGGUGAUGAUAUUACCAGCUGGUACUUAUAGUUUAAGGCAGAGACAUGAUAUUAACAACUAUCUCAUUGAAACAUAAGUCAAAAUCAUGACAAGUGUGAGUCUUGGUUAAUGCACAAUUUGUUAGUGGAAUUUAUAUUUAUAAAACUCAAAAAAAAUUUUUGACAAUGCUAUUACUAAUUAAUUAAGGACUUCAUUGCUAUAAUUUAUCGCUUACUAAUUUAAACUAUAAAUGAUCUCAAUACUUUUCUCCAUGAUGUCGAUUUCUUUAGACUACGAAAGGGAAAAAUUAGUGACAUAUCCCUUACUGAUUACAACAUCAGCAAAAAUUAGUUAUAAACUUUUCCGGUGGUUUUAAAUCCCUCGGGCACUAAGGUUUUUUGCACAUCGAGUGAAUUAAGGAACAUAGGCAAUUCGUUCUGCAUACCAAGUCCUUGUUUAAGAUGCACGUACUAAAAUGCAUCCACUUCAUUAAUUUGGAAAAUUGCCAUAGUUUUUUUUAAGCAUUUUGAUUUUUUACAUGAUUCAAAAUUUUCUUAUUGGAUACAAUCACUUUGUGUCAAGAACACAUUUUCAAUCAUCUUUUUUAUCUUCUCAAUAAGAAAAUAAAAAUUUAUUCAUGCUUUUCUAACAUAUCCAAUCAUUGAUCUGAAAAAUAAAGAAUUAAAAAAAAAAGACAUUUUCAAUCAUUGCUUACGGGGCAACUUCCCCAUGUGAACCUCAUCAAACAAAGCCAAUAAUAUGAAGGAACAUCUAAAUACACUUUUGCCCUAAAGGCUGGUUGCCUUGGGGUCAAAAUUUAACCUUCGGGAGUAUAAUUACCCGCCAAAUUUAUUAUUUUUUUUAUGGGUAUAUAGUUCCAAUUUUGCCUCCUGUUAAGCUUAUAAAUAUAUUACGACCCAGAAAAUAAAGGAAUCUUGAAUAGUAACAUGUCCAUUGACUUGAGUUGUUAUCAAUUUGGCUACUUCGAUUCCAUGAGGCCAAUCCAAUUCACACUAGCUAGAGAAAAUGGUGAUAAAGGCACUUAGAAAUUUAUAUGUAAUAUUGAUUGGUAGUAACUGAUAAGUAUAUAUUUUACGUGUUUUAAAUAUGUUUUAUUAGUUAGUUUUGGUGUGUUUUAACUACUUUUAUAACUAAUUAACUAGGAAUCUAGUGAAAAUAUGCAUUUUGUGGUUUGAAGUGUAAAAAUUGUAUUUCUAUGGAUUUUAAUGGUGAAAACUUCAUGUUUUUGUAGGUUUAAUGAUUCAAUCAUCAAAUGACAUGAUUUGAGAAGAUAAUUAGAUGAUUGAUGAUGUUUUGAAGUGAUAAAAAGAGAAUACAAAGUGCAAGAGAGGAAAUGCAAUCAAGAAUAAAAGAAGAAAAUUUUUGUAGCUUUGACAUAUUGUCGUAUUUCGGCAAUAUAUUGAGCUACAAUGAUCGGAUUAAGGUGAUUCUUAAACCAUUUGAAGCUAAAAUAUAGAUCUACAUUUGGCAUGAAGGCAUCGAAACCCAUGUCAGUCAUUUUCCUUGUCAAAAUGUUGAAAUACAGAAGUGCAACUCUGUUCUCGAAAGCUAAAACAGAGCUCUGGCUAGUCGAGGGUAUUUUCAUCAUUUCUUAGUCCACAGAGCUCCAAAUGAGAUGAUUCUUAAGGCAUUAGAACCCUAACUCAAAGAGCUACAACUUUCAUAUUUUGUACAAGAGUUAGUUCGGCCUCUAUCAUUAAGAAAAUAGUAGUUGAAGUGGUGCCAAAUGCAUAGAAGUGAAAACGCGAGCUAUCAAUACUCGACCUGAAGUCGCGUAUUCCUGAGGUCAUGCAUUCUCUUCUAUUUUCUGCAACUUGCCCUGCUUUCACAUAACUUUUUCAUCUCAAUUCCAACUAUCAAUUUCGGCUAUAUCUGAUCAAGAAAAGUGUGGAAAGUUUGAAAGACAACUCAUAGGAGUUUCAAGAGUCAAAAAUUACAAUUAGAAACAACUCAUUUGGCUCUUGAAUCCUCUAUAAAUAGAGGCCUUUGAAGAACAUUUUCACAACUUUGGAAGGUUAGAGAAACUCCACAAAAACAUAGUCUUCACUAGAAUUUCCUUAGUUCAUUAGUUAGGGUAGUAUAGUAUAGUUAGUGUAGCUUUUCCUUCUUGUAUUUAUAGUUAGGUUUGAAUGAAGAUUCAGGAGCAAAGAUAGAGAGGUUGAUCUCAUGUGACAAGGGUGAUAUCUCUUCUACUACUUUCUCUUUUGUAUUUGAUUUCAUAUUUAACUAUACUACAAAUUUGGCUUUGUUUUUUUUUUUUUAUCAUGUUUAGUUAAAGUUUAUGCCUAGAGUAUGGAUGACCUUUUUAUAUCUUGUUUGUGAUAUUUAACUGGUUAUUUGAUGAUGUUAUUUUUGAGCAAGUUAUUUAUCACUUUUGCUUUUCUAAUCAUGAUUAACUGGCCAUUAGUUGUGAUUAUCUAAAAGUGUUAAGUUUGUAAUGAGAAUUGGAGUUUAACACUAGUUCAAGGAAGUGAUAAAUUUAGGGAGUUCACUCAUGAGAGUAGAGGAACACCUUUGUGACCUAAGUGACUUGUUUCAUAUAAUUUCAUAGAAAAAAUGAACUUGUAAUUAAUUUCAUAACCACGAGAGUAAGUAUGGUUUAGCUAUAUGUAUAGUUGAUUCACUACGAGAGUAGGUUUCACAUACAUUAGAAAAUUACAUCAUAACUAGUCAAGAUAAUAUCAUUCAUUUAAUCAGUAAUCUCAUUUGCAUGAGUAGUAAGGCAUUCCAUAUCUCUAGGAGGUUUUUAGUAUUAUUUUCAUUACUUUUAUGUUUAUGGUAGUCUAGAUAAUAAUGGAGUUCGAAAACUACUAGUAAUUGAAAAUUUUCCCUGUGGGAUCGACCUUUAAUACCCUAUACUCGCUCUCGACUCGUAUACUUGAGAAAAAUCACGUGUGCGGUAUUUAGAAUUUAUAAAUGUAAAACUUGACUGUAGAUGAACUAAUUGAUAUAUGUAUACCCCGCACUCGUCAGUAACCAGCUUGUAUUGAUCCCACUAUUGUGGAUAAUUGUGCUCUUAUGAAAAAAAAUUAUAAAAAAAUUAGCAAAAUUUAUGAUAACAAAUUAAAUUUAUUCAUACAAAUCAGUGAAAGAAGUAGAAUUUUAAAGUCCAUGAUGAAAUUAAUACUUUCAAGGGCUCUAUUAGGAAGACUUCACUUGUUGGUGAAACUACACUAGCACAGUUAUAUGCACAUUUACUGUUUUGGUAUCUAAUUUCCUUGCCUUAAGUUGGGUGCAGAUGUUUAUAUUACAAAUAGAUGGUAUCAUAAAAUUGUUGUAUUCACGUUUGUUCUUUUUUUUCUUCCUUAAGUUUUUUUCUUUAUUCUCGUGACUUCAAAAAUACGAACUCAAGAAAUUGGCUGCUUAAUCAAUAUGUCAUACAGGCUUCGCUAGUGAGGUAUAACUUCACAACUAGAGUCAAUAGAAAUUAUCAAAUGAUUUUUUAACAUCCAAAUUAAGCAAUAAAUUUUGUUUUCAUUUUAUGACAUAUAAUAGUACUACUUCAUGAGAGAUUUUAUAGUUUCUUUUAGGUAUCAUACCUACAAGUGAUAUUUGUCAUUGGAUAGUGACAGAAGUGUUAAUGAUUGUAAGAUUAAAUAUUGUUAAAUAUUGAAAUUUAAACUAUUUAUCUUUAUUGAAAGAUACAAGUUAAAGAAUCGUUCAAGGGGGCAAUUUUCCAUCUUGUCUUUUUGAAAAAACGCUAUCACAUUGUAUAGGCAUGAUAGGUUCAAAUUUGUCAUUAAAUUUAUGAUUGAUUUUCCUUUUAUUCAAGCCAAAUAUUGUUUUAAUUAUCAAAUUCUACUUAUAUUUGGUUAAUUGUACUAAUUGUAGGGCGGUAGAGCAAAAGUUGCUAAAAAUAGGCGAUUUUCUGCAAAUUGGUUGUCAAGGCUGAAGGAUUUGGGAUUCGCAUGUUCAAGGCCUGUUUCCAAGUUUGAUUCAAACUCUGGACAGUUUUAGAGGAAGAUUUGGAAGAUUUGAAAUUUCAUUAUUAGUUUUAUGGUUGAAUUAGGAAUCUUGGAAUAAUUUCUUUUGUGAUUUAUUUUUCUAUUUAGGAGACUAGUUGUUAUUUAGUAGUAGACUUCAAUUAGAAAACAAAGAGAAAAAGAAGGCCGGAAUCCCGCUUGAUUAAUACCUUGGCCAGGGAACAAUCUCGGUGGGGAGGACGGCCACUUAGCCUCUCAAUUCAUCUUGCUUUUCGUUAGUUUGAGAGGAAAACCAAUUGCAACUAGAUUCAAUGGAGUCUGGCAGAAUUUCUUCUAGGAUGCGUAGCUAAAUCCUCAAUUUUUAGUCGAAGGUCAAUUUGAAAAUUCGGUUCCAAAUAUCUGUGAAAUCGAAUUAUUUUACUUAUUUCUUUUAUUUAUUGGUAUUCGCACGUUUUCUGAUUUAACUUUUUAUGAUUGUUUUGUUAUUUGAAUGUCAAGGGUCCGAUAUUCGAAUUAACUUAAUAAUCUACUGCCAAAUUAACCGGUUAAAUCCGUAAUUGUUUGAUUGAUUAAUAUCAGUGGCGACUAGCGUGAUUGGUCCCAUGUUAGGAAAACGUCUGAUCUAAUUUAAACAAACCGUCGUAGCGUGUUUGUUGAUUAGGGUUGGGCUUUUCUAAUUCUUAAUUCAAUUGAGAAAUUAAAUCCCCCGGUCGUACCUAGGAUUAUUUUUUUGUUAGCGAAAUAGUUAAUGGUCGUACCUUGACUAUCGAAAAAGUAAGGAAGAGUUGAUUGUUUAUCGCGUGUACGACAACUAUAAUCAAUCUAUUAAUGAGUAAUUGAAUUAUCUUUGCAUCAGUAAUCAGUUGAAUGGACCGUGUCUGAAAAGUUGUACCUUUGGCUAGAGUCUUAUCUGUUGUUGAUUCAUUCAUAUCUAUCUUCAUGCGUUGUUUUAAUUUAGUUAAUUAGUUAUUUUUAUAAAAACCCCUCAUCUCUGGACUCUAAAAGAAAUAAAUUAUUUCUAGUUCCUGUGGAUUCGAUCCUACUCACCAUACAAUCCAACCUGCAAUUGUAUGAACCCCAAUCUCGCUUCCUAGUCCACCAUUUUUCUCUAGGUAAUAAUCUCCCUUCUAAUUUCUUCACAAAAUGCACCUUUCAUCACCUCCAAUAGCGUCGACAUGAUCUUUACCCCAGAAGACUAUUCACCGACUCUCAAUUGACGUUAGAAAAUCUAAGAGUAAUUCUACUUUACCCUAAGAUUGAUAUCAACAAGACAAGGACAAUUUAGAAUUAUUACACGCCUCUUCUUAAUAGGAAAAAGAAAUAGAGAAGAAAGUCAGGCCAGGUCUAAUUUCUUUUCAAAGGCAAUACAACAUUACGAAAUCAAGCAUUCAUUCAUACAAAUAUUUCAUAGUCACCGGUUUGCUGAGUAGAAAAAUUUAGACAAAAACUUAAUAUUAUAUUGUUUAAGAGUUAACAAUUUAGAGCUUAAUCUCCUUGUACUUUGGAGUUAACAAUUUAGAGCUUAAUCUCCUUGUACUUUGGACUAAACUUGAACGUGAAAGGAAAUCCCAAAACCAUAUUGGGCAUGAAUUCACACUUAAUAUACCCAAUAAAAGAUGGCGACUGGUGAAAGGCAGUGGAGACUGGUGGAGAGAUUUGAGGAAUAGAAGCAGACGGAAAAGCAACAAAUUUUUGCCGAAAAACGGUCACUUUCAUGGUUAAUUUUGCUACUCUCCAAUUGUACUUGACCAAUUACAACAAUUUCAUGGAGUUUGAUACGUGAAAAGAAUUUUUUAUAAAUUUUAUUUUGAUCCAUAAUGUUAUCUUUACAUAUAUAAAACAUUUUACAAUUUUGAUUUUGGCGCAGUUAACUUUUGGUAAACAAAAAUGCUCAUGUUUAAAAAACCGGAAAUAAAACAAAACAAGAAACAAAAGAAAUAAGAGGGUAGCAUAGACAUUUUGGAUUUUUCCGUUAAUUUGGAUGAUUUCCACCCACGUUCUAAUUUAAUCCAAAACACAAAGGAAUUACGUAGAGGUUUUAAAUAAUGAGGGAGCUUCAUGAUCGAACCCCAAACCACAAGGCGAUUUACUAUAUUUUACUCUUAAAUUUUGGUUUCAUCUCAUAGCAUACAAGAGUUCUAUUUCACUAUCUGUAGACAAAGACUUUCUAUGGUUGAUGUACCAUAGGAAAAAAUCUGCCUAUACAACGUGAUAGCAUUUUUUCAAAAACACAAGAUGGAAAAUUGCCCCCUUAAACGGGGAAAUUCAUGAUCUUUCCUCGAACAAAGAAUACUCACGCCUAUUCAAGAUGGAAAAUUGCCCCCUUAAACGUCUAUUUGUCAAUUCUUGAAAAAAGAAUACUCACGCCUAAAACACGGCCUCUUCAUCUGCAGAAUUCUAAAAAGUUAGGUAAACUCUAUAAACAAGUUGAUAGGUACAAUCGUACCCAAGAUCAAGUACAGAUAGUUGUACAUUCACUGCUGCAAUAACUAAUCUGAUGACUUACAAACAUAUCAUGGUCAAUCGUUGAAUGGUAAUGAGUCUUUUGUUAUGCAUUAGUAUUAGUGUGUACACUCUAAUAGAUUGAUACUUAUACUCUUUAAAUUAUCAUAAUAAUACCCUUAAUUAACUUUAACUCUUAAAAAGAAUACGUGUUAAUACACGAGAGUGUGUAACCUGAAUUGUUACUUAUACAUUAGUGUGUAAUAGAUAGGGAUGGCAAUGGGGGCGGGUGCCCGCAGGCAACCGCCCCGCGGGGGGCUCUCGGGGCGGGGAGGGGGGAAUUUUUUCCCCCCGUUUAGAAACGGGGCAGGGGACGGGGGAGUAUACCCCCGCCCCAUCCCCCGCAAAAAAAAUUAUAUAUAUAUAAUUAUAUAUAAUAUGUAAUUUAAUUAGUUAUAAACUUAUGAUAAUGAUAUUAUUAGUUAGAUGUAUUAUAUAAUGUAUAUUAGUGUAUGUAAUAUAAUUAAUAUUAUCAAUUAUACGAAUAAUUAGACAUGUCUACUAAUAGAAUUUAUUAAUUAGUUAUACUAAAUUUACUAAUACAUUUAUACUAAAUUUCUAAUUACAUUUAAUAGAAUAACACUUUUUUCUAAAAAAAAAAGCACAAACACAAUAAUGAAUUAGUGAUUGUAUUUUUACCAAAAAUGAAAACUUAACUAUUUUAGUUGCAUUUAUUUCAUCAUGUUGGAUUGUAUUCAAAUAAUUUUUGUUUGAUUGUUUUUAUGAGUUUCAAUUGUAAAAUUAAAAUGAAUAAUAACUUGAUGAAUAAUAAUGUCAAUCGUUGAAUGGUGUGUACACUCUAAUAUUAUGCAUUAGUAUUAGUGUGUACACUCUAAUAGAUUGAUACUUAUACUCUUUAAAUUAUCAUAAUAAUACCCUUAAUUAACUUUAACUCUUAAAAAGAAUACGUGUUAAUAACUCUUAACCUGAAUUGUUACUUAUACAUUAGUGUGAAAUAGAACGGCAAGCAUUGAGCAACUUAUAGGAGAAAUAGUCCUAUAAGCUGUUGGAUGACUAAUAUAGCUCUAGCUGUAAUGUUUUAAUUAAAUUACAUCACUAACGUUGGGAUGACUAAUGGUUUAAAAAUAAUUGAGUAAUUGGAAAAAAAAAAAGAGACUAAUUUUCAUUGAAACCCACCGACAAACUAAACGUGUCCAUGGCUUUUGAAUAGUGCAUUCAACGUUUAAUUGUAUAGUCCAGUUCAUUGCAGAUUACAUGGAGUAAAGAUUGUGCUCUUUCCUUUUUCACCCCUUUUGGAAUCGAUACUGUGGAGAAUUGGGUUUUUCCCUUCUUUUUUUCUUUUCUUUCUUUCUGUGCUUUGCAAAACAUAGGUAAAAUUAUGAAAUCCGAAGCAUUCUUUAAUUGGGAUUAAGUAUUGUUCUUGAAAUUAAAAAGAAGAAAGAAAGAACAACAAAAUUCCCUGAUUGGUUGCAUCGUGCUUCCAUAGAAGCUCUCUUAGUGUGAUACACUGCUUUCAAUCAGUUUAACAUGGAAAAAAGAAAGAGAUGAAAAGCAAAUUUGGUGGGGAUAAUUUCAGAAACCUCCCCUGAAGAUUUUGACUAUUCUACUGGUCUCCCUUCAGAUUUUAAAAAUUACACUAAUCUUCCUUGAAGUUAUAACAUUUAAAUUCAAUCAAUAAUUUAAAAAAUGAUAUUAUGAAAGAGAAAAUAAUAUGAUUUUAUCAUUGCCCCCCAUCUUACUACAUUAUUUAAUUAAUUUAAUAGCAACCCACACAUUAAAGAAAAAUAUAAAAUUUGUUAUUUAUCAUUAAAGAUCAAAUCGCUUAUAACAUCAAAUAAUAGUAUAUUAUUUAUAUUUUUCACUUAACAUAAUAUCCAAAUUACUCUUUUCAAUUACAUACUCAUUGUUAGACAAUCAACAACAAAUAACCAAAAAAUUUGCAACCAAAAUAUUACAAAAAAAAAUAAACUUUAACAUCAUAAAUAUUCUUAUCAACAUAUUAAAGUUAGUUACUGAAAUUUUUAUGGUGUUAAACUUCACUCUUUGUAAUAUUUUGGUUACAGAUUUUUUUUGAUUAUUUUUUAUUAAUUAUGUUUGAUGAUGGGUUUGUAAUUGAAAAGAAUAAUUUAAAACUUACAUUAAGUGAAAUAUAUAGAGUGAUAUACUAUUUUUUAUAACAUAUGUGAUUCAAUCCUUCUUGAUAGGAUUGGUAAUAGAGGUAGAGGGGGGAGUCGGCUGCAUCCGGUCUUCUUUUCAUAGAUAGUACAAUAUUGCGAAAUCAAUCGCAUUCACACAAUAAUAUUUCGAAGUCAAUGCAUGGCUAAGUUGCAUAAAAGUACGAACACUUGUUAUUAUAUAGCUUAAGAUUCAAAACUUUAGAGCAUAACCCUCCACCUAACACAAUUGAAUAAUGAAUAUUCACGUUUGUCAAAUCUGUCAAAGCACAGUUUGAGGACAACCCAUUCCAACCUGCAAAAGAUUUUUUACUUUUCUAAAGUUGUUGAGAGCUGUAAAAAGACCUACCAUGCUUACAUCCUCCGAGCCUUGGGAGUUAAAAAUGAAGGCACUGAGUGCUAUAAAAAGGGGGCUAGAGGCUGCCUAGAAGCAUAUCAGCCUAAAACAAGAAUUUGUUGUUAUGAUGGGAAGCAAAGCAAAAGCAAUGGGGUCUGGGCUGACUCCUCUUCUUGCCACUGUUUUAGUGGUAUUUGUUGCUCUUGGCUUGCCCUCAGAAACAGCAGCUGAUGAUCACUACAAGUAUUCAUCUCCUCCUCCUCCUUACCACUAUCCCUCACCACCGCCUCCAGUGCAUUUACCUCCACCAGUGUACAAAUACAAGUCCCCACCACCACCUCAUCAUGUUUACAAGUACAAAUCUCCACCACCCCCACCACCACACCCAGUUUACAAGUAUAAGUCACCACCACCACCUCCUCAUCCGGUACCACACCCAGUUUACAAGUAUAAGUCACCACCACCACCUCCUCAUCCGGUAUACAAGUAUAAGUCUCCUCCGCCACCACCACACCCAGUUUACAAGUAUAAGUCACCACCACCACCUCCUCAUCCGGUACCACACCCAGUUUACAAGUAUAAGUCUCCUCCGCCACCAGUUUACAAAUAUAAGUCUCCUCCACCACCACCUCCAGUGUACAAGUACAAGUCUCCACCACCACCAGUUUACAAGUACAAAUCACCACCACCUCCUCCCCCAGUUUACAAAUACAAGUCUCCACCACCACCAGUUUACCACUACAAGUCACCACCACCUCCUCACCCAGUUUACAAGUACAAAUCUCCUCCACCACCAAUUUACCACUACAAGUCACCACCACCUCCUCCCCCAGUUUACAAAUACAAGUCUCCACCUCCUCCUCACCACUACUAAGCAAUUGCUUCUGAGGUAAUAACACUUGUUCAAUAACACUUGAUAGCCAGCUGAAUAUUUGCAGGCAAAGGAGAAGGAAACCAGUGUUUGAGACCUUCUUGAAGAUGUAGAAGCAUAAGAAUUAAAGCCCAAUGUGAAGAUGAUGAUUUCAAGUUUUUCUACGUUACCAUUUCAAUAUCUAAAUUGGUUGUAGCGCCUUAGUUCCUUUGUUUAUGGGAUUUGUAUCGUUUUACGUACCAUGCAGUACAUGUCAUGUUUGUAAGGUUUUCUAUCCUGCCGGCAAACCGCAGGUUCCAUGUAAUAAAUCAAUACUAUUUAUAUUACGACACUUUUCUCUGUUUCUCUUAUAUUUUGUCUUUAAUAUUCUUAAUCAUAUUUUUAACAAAAAUAUUCAAACACUUCAGCAAUGGUUCACCUAGUUGAUCAUCGAAGCAGAGGCAAUUCCAAUUAUUUAUCAAUAAAUAGGAUAUAACUACCAAACAAGCGAUGGCAGUUAACCCCUCCUUACUGUGUCGGUGAUCAAGGUACGCCCGUUAAUCACUGCUCUAAUUGAGAAAUAAUCCUAAGUACGCCCGUAGAAUUUAAUUCCCCAAUUGCCUUACAUAUUAGAGGAGCCCUAUUCUAACCAAAUAACGCACUAUCAGGGUUAUUUUAGAUUAGCCCGCGUAUUCCCCUGACAUAAAUCUAAUCAUGCCAGUUGUCAUUAUUUUGAGGUAAUUAAACAAUUACGGAUUUAACACCUCAAUUGACAAUAGAUUAUUAAAUUAAUUAAUUAUUCGGAUCCAAGACAAUCAAUUAAUUAAACAACCAUAAGCACUACAAUCAGAGAAUAUGCAAAUACCAAUAAAUAAAUAAAAAAUAAAAUUAAAUCGAUCUCACAAUUUUUAGGCGAAUCAGAGCAUCCGUUGUCCCUUGACUAGAGCAAGGAAAUUAGUUCAUAUUUGAUGAACUAAACCCAUACAAAAGGGAAGCGAGAAAUGCAGCCAUUAUCCUUUGAAAUCUGGAAAAUUCAACUUGUCCGAAUAUCGAAUAGAUAGUAAUACUACAAAAGGUAAUUCAUAGCUUCCCUUUCGUCUGACACACAAGAAGAAAAAAAAGGGCUGCUAAUAACUAAAGGAGGAAAAGUCAAAGUCCUAAGCUAUGCUACAAGACGAAAAACUAAAGAAGACAAAAAGGCAGUGCUCAUUCCCUGCAAUCUCAAUUCCUAUUCUAUCUAAGUGCUCUCCAAUGUGCGGCGGCUCCCCUUCCGGAGAGGACGAAGUGGCACCCUUUUUUCCUGCGCAAUUUUCCUAUAUAAAGUAGUGCUCCUUGCAGCGGCUCCUGUGCGAAAAAAUGAAGACUUCGGCCCAAUUUGCCUAACAAGGGCUCACGUUUUGUUGUUCUAAAAAUGUCCCUAGGACAAACUCUAUCAUCUGAACUCUUUUCUUGCCAAAUUAGUACCUGUUAUUAUAUUUUCGUUCUACUCCCUGAAAUAAAUGCAAAAUAUCAAAAGUGAGUAGAAUCUAGCAAUUAAUCCACAUUAGGUCAGGUAAUAGGGAAAAUUAAUAAUAAAAUAAAUGAUAAAAUUGCAAUCUAUCACGGGACCACUGUGGUAAGGUGUGUUUCGCCUAUUAUAAGGAGUUCGGAGAGUUAGACGUGUUGGAGGCGGAGGCGCGGUCACUCCUGCACGCCCUCCAGCUGUGUGCAGAUCGCGAGGUACGGGCGUUGACUGUAGAAUCUGAUUCAAAGGUGCUUGUUCAACUAGUUUGCUCGGAUAUGAGGUCGAAGUGGCCGGUGUGUAUCGUAUUGCGGGAAAUAAGACAUUUGAUCCGGCGGAUGGGUGCAUCCCUUCAUCAUAUAUUCCGUGAGGCCAAUUCGGUGGCGGACGCAUUGGCUUCUCUGCAAUUGGGAGGGCAGCAGUACUACACCUCAGGCGUGGCGCUGCCUUUCAGGCCCAGAGGAGAGGCUCUGCUGGAUCGUCAAGGAGUACCUCGCAUCCGUGAGGCGCUCACUAAGGUUUGAUAGGCUAUGUCCUCCUUUCAAAAAACUUAUUUCAUCUACUCCUUGUAAUCAUUUUUCUUAUCAAUAAAUUGAGGCUUUUUAUUUAAAAAAAAACAUAUAAUUUAAGGCAAAAAUAUGAUCCUAGCGAGUAUCGCACUGAGACAUUAGGAAACAUCAUUAAAAGAGUAUUUCUUGAGUUAGUGCAACUAUUUCUUAGGGGAAUUUAUAGUUACAAAAUUCAAAAAUUUGAGAUUCUAUUACUGAUUAAUUAAGGGCGUUAUCACUAUUUUUCUUAUUAUCACCAUUAUUUACCCCACAUACUAUAAGUUUUUUUAGGGCACAGGAAAAGAGGUGGGCCGAUGUUUAGUUAUGUACAAAAGUUCAAAAUUUGUAGAUAACUUAUCAUGUGCCCUUAGAGCGUAGAAUACAGAAAAAAUAUCUUAAACUAUAACUAAUCCUAAUAUUUUUCUCUAUGAUAAACUAGCUCUUAUCCAUUUCUUUAGAUGAUGAAAGGAAAUAGUUAGUCACCUGUCCUCUAGUGAUUACAACAGCAUCAAAACAAAUUAGCACUCUUUUCCCGUAGUUUAAAAAUCCCUCAGCCACUAAGAUUUUGCAUGUCGAACGAAUUAAGGAACAUAGAAGGUUCGUGCUGCACCACAGUGUCCUUGUUGACGAUGCAAAGACAGAAAUGCAUCCGCGUAUACUUCCUUAAGCAUUUUGAUUACUUUAUGAUUCGAACUUUUCUUGUCUGACAGCUGGACUUAAUUGAAAAACACAAGUAACAAUAUUUCAAAGUUGAUUCGUCAAAGUUUACCCAAUUGGUGAAACUUUCUUCAUAGAGCUGACUUUGUAUUAGGUGACAAUGAUAUGGAAUUGAUGUCCUUCCCUUUUUCCUUUUUUUGUGUUGAAGACGCACAACGUUUUCAAUGGCAAAUUUAUAUGGGCUUUUCACGACAAAAUGUGUUCUGAAAAGUUCAUUCCAGAGGUUAAAAUUUUGUGUGUUAAAAAUUUGCUUCUCAGGACUUUGAUGGGAAAGUCUUGGUGUUUCCAAAAAGUUUAAGCAGGAUGCUUCUGGCUUUCUCUCCAUGUAUUUGUGAGUUAGAUCUAAAAUUAUCAGGGCUCCAGAGAUCUCUUGAAAUCGCAGCAUAUAUUGAAGUCUUUCCAGAAGGAGUCUUUUUUUUUUUUUUUAUGAAUUAUGAUAGAUAAUUAAUCUGACGGUGCAUAUAUAUAUAUAUGUGAUUUGCAGUAGGGUGUUUGACGAAAUGGUUAGGCUUCCUAAGUAAUGAUAGGAAUGCCAUUUGCAAAGAAGGACAGGGGGCUGGUGCUGUCAUAUUUUAUGCGAUUUGAUCCGUUGUUGUAUAAGUUUAAACUUUUGACGUGCAAUUGUGCUAUAAUAUUAUACUAAAUAUAUGUGUGAAAUAUUUUGUCUAUAUACAUCACUUUUAUCAUGAAUACAACAGCUGAGUAUAAUAAUAUAGUAUAAUGUAAUUGUACACCAAAUAAUGUAGCAAAUAUAACAAUUGAUCCGAAUUACACGGAACCAUAACAACAAGAUCACCGCCUCCCAAAUUUUACAAAAUUAGGUUUUUUUUUUUUCUCUUAGAUUAUUGAAAAUUUUCAAAAAUAAUCUACAUAAUUUAAGCUUUUGUCCUACAAAAAUUUGAAGAGAUUUUACAUUACAAGCUUAAGCUUAGAUAUAUUAAACUUUGCCCCCAAGAUUAAUUUUCCGUUUUUAUCUAUGAACCGAUCCAUAUAGCUAGUUAGACUGUAGUCCUCACAUUUGUGGGAUUUAACACCCAAGAUUCUCCUUCUUGGAAUGUAAAAUGUAGAUCUUCUAUGUUAAUAAUUCAAGACCCUACUGUCAUAAACGAAAUGACUGAUCAACUCCUGUAAACCUAAUUUGACAACAUUUAAAUGGAGAACUUUAGCUAAAAGAAUUAUGGUCAAGCUAAAGAAAAAGCCAGUUAUUUUCCAACAUAUGCAAUCAUUGAUCAGGAAAAAAAAAAAAAAGCAAAAAGACAUCUUCAAUCAUUUAAUAGCUCACAGUGCAAAUUAACCCCUAAGCGAAAACUGGUUGCUCUAGAAUCAAAAUUUUACCUUAGUUACCCAGGCAACUUUUUUGUUGCUUUUUUUUUUUUCUUUUCCUUUUUGGGUAUAUAUAUAGCUCCAGUUUUGCCCCCUCUGUCAAGCUUAUAUAAUUAUUAAGAUAAUAAAAGUGCCUUGAAUAGUAUUAAUAUAUCCAUUGACUUGAGCUGUCAUCGAUCGGUUUGGGCUACUUCGAUUCCAUGAGAACAAAUGGUAAUAAAAGUACUCAGAAAAUAGGGAGCCAUGAAACCCUUUUGUUCUAUUCAUUGCUAAGAUGCUUUUCUCUAUAAAGAGACUUCCUAACGAAAGUACUUUGUAGAUUUCUUUACUCCAAGUGGUGCAUGGAAAAUUAAAAUAUUCAAUUAUCAAAUAAAAUUCCCUUUUUUCGGUGUAGAUUUCAUCCAUCCAGCUGUUAACACAUUUUAUGUAUCCGAAUUAUAUAUUCUCUACCAAAUAUUGUAACUUUUCUGAGCAUCUUUACAUUUUUAUUCCCACCUAACAAAUUAGUUGUUGAGCAUCUUUACAUGCUAUCGGAUCACAAGUUAAUAAUCUUUUAAAGAACAUGUUAAAUUAAUUUAUUGGUAUGAAUAGUCAAAGAAGUAUAUUAAAGUUAGUAAUCUUUAAACACCACGAUGCAAUUAAUACUUUCAAGCUCAAGGUCUUUUUUUUUUUUUUUUUUGGUACUGUACUUCCUUGCUUUAUAGUAUGCACGUUUAUUUCUGUGGAUUGCUUAAGCUUAUAUUGUUAAUAAUUGGGCAUUUAACCAUAAAUUAUAAUGAUUAUGAAGUCAUAUAUAUAUAUAUAUAUAUAAGAAAAUUACCACAAUUAUUCAAUUUUUUUUGCAAAUUCAAAUUUUAUUAAUAAGAAAUAGGCAGUAAGCUUUUACAAACGGAAAAAAAAAAUCCUACAACAACUCUAGGACCUUUGAAAGAAAGAAAAAAAAAAGAAAAGAAAAGCUUAAGGACUCUACCUCAUAGAAGCUAAACAAUCCUACAAAUAAACUGCAAAAUAAAUCACAAUAACGCAAAAUUUUUGUCUUUCUUCCGUAUGAAAUGAAACUACGAAGUCAAGAAUUGACUCCUUUAACCGCUAUUGCCAGCGGGCUCCGUCAGCAAGAUACAACUUUGCAAUUUGAUUCAAUAGAAAUCCUCAAAUAGCUAUUUUGACAGGCAAAUUAAGCAUUAAUUUUGGUAUCCCUUCAUAAAAUACAAGAGUACUUUUGAUUAUAUCUAUAGAUCAACUUUCUAGGCUAUUUUGAUGUAUUAUAAGAAAAUCUGCCUCAACAAUUUUGAUAGCAUUUUUCCAAAAGCAGAAGAUGGAAAAUUGCCCAUUUGUACUGGGGAGUUCGUGAUCUUUUCCUCCUUCUAGUCUACUUACAAUUCUUGGAAAAAGGAAUACUCACAUCUCAAACAACUGCCUGUUCAUCUGCAAUGUCCUGCCGAAUUCUAGAAAGUUAGGUGGCAAUGCUAAUUACAUUUCAAAAUUGACUGCUGCGAUGACUAAUUCGAUGGCUUACUACAUGGUCAACGUUUGGAUCCCUUCCUGUCCUUUUUGGAUGCACAUUUUUUUUCUCUAGGCAAUAUAUAAUCUCCCAACUCAUUUCUUUACAAAUGCACCUUUAAUCACCACCAAAAGGUGUGGACAUGAUCUUUACCCUAGAAAACUAAUCACCGACAGGCAAAUUGACGUCAGAAAUACUAAGAGGAAUUCUAGUUUCCUUCGGGUUAAUGCCAUUUUGUACCCUUCAACUGUAACUCGAUUUCUAAACUAUAAUUUGUGACAUUAUAGUCCUUAAACUAUGAAACCCCUCUUACUUAAGUACAAUGGUUAAUACAAUACCCGUGACUAGACAAGCAACCAUAACAAAAAAAAAUCCAAAAUUAGAGAAAAGAAAGAAGUUUCGCGACCAAAGUAUGUAUCAAGGCAUAGUAUAGAAAUAAAAGUGUCCAAAUUAAGAGUUUAGGGAUAAAAGAGAUCAAGAUAUAGUUUAGGGAUUGAUUUGUCUCAAUUAGAGUUUUGAUGUCAACUAAGAAGAGAGAUAUAGUUGAAGGGUAGAAUAUAGAUAUAACAGUUCAAUGAUUGAUAUCAACGAGACAAUGACAACUUUGGAUUAUUACCAACCUCUUCUUGAUGGGAAAAGGAAAUAGAGAAGAAAGUCGGGCCUGGUCUAAGCCUGCUUCGGAGGCAAAACAACAUUAUGAAAUCACCGGCAUUCACACAAAUAUGUCAAAGUCACCGGCAUGCUAAGUUGCAUAAUUUAUACAAACACUGAAUAAUAUAUUGUUCUUAAAAUUUUUGUUUAAGAUUUAACAAUUAGAGCACGGUACACGAAUUAGCAAUAUUAAAUAAUGAAUGUUCACGAUUGAUAAAGUUAUCAAAGUACAGUUUGAGGACAACCCAUUCCAACGUGUACAAGAUGUUUAGCCUUUGAAAAGUUAAUUAGAGAAGGUGACGAGAUUUUACUAGGCUUAAAUCUUCUAGGCCUCGGAAGUAAAAAAUGAAGGCCUUUGAGUGCUAUAAAAAGGGGGCUAGAUGUUGCCUAGAAGCAUAUCAGCCUCAGACCACAUUUUGUAGCAAUGGGGAGCAAAGCAAAAGCAAUGGGGUCUAGGCUGACUCCUCUUCUUACCACCGUUUUAGUGGUAUUUGUUGCUCUUGGCUUGCCUUCAGAAACUGUGGCUGAUUACUACAAGUAUUCAUCUCCUCCUCCUCCUUACCAUUAUUCCUCACCACCACCUCCUGUGCAUUCACCUCCACCACCGCCAAUUUAUAAGUCACCCCCACCACCUUACCACUACUCCUCACCGCCACCUCCAGUGUAUUCAUCUCCACCACCACCUUCGCCAGUUUACAAGUCUCCGCCACCACCUUACCAUUAUUCGUCACCACCGCCUCCGGUGCAUUCACCUCCACCACCACCUGUUUACAAGUCACCUCCACCACCUUCGCCAGUUUACAAGUCUCCGCCACCACCUUACUAUUAUUCGUCACCACCGCCUCCGGUGCAUUCACCUCCACCACCACCGAUUUACGAGUCACCUCCACCACCUCCUCCAGUUUACAAGUCUCCGCCACCACCUUACCAUUAUUCCUCACCACCACCUCCAACGCAUUCACUCCCACCACCAGUUUACAAAUCACCGCCACCACCUCCUCCUAUGUAUAAGUCCCCUCCACCACCUUAUCAUUAUUCCUCACCACCACCUCCAGUGCAUUCACCCCCACUGCCACCAAUUUACAAGUCUCCGCCACCUCCAAUCUACAAGUAUAAGUCACCACCACCUCCUCCCCCAAUUUACAAGUCACCACCACCACCUCCUCCAGUAUAUAAGUCCCUACCCCCACCAGUGUAUAAGUACAAGUCUCCACCACCACCUCCUCCAGUAUACAAAUCACCUCCACCACCUCCUCCAGUUUACAAAUCUCUACCACCACCAAUUUAUAAAUACAAGUCUCCUCCACCACCUCCUCCGGUUUACAAUUCCCCACCACCACCAAUCUACAAGUCUCCACCUCCACCCUCCCAUUACUACUACAAUUCUCCUCCUCCUCCUCCUCAUCACUACUAAGCAAUUGUAUCCAAGUUUUUGAGGUAAUAAUGCUAAACCAAUAUAUUAACUUUCGCAUGAUAAACUUUAUCUCUAUCAAGACAAACUGCCAUGUGCAUCAAGCCAAAUACGUACACUUCGAUCCAUGAAAAUGACAAGUAGAAGGUUUUCUUAAGAACCAAGGAACAGCAUUAGUAUUCCCUCUGUUUCCAAAACUUGUGUAUUAAAUAGAUUAAUGAAUUGUUUAACAUGCUUAUCUACUUGAAAAUGCACAAUACCCAUAACCCACUGAAAUUUUUGCAGGUAAAGGGGAAGAGAAUCUGUGUUUGAGAGCUUCAUGAAGAUGUUGAAGAAUAAGAAUAAAAGCCCAAUGCGAGGAUGUUUUCAAGUUUUUCUAUGUUUCCACUUUAAUUUGUAAAUUGAAUUUUUCGACUUAAUUAAUUCCCUGUUUGUGGGGUACGUAUUGUUUUACGUACCAUGCCGUACAUGUUUGUAAGGAUUUCUAUCCUAUUGGCAAAAGUCGGUUCCAUACAAUUAAUCAAUUCAUUUCACUUCUAUUGGCUCUACUAUUUAUGCACGUUACGACAUUUUUUCUCUCUUUCCCUUAUAUUUUGUCUUUAAUAUUAUUGAGUCAAUAGUAAUACUGGGCCAUUUUUUUUAAAACUUAUACUAGUAUACAUAGGUAGUUUGGUCUAACGCCAAAUUCAUGUUUGUCUUUCUUUUAUUCCCUUUACAUUUCAAAGUAUACUAUAGUUUGUGAUCAUUGUGGUGAUGAUAUUACCAGCUGGUACUUAUAGUUUAAGGCAGAGACAUGAUAUUAACAACUAUCUCAUUGAAACAUAAGGAAAAAUCAUGACAAGUGUGAGUCUUGGUUAAUGCACAAUUUGUUAGUGGAAUUUAUAUUUAUAAAACUCAAAAAAAAAAUUUUGACAAUGCUAUUACUAAUUAAUUAAGGACUUUAUUGCUAUAAUUUAUCGCUUGCUAGUUUAAACUAUAAAUGAUCUCAAUACUUUUCUCCAUGAUGUCGAUUUCUUUAGAUACGAAAGGGAAAAAUUAGUGACAUAUCCCUUACUGAUUACAACAUCAGCAAAAAUUAGUUAUAAACUUUUCCGGUGGUUUUAAAUCCCCGGGCCCUAAGAUUUUUUGCUCAUCGAGUGAAUUAAGGAACAUAGGCAAUUCAUUUUGCAUACCAAGUCCUUGUUUAAGAUGCAAGUACUAAAAUGCAUCCACUUCAUUAAUUUGGGAAAUUGCCAUAGUUUUUUUAAGCAUUUUGAUUUUUUACAUGAUUUAAAAUUUUCUUAUUGGAUACAAUCACUUUGUAUCAAGAACACAUUUUCAAUCACCUUUUUUUAUCUUCUCAAUGAGAAAAUAAAAAUUUAUUCAUGCUUUUCUAACAUAUUCAAUCAUUGAUCUGAAAAUUAAAACAUUAAGAAAAGGACAUUUUCAAACAUUAAGAAGUAGUAUUUUAAAGACCAUGAUGAAAUUAAUACUUUCAAGGUCUCUAUUAGGAAGACUUCCUUUAUUAAUACUCUACUAGGCAGAGUUAUAUGCACGUUUACUGUUUUGGCCUUAAGUUGGGUGCAGAUGCUUAUAUUACAAAUAGAUGGUAUCAAAAAAUUGUUGUAUUCACGUCUGUUCUUUUUUUCUUCCUUAAGUUUUUUUCUUUAUUCUCGUGACUUCGCUAGUGAGGUAUAACUUCACAACUAGAGUCAAUAGAAAUCGUCAAAUGAUUUUUUGACAUCCAAAUUAAGCAAUAAAUUUUGUUUUCAUUUCAUAACAUAUAAUAGUACUACUUCAUGGGAGAUUUUAUAGUUUCUUUAGGGUAUCAUACCUACAAUUGAUAUUUAUCAUUGGAUAGUGAAAGAAGUGUUAAUGUCUCUAAGAUUAAAUAUUGUUAAAUAUUGAAAAUUUGAACUAUUUAUCUCUAUUGAGAGAUACAACUUAAAGAAUCCUACCCAAAAGAGACUAGAAUUUUCUCUGUUUUUCAUCAUCUGUAGACAUAAACUUUCCACGGUUGAUAGCAUUUUUCAUCAUCUAUAAGGAAAUUUUGCCUAUACAAUGUGAUAGCAUUUUUCAAAAAGACAAGAUGGAAAAUUGCCCCCCUUGAACGGAAAAUUGCCCCCUUGUCAAUUCUUUAAAAAAGAAUACCGUCCCGCAGAAUUCUAGAAAGUUAGGCAAAACUAGACAAGUUGACAGGUAUAAUCAGACCCAAGAUCAGGAACAAGCAGUUGCACAUUUCAAAAUUCGCUGCUGCAACAACUAAUUUGAUGACUUACAACACUAAAUGGUCAAACUUUGAAUGGCAAUGAAUCUUUUGUUGUACAUCAUGAUGUAAUUUUCAUGUUACAUAAUAGAUUGAUAUCUAUGUUCUUUAAAUUAUCAUAAUAAUUAAAUUUAACUGAAAAAAAGAACACAUAUCAAUACACAAAAGUGUGCAACGUGAAUGUUAUUUUAGUGUAUUGCAGAAGACCUAUAGUCUCUUCAUAUCUCUUCCUGCACGUAUCAAUUCGUUUCCUCUAGAUAAUAAUCUCCCAACUCAUUUAUUUACAAAUGCACCUUUUAUGUUUUAUUACCUCCAAAAGCCUAAAAAUCAAUUCACCGACUCGCAUUUGGUAUCAGAAAUUCUUAUUACGAAUUCUACUUUACUCAAAGAUUGACUGUUAAUAAUGAGACAACGACCAUUUUGUAUUAUUACACCGUCCUUCUUGAUAGGCAAAAGAAAUAGAGAGGAAAGCGGGUCCGUAUAUGGUCUUUUAUUCAUAGAUAAUACAACAUUACGCCAUCGAGCAUUCACACAAUAUUUCAAAGUCAUUGCAUGCCUAAGGCCUGCUUGAUAAUCUAAUUCCGUACUUAAAUUUAAUAAAUUCAAAUCUUAACACAUUCAAAUCGUUUGAUAACAAAAAAUUGAACAUCUAAAUUAAUUAAGUAACACUGAAUUUUCUAGGCAAAACUUGCUCCCAAAAUUAAGUGAUAAGUUAUUCACUUAUCACUGAAUAUGAUAUGUAUUCAAAUGUAUUAGAUUUAAUACUUAAUAAUUUAAUGAAUUCAAAUUUCAUAUUUCAUAUUUCAGUUUUAUCAAACACACCUUAAGUUGCAAAAUAAUACCAAAACUUGUUAUUACAUAGCUUGAGAUUCAAAAAUUUAGAGCAUAAUUCUCAACCAAACACAAUUGAAUAAUGAAUAUUCACGAGUGUCAAAUCUAUCAAAGUACAAUUUGAGGACAACCCAUUCAAACGCGUACACGAUUUUUAACUUUUCUAAAGUUGUUGAGAGCUGUUGAAAGAGAUUUACCAUGUUUACAUCUUCCAAGUCUUGGGAGUAAAAAAUGAAGCCACUGAGUGCUAUAAAAAGGGGGGUAGAGGCCACUUGAGAUCCUCGGUGACAUGUUUUCUAUGCCAAUCCAAUGCCACCAAUAGUGUUGCGCCAAGUGUCAUGUUAUUAUUUACACUUGUGUUAAACUAAGCCAAGUUGAAUUAUUAGAAAAUUAAAGUGUAAAUAAUAACAUGACACUUGGCGCAAUACUAUUGGUGACAUUGGGUUGGCAUAGAAAAUAUGUCACCGAGGAUCCCAAGUGGAUAGAUGCUGCCUAGAAGCAUAUCAGCCUAAAACAAGAAUUUGUAGUAACAAUGGGGAGCAAAGCAAAAGCAACGGGGUCUAGGCUGACUCCUCUUCUUACCACUGUUUUAGUGGUAUUUGUUGCCCUUGGCUUGCCCUUGGAAACUGCAGCUGAUUAUUACAAGUAUUCAUCUCCUCCUCCUCCUCCUUACCAGUAUUCCUCACCACCACCUCCAGUGUAUUCACCUCCACCAACCCCUGUUUAUAAGUUACCCCCACCAUCUCCUCUAGUUUACAAGUCCUCACCACCACCUUACCACUACUCACCACCUCCUGUGUAUUCACCUCCACCAUCACCAAUUUACAAGUCACUGCCACCACCCCCUCCAGUAUACAACUCCCCGCCUCCACCAGUGUACAAAUACAAGUCCCCACCACCACCUUCUCCAAUUUACAAAUCUCCACCGCCACCAGUUUACAAGUACAAGUCACCCCCACCACCUCCUCCGGUAUACAAGUCUCCUCCGCCACCUGUUUACGAGUACAAGUCUCCUCCACCACCUCCUCCAGUGUACAAGUCCCCACCACCUCCAGUUUACAAGUACAAGUCACCACCACCUCCUCCCCCGGUUUACCAAUCUCCUCCACCACCAGUUUACAAAUACAAGUCACCACCACCUCCUCCCCCAGUUUACCAGUCUCCACCUCCACCCUAUCAUCACUACUACGGUUCUCCUCCUCCUCACCACUACUAAGCAAGUGCAUCUAAGUUUUGAGGUAAUAAUACCGAUCCAAAACUUUAUCAACGCAAACUGCCAUGUAUAUCAUGCUAAGGACGUACACUUGAUCCAUGAAAAUGGCUAGUAGAAGAUUUUUUUUAAGAACCAGAGAAAUACAUUAUUUUUUCGCUCUGUUUUCAAGAAUUUGAGCAGUAUACAGAUUAAAGAGUGUUUUUUUUAAACUUGCUUAUCAACUUAGAAAUGCACAUAGCUGAAAGCCAACUGAAUAUUUGCAGGCAAAGGAGAAGGCAAUCGGUGUUUGAGACCUUCAUGAAGAUGUAGAAGAAUAAGAAUAAAAGCCCAAUGCGAGGAUGAUUUCAAGUUUCUACGUUACCAUUUCUACAUCUAAAUUGACUUUAGCUCCUGAGUUCCAUGUCUAUGGGGUUUGUACUGUUUUACGUACCAUGCAGUACAUGCUUGUAAGGUUUUCUGUCCUGUUGGCAAGCCGCAGGUCCAUAUAAUAAAUGAAUACUAUUUAUAUUACGACACUUUUCUCUCUUUCUCUUAUAUUUUGUCUUUAAUAUUGUUGAUCAUUUUUUUUUUUUAUCAAAAGUAUCAAAUGCUUAGGCAAUUUGGUCUAAUGCUAAUUGUUUUACAUUUAUUUUUCACCUACAUCCCUUUUCAACUCAAAGGAUGCUACAGUUUGUGAUCAUUGUUUAAGACCGAAGCAUGGUACUAAUAAAUAUCUCAUUGAAAGUCAAGGAAACUAACAUUAUGAAAAGUGUAAAUCUUGAUUUGUGAAACUAUUUAUUCGUGGAAUUUAGAGAUACAAAACUCAAAUUGUGACGGUGUUGUUGCUAAAUUAUUUUUUUUUUAUAAUAAAACACAGUUCAUUCAAGGAUUACUGGAAAUCGUCCAGCACAAUUGAGAUACAUUGUUGCCCAGGUGGCAGAUAAAUAUGCACUAAAAUUAUAGAUAUGCAAUUUAACAAAUACAUAAGAUUUGAGAAAUUAAGGACAAAUCUAAAAAGGACCAUAAAUUUGAAAAACAUUUCAUCCUAGAAUAAGUCGCUGCAACUCUCUUUGUGCAUGCUGUAAUCGUCAGAUCUACUAAUCAACAGUUGUAAGGUCCAGUAAAGAUGGUGAGAUCUGCCGAGAUUGAUCCAAAUCUGAAAUAUUCCCUCAGAUCUGCUAUCCAAUUGGUUCAAACUCAAUACUGAAAGUGAAAUCUGAUGAGAAGACUGAAAAAAUUGUAGAUCUAACAUAUAGAUCUAAAAAAACUCCAAGAUUUGAAAAAGUAAAGAAACAAAACUAAAUAAAACUCUCAUUAAGAUAGUUUAGGAGAGACUAAAACUCUCAAUAGGACACCCUAGGAGAGAAGAAAACUCUCACUAGGAUAACCUAUGAGAGACUUUAUUGAAUGAAAGGAAAAGCAAAGGACAAAGGAAGAAGAAGGGAGACCUUGGCUUAAGGCCAAGGUCUCCCUCCUAUGGAGGAGGAAGGGUAGAGGAGGAAGCCUAGAGAGAAGGAAGAGAAUCCCUCCGCUAGAGGGAAGGAAGAGCCUCUGAGAGGGUACCCGUGUUGUUGCUAAAUUAUUAAGGACAUUAUCACCAUUACUUUUCCCUUACUAGUUUCAACUGCAAUGAUCUCAAUCUUUUUGUGACUAAUUCUUUUCUUAAUAAUUUAUAAAUACAAAACUCACAAAGAAUAUGUGACUUAUUCUUUCCUUUCGUCUUCUAAAGAAAAUGCCAACUGUUAGUUUAUCAAGGGAAAAAGGAUCGACAUCAGUUGUUAUUGAAACUAGUAAGGAAUAAAUAAUGGUGAUAAUGUCCUUAAUAAUUUAACAACAGCACCAUCAGAAUUUGAGCUUUGUAUCUAUAAAUUCCACGAAUAAAUAGUUUCAUCAAAUCAAGAUUUACACUUUUCAUAAUGUUAAGUUUCCUUGACUUUCAAUGAGAUAUUUAUUAGUAUCAUGCUUCGGUCGUAAACAACGAUCACAAACGAUAGCAUCCUUUGAGUUGAAAAGGGUAGUGAAAAAGAGAAGUAAAAAAUACAAUUAGCAUUCCCUCAAAUUGUAGAAAGUUAGGUAGCAUUAUAGACAAGUUGAUAGCCGUAAUUAUACUAAAAAUCAGGCAAAAGCCAGCAAUUUUACAUUUCAAAAUUCACCUAUUCAAUAACUAAUUCGAUGGCUUGCUACAUGGUCAAAAUUCACCACAUAUCCCUUUCCUCAAUCAGGGGCUUCUACAAUUACCAGUUCCAAUUGUAUGGUAUAGUGUAAAUAUCAACAAAUUAGAUGUAGACACUAAUAUAAUAAAUAUGGAUGCUAAGGCAACAACAUACAAAAACAUAAUAAAUUUUGGCAUUCCUUAAAAAAUUACGUCCCCAAAUCAAUCUCAUACACCCAAUUUCUAAUUUAUUUAACUCAUUCCGUCUAUUAACUGCACCAUACAAUCCAACCUGCAAUUGCAUGAACCCCAAUCUCGCUUCCUAGUCCACCAUUUUUCUCUAGGUAAUAAUCUCCCUUCUAAUUUCUUCACAAAAUGCACCUUUCAUCACCUCCAAUAGCGUCGACAUGAUCUUUACCCUAGAAGACUAUUCACCGACUCCCAAUUGACGUCAGAAAAUCUAAGAGUAAUUCUACUUUACCCUAAGAUUGAUAUCAACUAGACAAUGACAAUUUAGAAUUAUUACACGCCUCUUCUUAAUAGGAAAAAGAAAUAGAGAAGAAAGUCAGGCCAGGUCUAAUUUCUUUUCGAAGGCAAUACAACAUUACGAAAUCAAGCAUUCAUUCAUACAAAUAUUUCAUAGUCACCGGUUUGCUGAGUAGAAAAGUUUAUACAAAAACUUAAUAUUAUAUUGUUUAAGAGUUAACAAUUUAGAGCUUAAUCUCCUUGUACUUUGGACUAAACUCGAACGUGAAAGGAAAUCCCAAAACCAUAUUGGGCAUGAAUUCACACUUAAAUAGACCCAAAAAAAGAUGGCGACUGGUGAAAGGCAGUGGAGACUGGUGGUGAGAUUUGAGGAAUAGAAGCAGACGGAAAAGCCACAAAUUUUUGCCGAAAGAGGGUCACUUUCAUGGUUAAUUUUGCUACUCUCUACUUGUACUUGACCAAUGACAGGUUGUCAGUCUGUGCAAUAAUAAAAACCUGUUCAAACUAAAAGUAAUUUCUGUAGAUAGUGGUAAGCAGGGUCGAAUCCACAGGGAUUAGGUGUAACUGUUUCUUUUCAAAUUCACAAUAACAAAGGGGGUGUUUUUAUGCAGAAUGUGACAAUCAAAGAAAUUCAAUUAAAAGUAAAAUAAUAAAAAUAAAAUAGCCAACUAGAAAUUAAAUAACAAUUUACUAAAAUCAAAUGAGUGAUAAUUAAGGAUCUAGCCAAGGAAUAACUUCAGCAGUGGUUCACCUAAUUGAUCAUUGGAACAAAGGCAAUUCCAAUUAUUUACUAAUAAAUAGGUUAUAACUGCCAAACAAGCGAUGACAGUCAAUCACUCCUUACUGUGUCGGUGAUUAAGGUACGCCCGUUAAUCACUGCCCUAAUUGAGAAAUAAUCUUAGGUACGCCCGUAAGAUUUAAUUUUCCAAUUGCCUUACAUAUUAGAGGAGUGUCAGGAACAAGGAAAUAGAAUGGGACGUCGUUUAAUGCAAAGGGUUGUGCGUUUAAGGCCUUAGAAGCAAUACUACGUCGUUCUAAUAACAUAGGCGGUGCUGGUGUGAUAGGCCAAGUUAGUUGAGGGUCAAUUACAUAAAUAGCCUUCUGUAACAGAUUUUUGGUUAUGUUUUUGAAUGAAAAGUAUCUCGCUGCUUUCUCUCUCUUGUCUGUUAUUUCCCUCCCUUUUCUUCUUUCUCUCUUCCCUCUUCUUAAUCUUGUUUCUUUCUUCUGAUUCUUCCCCCAAAUUCAAUACAAUUCCAGAAAUUAACCUGCAAGUCUGACAUUUGGUAUCAGAGCGGUCGAUUCUUGGCCGCGAAGGUAUCAGAAAUGGCUGAGAGCACGCGAUUCAGGACACUGGAGGAGCAACUCAAGAAGCAGGAGAAUCGGUUGCAAGAACUGGCGGAAUCCAUGGCUGCACUGCAGAGUACGAGUUCCGAGGAGUUGCGGCAUAAGCUACAGGCGGAAAUGGAGCAGAACAAUGCAAAAUUGGACGCGGUGGUGGGAAGUCUGGACCAGAAGUUCAAUAAAAUGGAACAGAGACUCAGUACAGUGUUGAAGCUGCUGAUGAAGGAGAAAGGUCUCCCUGAUGUCGAAGGAGGAAUUUCUGAUCCAAUCUUGCCGACUCCUCCAUCUCAUCUGAGGUUAGCAUCCUCAGUCGAAGGGAUUGGGCACCAACAAGAGUACAGAGGUAGGCAAUUCACUCCUAAUGUACCUCGAUUAGAACUGCCAAUGUUUAACUCUGGAAACCCUAGGGAAUGGACCAGGAAAUGCCAGAAAUAUUUUUUGAACUAUCAGAUAGCAGAGAGUCAAAAGGUAGAGGUAGCAGAGAUGUUUUUGGAAGGUAGAGCUGACAAUUGGUUUCAAGGAGUGAAAUUGGUGAGGCCAGGGUUGUCUUGGGGGGAAUUUAGUGAACUUUUGUGUGAAAGAUUUUCUGGAAGUAGUUCUCGUGACAUUGUGGAGGAAUUUAACAAGUUACAGCAGAAAGGAACUGUUGAGGAAUAUGAGGAGAAAUUUGAAGAACUAAAAGCUCUAAUGCUGAUGAAAACCCCCAGGUUGGAUGAACUUUACUUUGUUUCCAGUUUUAUUAGUGGCCUCAGGGAAGAAAUUAGACCUAUGGUGAAGAUGUUUAAGCCUCAAACACUGAUGAAGGCCUUUGAAGUUGCGGAGUUGCAGGAGUGUUCCCUGGAAAUCCAAUCGAAACAAAACAGAACUUCAAGGAGGACAGCAAUGGAACCCAAGUUUGGAAUGUAUAAGGGCACUACGAGUGAUUAGGGUCGCCAAAAUUCAUAUAAGUUGCCUGGAGUCACUCCUGUCUCCAGGAGGACUAAUGCAGUACACAAGGAAUUUAGUAAGAUAUCAGCGGAGGAAAUGCAGUAUAAGCGUAAGCACAGCCUGUGCUAUAGGUGUGGAGAGAAGUUUGGAAUAGGUCAUCAGUGUAAGAAAGGAAGUCUGAACUGUGUGAGCACUGAGGAAGAGGAGGACACUGAAUUUGAGGAUGCGGAAGGGGAACAGGAUGAGUUAACAGGAAGGGUCGGGGAACUUGCAGAAGUCUCUUUGAAUGCUUUAUCUGGUGCCAUAAGGAGGAAAUCCAUCCUGUUGAUAGGGAACUUAGGGGGGCUUCCAGUCAAAAUUUUGGUGGACACAGGCAGUUCUAACAGCUUCAUUCACCACAGGAUUGUCAACCUACUGCAUCUACCAUAUCAGGCAGUCAGUCCAUUUACUGUGACUCUAGCAGAUGGAACUGACAUUACCAGUGGAGCCAUCAGUCCCAGCGUGUCUUGGUUAAUUCAGGACUAUCAAUUCCAAUUUGACUUAAAAGUAAUGGAAUUAGGGGGAUGGGAUAUAAUUCUGGGGGUGGACUGGAUGUGCCAGUAUAGUCCCAUUACAUUUGAUUUCCACUCUCUUAGCAUUGCCCUUAGUGAUAGGGGUUCUUUACUACACCUCCAAGGACUUGUGAAGCAACCUACUAUGGAACUGGUGAGGGGCAGGGAUCUCAGCUCGUUUAUACAGGAGAAGCAAAGAAACUGUGCAGCCAUGCAUGCUGAUAGGGCCAGGGAAACAGGAGAGCAGCUUCCAAAAGCUAUAGAAAGGAUCCUGGAACAGCACUCUCAGGUUUUCUCCACCCCAACAGGAUUACCCCCAGAGAGGGAAUUGGACCAUCAGAUCAACCUCAAACCAGGAGCUGAACCCUUCAAGCUCAAACCUUACAGGUACCCCCACUCACAUAAAGCAGAAAUUGAAAAAAAAGUUGCUGAGAUGCUCACUAAUGGAAUUGUUAUACAUAGCACAAGCCCCUAUGCCUCCCCUGUAUUGUUAGUAAAGAAAAAGGAUAACUCCUGGAGAUUAUGCAUAGAUUACAGGAAGCUGAACGAGCUGACUAUAAAGGAUAAGUUCCCUAUUCCCAACAUAGAUGAACUAUUGGAUGAAUUACAUGGAACCAGAUACAUGUCCAAACUGGAUCUCAGAGCUGGUUACCAUCAGUUGAGGGUGAAAGCUGUUGAUACCCCUAAGACUGCCUUCCAGACACACCAUGGCCACUUUGAAUUCUUAGUGAUGCCUUUUGGACUCACAAACGCGCCAGCUACAUUUCAGUCCUUGAUGAACAGAAUAUUUCAGCCAUAUCUCAGAAAGUUUGUCCUAGUCUUCUUUGACUACAUAUUAGUGUACAGCCCCACACUAGAGAUGCAUGCACAGCAUCUACAGAUUGUGCUCAAUAUUUUAGAAGAAAAUCAGCUGUAUUACAAGAGGUCAAAGUGCUCUUUUGCCCAGUCCUCAAUUGAAUACUUGGGGCACGUGAUCUCAGAGGCAGGAGUGAGUAUGGAUGUGGCUAAGGUGGAGUGUAUCAAGUCCUGGUCUGUUCCUAGUACAGUCAAGGAGCUGAGAGGGUUUUUGGGAUUAAUUGGUUACUACAGGAGAUUCAUUAAAGGCUAUGGAGUGAUUAGCAAACCCUUGACUGUAUUGUUGAAAAAGGAAGGUUUUGCAUGGAACCAUGAAGCUCAAAUGGCCUUUGAAGAUUUGAAAAAGGUUAUGACCACAGCCCCAGUGCUGAGCAUGCCUAAUUUCGAACUUCCUUUUGUCAUAGAGACUGAUGCCUGUGGAAUAGGUAUUGGAGCAGUGUUGAUGCAGCAAGGACAUCCUAUUGCUUUCCUUAGCAAGGCAUUAUCAGUUCAGAAUUUGGGGUUAUCAGUCUAUGAAAAAGAGCUUUUUGCCUUAGUGCUAGCUGUAACUAAGUGGAGGCAUUACCUGGUGGGUCAUCACUUCAUUAUCAGGACAGAUCACCAAGCUCUCAAACAUUUGAUAGAGCAAAGGCUUACUCAUCCACUCCAGCACAAGUGGCUAACUAAGCUACUUGGUUUGGACUAUGAAAUACAGUAUAAAAAGGGUGCAGACAAUGGGGUGGCAGACGCCCUCUCCAGGAGAAGGAUUGAGGGAAACACUGUUGACUGUGGAGAGACUGGGCAUCAGACCUGCGCCAUAACCUCAGCUCAGCCUAGUUGGAUGCAGGAAAUGCUAGAAAGCUACAUUGGAGAUGCAGAGGCUCAACAGAAGUUAUCUGAGCUAUUGCUGGAUCCCAAUGCAGAUCCAGAUUAUCAGUUAAAGAAUGGGAUGCUCAAGUUUAAAGGGCGGCUGUACAUAGGAUCUGCUAACAACAUUAGGACCAAGGUGGUCAGAGCAUUGCAUGACUCAGCCCUUGGGGGGCACUCAGGUCCUGGAAUCCGUAAGGAUGUCCUUCAAUAUGUGAGAUCUUGUGAUGUGUGUCAAAGGAACAAACAUGAAAAUGUUCCUUAUCCUGGGUUGCUGCAACCAAUUCCUGUACCUCAGCAGGCUUGGUCACACCUCACCAUGGAUUUUAUUGAGCAACUACCCCCAUCCCAUGGAUUUGAUACCAUUUUGGUGGUGGUGGAUAGGUUAACCAAGUUCAGCCACUUCAUUCGACUCACUCACCCUUUUUCUGCACAGCAGGUAGCACAGCUUUUCCUUGACAACAUAUACAAGCUGCAUGGACUUCCUGAGACCAUUAUAACUGACAGGGACAUAAUCUUUCUUAGUAAGUUUUGGCAAGAGUUAUUUGGUAUGGUAGGGGUAAAGCUGCACUACAGUUCAUCGUAUCACCCUCAAUCAGAUGGUCAAAGUGAAAGGGUCAAUCAGUGUUUGGAAAACUAUCUCAGGUGUAUGUGCAGUGAGCAUCCUUCUCACUGGAGCAGUUGGCUUCCUACAGCUGAGUUAUGGUACAACACUAACUUCCAUACUAGCUUGCAGGUGACACCAUUCGAAGCACUAUACGGGUAUAAACCAAAUCACCUUCCCUUAGGACCUUUUCAUGAUAGCCUGGUACCUGCUGCUGGUAACAUGGUGCAGACUAGGCUCCAAAUUCUAUCCCUCAUCAAAGAGAAUCUAGCCACCGCCCAGAAUCGAAUGAAAAUGUUUACUGAUAAGCACAGGACUGAACGUGUCUUCCAAGUGGGGGAUUGGGUAUUUCUCAAGCUGCAACCUUACAGGCAACAAUCAGUGGCCUUACGGAAGAAUUUGAAGUUGGCUGCCAAAUACUUUGGACCUUUCCAGAUCCUUGCGAGAGUAGGGGAAGUCGCCUACAGACUUAAGUUGCCAGAGGGAGCUCGAGUUCAUUCCGUGUUCCAUGUGUCCUUACUUAAAAGGAAAGUGGGAGUUACACAGCAGGUAAAGCCCAGCUUGCCAGAAGUAGACGCAUCAGACCAAUGUUUGCUGAAGCCAGAGAAGAUUCUCCAGAGGCGUGUUAUCAUACGAGCUGCCAAACCAAUCAUCCAGUACCUGGUGAAGUGGAACAACUUACCAGAAUCCGAAGCAUCAUGGGAGGAUAAAAGCUUCAUUGACAGACAAUUUCCGGAAUUUCAAGCUUGAGGACAAGCUUUGCUUAAGGGGAAGAGAUUGUCAGGAACAAGGAAAUAGAAUGGGACGUCGUUUAAUGCAAAGGGUUGUGCGUUUAAGGCCUUAGAAGCAAUACUACGUCAUUCUAAUAACAUAGGCGGUGCUGGUGUGAUAGGCCAAGUUAGUUGAGGGUCAAUUACAUAAAUAGCCUUCUGUAACAGAUUUUUGGUUAUGUUUUUGAAUGAAAAGUAUCUCGCUGCUUUCUCUCUCUUGUCUGUUAUUUCCCUCCCUUUUCUUCUUUCUCUCUUCCCUCUUCUUAAUCUUGUUUCUUUCUUCUGAUUCUUCCCCCAAAUUCAAUACAAUUCCAGAAAUUAACCUGCAGAUCUGACAAGGAGCCCUAUUCUAACCAAAUAACACACUACCAGGGUUAUUUUAGGUUAGCCCGCGUAUUCCCCUGACAUGAAUCCAAUCAUGCCAGUUAUCACUAUUUUGAAACAAUUAAACAAUUACGGAUUUAACGUCCCAAUUGACAAUAGAUUAUCAAAUUAACUAAUUAUCCGGAUCCAAAACAAUCAAUUAAUUAAAUAAUCAUAAGCACUGUAAUCAGGGAAUAUUUGAAUACCAAUAAAUAAAAAGAAAGGACAAAAUUAAAUCGAUUUCACAAUUUUUAAACGAACCACAACCUCAGUUGUUCCUCGGCUAGAUUGAGAAAAUUAGCUCAUGUUCGAUGCGAAAAAUCCACAAGAAAUUGUUAAGAGAGCCGCGGCCAUUGUCCCUUGAAAUUGGGGAAAUUCAAUUCGGUUGAACUACGAAAGAAAAGUAAGCUACAGAGAGUUGCCGAUUGGGUUUUGCUUGUCCCUAACAUGCGAGGGAGCAAAGCCACGAAAGGACGACAAAGGUCAAAAAGAAAGGCUACAGAGCAUGUUCCAGGUCUUUUUGUGCUCUCCACAUCCGAGCCAACGAAAAGAAAUAAAAAACUACCAGGAGCUAAAGGAAAACCGCAAGAAAAGUCAAAGGCUAAAAAAACUUCCUAGUGCUUGUUCUCUGCUUAUCUCUUUAUCUAAUUCUAAGUCCCCGAUUUUUUGCUCCGUGCGGCGGCUCCCCCGGAGAGAAAGGAUUGCAUCCGCUGCCCUCUUCCACCAAUUACCAAAAUGGGCACACCGCUUCUUUUUCAAAAAUGCUCCUGGAUAAACUCUAUCAUCUGGACUUUUUUUCUGUCAAAUUGACAUUUAUUAUUAUAUUUUCGUUCUACUCCCUGAAAUAAAUGUAAAAUAUUAAAAAUGAGUAGAAUCCGACAAUUAAUUCACAUCAGGUCAGAUAAUAAAGAAAAUUAAUAAUAAAAUAAAUAAAUAAAUUGCAACCUAUCAACCAAAUACAACAAUUUCAUGGAGUUUGAUACACAAGCCCAAAUACACGAGAGUGUGUAACCUGAAUUGUUACUUAUACAUUAGUGUGUAAUAGAACGGCAAGCAUUAUGGUGGUCAUUGAGCAACUUGUAGGAGAAAUAGUCCUAUAAGCUGUUCAAUGACCAAUCACAACUUGCUAAUUGGAUGACUAAUAUAGCUCUAGCUGUAAUGUUUUAAUUAAAUUCCAUCACUAACGUUGGGAUGACUUUUUAAUCAAAAAAAAAAAAGCCUUAGUUCAAGCUUUUCCCCUUAUUGUGCAUUUUUUAAAACAUUUGAUAGGCACUGCAAAUCUGUCAUUUUGGACAUUUUAUUAUUAACUAACAAUGAAAGCCGUGGACAUCAACCCAUAUCCAACAAAAUAUUAAAUUAAUAUUAGAAAAAAUUAUUAAGUAAUUGGAAAAAAAAAGAAGAGGCUAAUUUUCAUUGAAACCCACCGACAAACUAUACGCUGCUUUCAAUCAGUUUUAACACGGGAAAAAGAAAAGGCAUGAAAAGCAAAAUUUGUGGGGAUAAUUUCGGAAACCUCCCAUGAAGUUUUUGACUAUUUUACUGGCCUCCCUUCAGAUUUUAAAAAUUGGACUAAUCUUCCUUAAAGUUAAUUAUCUUGUAACAUUUAGAUCCGAUCAAUAAUUUAAAAAAUAAUAUUAUGAGAGAGAAAAUAAUAUGAUUUUAUUAUUGCCCCCAUCUCACCACAUUAUUUAAUUAAUUUAAUAGCAACCCACACAUUAAAGAAAAUGACAGGUCGUCAACCUGUGCAAUAAUAAAAUUAAACCUAAUUGCCAGUUAAAAUGACCAAAACCCAAUUCCAAGUACUGGAGCAGGGACUCUAGGUGUGCAAUGGGUUACUUGAUUCACCCUGUUCCCGAAGAGUUUGCUUGAUCCGAUAUACCCGAAUGGAAUGGUUAUUCCUUUUCACAAAUGAUUAGGAAUUUGUAGACAGGGCAAGUAGGGUCGUAUCCACAGAGACUGGGUAUAUUUGUUUCUUAAGAAAUCCAAAGUAACACAGGGGGUGAUUUUGUAGGAACGACGAUAAUUAAAUAAAUUCAAAUGAGAAAGUAAAAAUAAAUAAUUAACUAGAAAUUAAACCACAAUUUACUGAACUCAGGAUAACAAUAGUUAAAGGCCUCAAUUAAUUAAAAUAAGGAAACAAUCAAAAAUAAAAUAAAGUAGGUAAUUAAAAGUCAAAUGGCAAUCCACUACAAUCAAGGAAAUAUUAACUAAAGAUCUAGCCAAGAAAUAACUUCAGCAAUGGUUCACCUAAUCGAUCAUUGAUGCAAAGCAAUCCCAAUUAUUUACUAAUAAAUAGGUUAUAACUACCAAACAAGCGAUGGCAGUCAACCCCUCCUUACUGUGUCGGUGAUCAAGGUACGCCCGUUAAUCACUGCUCUAAUUGAGAAAUAAUCCUAGGUACGCCCGUAGAAUUUAAUUCCCCAACUGCCUUACGUAUUAGAGGAGCCCUAUUCUACCCAAAUAACACACUACCAGGGUUAUUUUAGAUUAGCCCGCGUAUCCCCCUGACACGAAUCUAAUCGUGCCAGUUGUCACUAAUUUGAGGUAAUUAAACAAUUACGGAUUCAAUACCCCAAUUGACAAUAGAUUAUCAAACCAAUGAAUUAUCCGGAUCCAAGACAAUCAACUAAUUAAAUAAUCAUAAGCACUGCAACCAAGGAAUAUGCGAAUACCAAUAAAUAAAGGAAAAGAUAAAAUUAAAUCGAUCUCACAAUUUACAGGUGACCCAAAGCAUCAGUCGUUUCUUGACUAGAACGAGGGGGUUAGCUCAUAUUGGAUGAACUAAGCCCGCGGGAAAUUCCAGCAAAAGUCACGGCCGUUGUAUGCAUUUCAAGAGCCGCAAUUCGUCAAACACUUGGAAAGCGAAUGUAAGGCACGGGUAACAAUUGAAACUUUCUAAUUGUUCCUAGCAUUCGUAAAGCAAAUUCACUCCAGAAGUACAGUGAGGAAAAGUCAAAGAAAGUGGGCUUCAAUUCCUUGCUCCUGACAUGCGUGGAGACAAGCCAAUGCAAGACUACAAUAAACUAACAAGGAAAAGUCAAGAAUUGGAGCUAAGCUCCCCUGCCAUGCGCAGGAAUCCCAAAAGUAAAAAGUAAAGCUUCAAAGAAAAGUCAACAAUUCUUCCUAAGCUACAGACGGAAGAUCCAGCACAAAAGCCAGCUCCCUUUUUGAUCCCUUUUUCCCCCUUCUUAUUGCGGCGGCUCACCAGGAGAGGAGAGCCCUCCGUCCGUCCUUUCUUCCGGAAAUUACCAAAAUGGGCAUGACAUCUUCUCUUCCAAAAGUGCCCCUGGGACAAGCUUUCUCAUCUGAAUUCUUUUUUUUUCCAAUUUGGCACCUGUUAUCAUAUUUAUAUUCUACUCCCUGAAAUAAACGUCAAAUACUAAAAGUGAGUAGAAUCCAGCAAAUAAAUCCACAUCAAGUCAGGUAAUAGGAGGAAUUAAUAAUAAAAUAAAUGAAUAAAUUGCACCCUAUCAAUUCCCUCCACACCUAAACCAUGCUUGUCCUCAAGCAUAAGAAAAGUAAACGAACACCAAAAUUCGACGAUAGCCAUUGCCCAAUCUCCUAUAUUGCCAAGACAUUCAAGAGAAAAACACAUAUCGAGCAUUGGUGAUUAGAAUCCCAGAAGCAUCCCCCCGGUUAGCCUCUAACCCCCAGAUUCCUUCAAUUUCCAACUUAACUACUCUAAGAAAGAGGAAUGGCACACAACAUUUAUCAGCUAGUGGUCCGAAUAUUCACACAAGUCUUCAUAUCCAAUCCAUAAACCGGCAAGCUUCCCUAUUAUUUAGUCUCUCUUUUUUUCCGUUUUUUUUCAUUUUCAUUCUUCCCCUCUUUUUUUUUUUUUUUUAAAGCAGUAGCAAUCAACACAAAAGACUUAGUCGUUAGCCGUCAGGGCCUUUUGAUGCGAACUCCAACAUUUUUAGAAGGAGGAGCCCGGUUACUCAGCUCCUACCGCUAUACGACCACGCACUCAUAUAAAAUACCACCUUUUGACGCGAGAAUCGACACUUUUAGGUGCCGAUCCCCGGUUACUCAGUAGUAACUUAAUAGCGGAGCACAGUCAAGCUUAUUCUCAGCCAAACAAUGCACAAACGCAAAAUAACAGCACUAACAAUCAAACAUAGGAGCAGCUCGCCUCAUUAUUGUCAAACAUGGAGAACUGGAGUCAAUAUUGGACCAGUUCACAUUAAAAGGCCAUAUUCAUUCCCUACGCCUAGAAAAGUUAACAAAGAAAUCGAAAGAGUCAAACAGUUAAAUAUUCACCAAGGGGAUAUUCAGGACCCAACCACACUAACCCGAUACAUUUUGUAUUUUAAAAACUUGGCAAAAGUAGAUUUGGAGUCAAUGAGUCCACAUCUCAAUUUUAGCCUUCACAUGAAAGGCAAUCACCAAGAAGAAAGAACGGAAAAAUAAGCAACUAGAAAUGAGACUACGAAAAACUACUAAAACUAAAAACUCACUUUUUUUCUUUUUCUCUUUUUUUUUCUUUUUGAAUUUUUUUUUCAUUUUUAUUUUUUUUUAUUUUUUUUAUUUUUUAAACAUUAACUAUAAACAUUAACUACUAAAAACUAAAAACUAAAACUACUAAAAACUAAAAACACUAAAAACUGCUAAAAUGAAAAGCUGAAAACUGAAAACUACUAAAAACGGAGCACACUAGCAUAACUUUAGAUCCCCCCCACACCUAUAGGACACAUUGUCCUCAAUGUGACAAAUAAGAACCAAAAGUGAAGCACAAGUGAGAGGGGAAUCAGCCAAACUUCCCUGAAAUCGGGUCACAGCGGAGGGCGAGGUGGAAAUGGAGGUGCAAAGCCUGUAUGCAUCAGGAACUGUGCCAAAUUCUGUGCUAUGCCGGCGACAUUGGCGUCGACGUUGGUCAUCCGGGCCUGCAAAUCCUGAACCAGCUCCCUGAGAUGCUGCCAAUCAUCGGUCCCAGGUGGUGGAGGUGGCGCAGAAGUAGAGGUAGACGGCCCAGCAGUGUCCGCGGCCGACCCAGGGAAUGAAGAUGGCCCUGCCCGGGCCGAAUGGUGUGCACCCGGGGCUCGAGGUGGUCCCGGACGGGUAAACUGGUGAAAACCAUCUGGCAGACGCUCGACGACCCCCAUUUUCUCUAAGCAAACUACGUCCAAGUGCUCCAUCUCAAAUGCCAAAUGGAGGUCGUGGUCAUCCAGGUUAAGAACUCCCAACUGGGUCGCCAAGUGAGUGAUGUAGGACCCAAGGAUCAGUGGUUUGUUCUUCUUGGUCAAGACCGUCUUGAACUGUGCGGCCAACCAACAUCCCAAGUUCACCUUGAUAUUGUUCUUCAUACUCCAGAGAAAGAAGAAUUCGGGCCGAGAGAGUAUACCGGAGCUGUCCUUGCGCCCCGAGUAGCUAUAAGCUAAGAAUCGCUGAACAUAGCGGGCGCUAGGGUCCUUAAGAAAGGAGCUCCUGGACCGGGAAGGAUCGUAGCGUUGCCUAUCGACGGACAUGUCCUCCCAUACAUCAUGGUAGUGGGAGAGGAAAGGCUCUACGUAGUCACAGGCACUCUCCGCAUACUCCCUAGUCUCAGCAUACUCUCUAGUGAUAAACCCAAAUGCCAGAUUGAAUUGAGUAAUGGAGAAAUUGAAUUCUCGACCCAUGAGCCGGAAAUGAAUGACAUUCGGUGUUUCACCCGUGUAUCUCGUAGGUAAUUCGAACUCAAAGGUGGAGUAAAACUCCCGGAUCAGCUCAACAAAAGCGGGACAAGAAAUAUGGAAAUAUGGGCGCCACCCAAUGGCUGUGAACAUUUGCUCAACCUCCUCCCGUAUACCCAGGGCAGUUAGAGAGAGUCUAUGACAAGACUUACAGGAUAUUAUACGCCUCUCGCAGACCUUAGCGUACCUCUGCCGAUCGGCGGGUCUGGUAAAUGUUAAGUGCCCCCCAAAAUGAACAGGUGCAUCUACCUGAGCACCCCUAUCCCUACCCAAACGGGUUCGAACACUAGAAGAGGAGGGUAGGUUGGUAGGUGAGUUGACAGGAAUAGAGGCUUGUGGAGGGGGUUGAGACUGAGAGGUCCUAGACCUAGAGGAGGAUUUCGGUCUCACCAUUCCCCCCAAAGUAAGUUCAAGGCAACAGAAAAUCCGACAAGUAUAGAAACCAGCAAUUGACAAAGCAAAAAUCUCCCAGUAGUAACCCAGCCAAUAGCAAACAAAAGAGUUCCAGCAAGUAAUCAACAAGCAAUUCAGAAAUAUCUCAACUAAAAUCUCAAGAGAAACCCCAGCGAGUUAUCCAGCAAUUCAAGCAAUAUCCCCAAGCAAUGUGGUGGUCAAAAUGUCAUCUCCAAAUUGAACAAAUAAUCAGAGCAUUGCAACACAUUGAAAAUCUCAAUAAACGGCUCCAGUUGGCCAAGAAAAAUUGCUAACUCAUACUCAGCAAUAGUAGUGCAGCAAAGGGACAGUAACCACGCAAUAAAAACACUUAGCUUGCACUCAAAUGGUCACCCCAAAUAACAACCCAGUAUGAAACCCGCAGGCAGAGUAUUCCUCAAACCGUUAGCCUAAACCCAGUCAACAACCACGGCCAGAAAUAACCCCAUAAAUAGUGCAAUGAGUAAUCCCCAGCAACAUAAUCAGGUGUAAUCAACUGGAGCAAGCAAUUUACAUGGCAUAGAAACCUCCCAAUCAAACAAGUGCAUUAUUCUAGCGCACCCCAAAAUUCCAAGAAAUGGCUCCAGUUGGCCAAUUAAUUUCACAAUGUCACCCAACUCAGGAGAAAUAGCAAUUCCACACAAAAAUAGUCAAACCAGUACCACUGGCGAAAAAUCUUUCAAAUAUGCACAAUUUGCUACCAAAUAUCACCGGCUAACACUGAAAAAUUGAGGGCAAGUGUCAAAUACCUCCACAGGGACUACCCCAGGCGGCAGACAGAGAAGCGGCGUUGAAGCUGGUGGUCGAGCGGGGCGGCGCUCGCGUCGGCGUGCGCAGCGGCGACGGCGCGCGAGGAUGGAGUUUCGGGAGGUUGCGUGCGGGCUUGGCUGAAGACGCGGCGCGCGCUAGGGCUUCGCUGCGGCAGGCGUGCAGCAGGGGAGAAGAAAGAAAAGAGAAAGAAAGAAAGAAAAAGAAAGGAAAGAAAGAACAGAAAAGAAGGAAAAGAAAAAGGAAUUUUUCUUUUUUUUCUUUUUCUUUAGGCUACGGUUUAGAGGACAAAUUUUUCUUCUUCUUGUUUUCUACUUUUUUAUUUUUUUAUUUUUUAGUUUUUAAUUUAUUACUAUUAUUAUCAUAUUUAAUUGAGGAAAAAAAAUGUUUUUUUUUAAAUCCCUACCUUUCCCACGAACGUGACGCGGGCACGUCAAGAGGGCAAGAGAGCUCCCAGAAGUUUCAGAAUUUUCUGAUCGUAAGCGUCCUGCACAUCACCACGCGGGCACGUCAUGAGGACAGGAGAGCUCCCAGAAGUUCAGAAUUUUCUGAUCGUGAGCGCCCUGCACGUCACCACGCGGGCACGUCAUGAGGCCAGGAGAGCUCCCAGAAGUUUGAAGUUUCUGAUUCCUGCCCGUCAUCACGCGGGCGCGUCAUGACUGAAGGUCACCUACAAAUCAGCAAAAACGAAAACUAACACCCAAAAUCAGUCAAAUUCAGGGAAAGCAGAUUUAAACUAUGCUACAAAACCAACAAACAAUUAAAAGAAAUAAUUAGGUUGCCUCCCAAUGAGCGCCUUUCUUUAAUGUCUUUGGCUAGACAUGGUAAAGUGUCACUGAUUAGGACACGGUGGUGCGUCAAGCCUUAUUGUCUCCACCUCUCUACCUGAAAAUCCUUCGUAAUAAUAUUUGAGACGGUGUCCAUUCACCACAAAUUUGUUGUCUGUCUUAGCACUCUGGAUCUCAACUGCACCAUAGGGAAAAACAUGAGUAACAAUGAAAGGUCCAAUCCAACGGGAACGUAGCUUACCUGGGAAUAGCUUGAGCCUGGAUUGGUACAGGAGGACCUUCUGACCAACUUCAAAUGUUUUUCUUGAAAUUUGUUGGUCAUGAAAUGCCCGGCUUUUCUCCUUAUAUAUCAAGGCGUUUUCGUAUGCUUCGUUCCGGAUCUCCUCCAAUUCUUGCAAAUCCAACUUCCGUUGAGCACCGGCCUCCUCUAAAUUCAUAUUGCAGUGCUUUAUCGCCCAAAAAGCCUUGUGCUCGAACUCCACUGGAAGGUGACACGGCUUCCCAAAUACCAACCUGUACGGUGACAUCCCAAUAGGAGUCUUGUACGCCGUCCGAUAGGCCCAGAGUGCGUCUUCCAACCUUUGGCUCCAGUCUUUUCUAUCAGGGCGCACCAUUUUCUCUAAAAUGGACUUAAUCUCCCGAUUCGACACCUCCGCUUGACCAUUGGUCUGAGGGUGGUAUGACGUUGAGACCCUGUGGAGUACACCAUACUUGCGAAACAACGCAGCUAUGGUUUUGUUGCAAAAGUACGUUCCCCUAUCACUGACAAUAGCUCUAGGCAUUCCAAACCGCACAAAGAUAUUAGACCUGAUAAAAUCUGCAACUACUCUCGAAUCAUUAGUUCGAGUGGCCUUAGCCUCCACCCAUUUAGACACAUAAUCAACUGCCAGCAAAAUAUAUAAAAAACCAAAUGAAGUAGGAAAAGGCCCCAUGAAAUCUAUACCCCAGACAUCAAAAAUUUCAACAAAAAUCAACGGGACCUGGGGCAUUUGAUCUCUACGGGCUAUAUUACCUACCAUUUGACAGCGAUCACAUGACUUACAAAACACAUAGGCAUCUCUAAACAAUGAAGGCCAAUAAAAUCCACUUUCUAAAACCUUAUGAGCAGUUCUCUUAGGUCCAAAAUGACCUCCACAGGCAAAAGUAUGACAAAAAGCUAAAAUUGAUUGAAAUUCCAUUUCACUUACACAUCUCCUCAUCACUUGAUCGGCACACCUCUUCCAUAGGUACGGGUCAUCCCAGAUAAAAUACUUGGCAUCGCUCUUCAAUUUAUCCCUCUUCGAUUUCGGCCAACCUGCAGGAAAAUUACCAGUUACCAAAUAAUUGACCAAAUCAGCAUACCAAGGCAACUGAGAAUUUAAGAAAAAUAGGUAUUCUUCGGGGAAUGCAUCCUUCAAUGGCUCGCUAUCCUCUUCAACUAGUAUGCGACUCAAAUGGUCCGCUACUAGAUUUUCUGAGCCUUUUUUGUCCCUUAUCUCCAAGUCAAAUUCCUGUAGGAGCAGUAUCCACCGUAUGAGCCUCGGUUUUGCAUCUUUCUUGGUCAUCAGGUACCUCAAUGCUGCAUGAUCAGAAAAUACAAUCACUUUAGCACCUAACAAGUAUGACCUAAAUUUUUCCAAAGCAAAAAUAACUGCCAGAAGCUCCUUCUCAGUGGUGGAAUAAUUCAACUGGGCUCCAUUCAAGGCCCGGGAUGCGUAAUAGAUGACAUGAGCCGCCUUGCCUAUUCUUUGCCCCAGUACAGCCCCAACAGCGUGAUCACUGGCAUCGCACAUGAUCUCAAAUGGCAAAUUCCAAUCGGGGGGUUGGAUGAUUGGGGGUGAAGUCAGCAAUUCCUUCAGCUUGUUAAAGGCUCUCUCACACUUAUCAUCAAAUUCGAAGGCUACAUCUUUUUGUAGGAGUUGGAACAACGGGGCUCCAAUCUUUGAAAAAUCCUUGAUGAACCUUCGAUAAAAACCUGCAUGUCCAAGAAAAGAGCGCACCUCCCGCACACUCGCGGGGUAAGGUAAUGCAGAAAUAAUGUCUAUUUUAGCCUUGUCAACUUCUAUGCCCUUAGACGAUACAAUAUGACCCAGGACUAUUCCGUGCUCAACCAUAAAAUGACAUUUUUCCCAAUUAAGCACAAGAUUAGUCUCUAUACACCUGAUCAGGAUUAAUUUCAGGUUAUCUAGACAAGUAUCAAAACUAUCACCAUACACACUGAAAUCAUCCAUGAAAACUUCUAUUAUUUUCUCAACAUACUCGGAAAAGAUGCUUACCAUACAUCUUUGGAAAGUCGCAGGUGCAUUGCACAACCCAAAUGGCAUUCGUCUGUAGGCAAAGGUCCCGAACGGGCACGUGAAGGUUGUCUUCUCUUGAUCCUCCGGGGCAAUUGCUAUCUGAAAGUAUCCUGAAAAUCCAUCCAAAAAGCAAUAAUAAGCCCUACCAGCUAAACGUUCAACCAUUUGGUCAAUGAAAGGGAGAGGGAAAUGGUCCUUUUUGGUGACGGCGUUUAGCCUACGGUAAUCUAUACAUUGCCUCCAUCCAGUGGGUUUGCGCACUGGCACGAGCUCACCAGUUUGGUUGGCCUCUACCGUCACUCCUGCAUUCUUUGGGACUACCUGGACCGGACUCACCCAAGGGCUAUCAGAUAUUGCAAAAAUGAUGCCCACAUCUAGCAAUUUUAGAAUCUCUUUCUUUACGACUUCCAUCAUGAGGGGAUUGAGCCUUCUUUGAGCCUGCCUAACAGGUUUGGCAUCGUCUUCCAGCCUAAUCCGGUGCAUACAAAUGGCCGGGCUGAUCCCCUUAAUGUCUGCGAUUGUCCAGCCUAUUGCCUCUUUAUGCUCCCGAAGGACCCGGAUCAAUUUCUCUUCCUGGGUCUUUGACAGUGCCGAUGAGAUAAUCACUGGGAGUGUCUCAUUAUCACCUAGGUAUGCGUAUUUCAGGUGCUCUGGUAGAGGUUUCAACUCCAGUACAGGUGCCUGCACCACAGAUGGCAAUACCCUCUGGUGAGCCUUGGGAGUAAAAAUAGGUAAGACUUCAUACCUUUUCGUGGUGGUCUGCAACGAGUGUAAUGCACCUAUUGUGCAUUUUAAAUCCUCGCUCCACUCCACCUCAGGAGUUGUCUCCAACUCGAGGUGCUUGGUUAAAGCCACCUCCAGCUCAUCCCUGCCAUCAGUUUCAAACACUUCCUGCACUACAGGGUCAAUAGCACUCACAGAAAAAACUGAGCUAAAGUUGGAGUUAGAGGGGUACUUCAUAGUAUCAAAAAUAUUAAAAUGCACAAUUUACCCAUCAAACUCCAUGGACAAGGUACCCUUAUUAACAUCAAUUUUCGUCUGCGCAGUGCUCAUAAAAGGUCUACCCAAUAACAAAGGUGAGGGAUCAGGGGAGUGAUCAUCAUCCAUAUCUAGUACAUAAAAAUCAGCUGGAAACACCAAAUCAUUAACCUUUACCAACACAUCUUCAAUCAACCCAUCAGGAUAUGCAUUAGUUCGGUCAGCUAAUUGAAUAAUUAUUCCAGUUUCUUUUAAUGGACCUAGUUUCAAAGAAGCAUAGAUAGAUUUAGGCAUGACAUUAAUUGAUGCUCCCAGAUCCAGCAUGGCCCUUCUGAUCACAGUAUUACCUAUCUUACAGGGAAUAGUAAACAUACCUGGGUCCCCGCACUUUGGUGGGAGCUUUCUCUGCAGGACCGCAGACACAUUUUCUCCAACUAUGACCCGUUCAUCUCCCCUCAACCGCCUUCGGUUGACACACAAGUCCCUUAGGAACUUGGCAUAUUUUGGUACUUGUUUGAUGGCGUCUAAGAGGGGGAUAUUUAUCUCAACCUUGCGAAAAACCUCCAAGAUCUCCUUCUCCUUAUCCUGCUUCUUCGAUUUUUCCAACCUGCUAGGAAAAGGAGGCGGGUUAGUUUUAACUGUAAUUAUUGGGUCAGGAAGUACCUCUGGAUCUGCACCAUUGCUGUCCUCCCUUUCGAGCUCAUUUUCGAUCUUCUCUUCAUCCUUGUCCUUGGGAAUCACAGGUUCAGGCCCCUGAAUUUCUUUCCCACUCCUUAGGAUCAUUGCGCUCACGUUCUUCGGAUUCAACUCCGGUUGAGAUGGCAGCUUCCCUUGGUUCUGGGACUCCCAACGGUUCAUUCUGGUGGCCAAUUGACCUAUCUGAUUCCUUAUGUCCUGCAUUUCGGAGUCCGUCUUUUGCUGAUUUUGCAUAAUAGCUGCCUCCGUCCUUUGCUGAUUCUGCGCCAUGGUUGUCAUCAUUUGUUUCAGCAUCUCAUCCGUAGAUGAACCAGAUUGAGGGAGCGGAGGUGGUCGGGGUUGGUAUUGCUGCUGGUACCCUGGUGGCUUAUUUGGCACAAAGUUAGACUGCCUGUUUGGCGUGAAGUUGGAUUGCCUAUUUCCACCAUAACUGAGGUUGGGAUGAUCUCUCCACCCGGGGUUGUAGGUGCUUGAGUAAGGGUCGUACUGCUUCCUUGGCGCGGGCGCGUGGUCAGCCAUGUUCACCUGUUCCGCAGUUUCUUCCUGAAUCAUUGGGCACAUGUCUGCAGAGUGACCUAUACCAGUGCAAAUCCCGCAUACCCUGGCUUGUGAUGCAUUUCUCACAGCCUAUUGCCUAACGAACGCAGUCAACUCAUUUAGCUGCUGCUGCACAGAGGGUGUCUCUAUCUCAUUCACCCUACGUAUUGGGACAUCCUAUCUUGUACUGAAUUGCUGUGAAUUCUCUGCCAUCCCCUCUAUUAACUCCCGUGCUUCCUGAGGGGUUUUGUUCACCAGUGCCCCUCCACUUGCAGCAUCAAUGAUGCUCCUGUCUCUAAAAAUGAGCCCCUCAUAGAAAUAUUGUAUGAUCAACUGCUCACUUAUUUGGUGAUGGGGGCACCUGCGCAACAAGCUCUUAUACCGUUCCCAAUACUCGUAAAGUGACUCCUCGGGAUGCUGCUUGAUCCCACAAAUUUCUUUCCUUAGACUCGCAGCCCUGGACGCAGGAAAAUAUUUAUCCAGAAAUUUUUUCUUCAAUUGGUCCCACGUGGUGAUGCUACCUGGUGACAGGUAGUACAGCCAGUCCUUCGCAGAAUCUUUCAAGGAGAAGGGGAAUGCCCUCAUUUUUAUCUGCUCUUCUGUGAUUCCCGGGGGUUUCAUACUGUUGCAAACGACAUCAAACUCCUGCAGAUGCUUAUACGGCUCUUCACCUGGUAAACCAUGAAAAGAGAGUAAAAGCUGAAUCAGACCAGAUUUUAGUUCAAAUGGAAUGUUGUCAUUUAAAGCUGGGAAAGUAAUGCAUAACGGCUGCUGAGUUAAAUCAGGAGCAGCCAACUCCCUUAAUGUUUAUGCAUUAGCCAUGGUGCCUUCCUGCUGGUCAGAGUCACUCGAAGUGUUACCAAACGAAUCUGUUGGUUCAACUUCUGACUCGGGUCUUUGAGAUGUAGCACUAGAGUGCUCUUCUCUGAGCUGUCUGGUUUCCUUUCUCGUUCUACGCGCGGUCUUCUCUACCUCAGGAUCAAAAACCAAAUCACCUGUGCGACAAGAUCGAGGCAUACACUAGAAGAAAACCAGAAAAUUAGGACAAAAUUGAAUUUAAGAAGAAACAAAUAAUAACGCCAGUCCCCGGCAACGGCGCCAAAAAUUGACAGGUCGUCAACCUGUGCAAUAAUAAAAUUAAACCUAAUUGCCAGUUAAAAUGACCAAAACCCAAUUCCAAGUACUGGAGCAGGGACUCUAGGUGUGCAAUGGGUUACUUGAUUCACCCUGUUCCCGAAGAGUUUGCUUGAUCCGAUAUACCCGAAUGGAAUGGUUAUUCCUUUUCACAAAUGAUUAGGAAUUUGUAGACAGGGCAAGUAGGGUCGUAUCCACAGAGACUGGGUAUAUUUGUUUCUUAAGAAAUCCAAAGUAACACAGGGGGUGAUUUUGUAGGAACGACGAUAAUUAAAUAAAUUCAAAUGAGAAAGUAAAAAUAAAUAAUUAACUAGAAAUUAAACCACAAUUUACUGAACUCAGGAUAACAAUAGUUAAAGGCCUCAAUUAAUUAAAAUAAGGAAACAAUCAAAAAUAAAAUAAAGUAGGUAAUUAAAAGUCAAAUGGCAAUCCACUACAAUCAAGGAAAUAUUAACUAAAGAUCUAGCCAAGAAAUAACUUCAGCAAUGGUUCACCUAAUCGAUCAUUGAUGCAAAGCAAUCCCAAUUAUUUACUAAUAAAUAGGUUAUAACUACCAAACAAGCGAUGGCAGUCAACCCCUCCUUACUGUGUCGGUGAUCAAGGUACGCCCGUUAAUCACUGCUCUAAUUGAGAAAUAAUCCUAGGUACGCCCGUAGAAUUUAAUUCCCCAACUGCCUUACGUAUUAGAGGAGCCCUAUUCUACCCAAAUAACACACUACCAGGGUUAUUUUAGAUUAGCCCGCGUAUCCCCCUGACACGAAUCUAAUCGUGCCAGUUGUCACUAAUUUGAGGUAAUUAAACAAUUACGGAUUCAAUACCCCAAUUGACAAUAGAUUAUCAAACCAAUGAAUUAUCCGGAUCCAAGACAAUCAACUAAUUAAAUAAUCAUAAGCACUGCAACCAAGGAAUAUGCGAAUACCAAUAAAUAAAGGAAAAGAUAAAAUUAAAUCGAUCUCACAAUUUACAGGUGAUCCAAAGCAUCAGUCGUUUCUUGACUAGAACGAGGGGGUUAGCUCAUAUUGGAUGAACUAAGCCCGCGGGAAAUUCCAGCAAAAGUCACGGCCGUUGUAUGCAUUUCAAGAGCCGCAAUUCGUCAAACACUUGGAAAGCGAAUGUAAGGCACGGGUAACAAUUGAAGCUUUCUAAUUGUUCCUAGCAUUCGUAAAGCAAAUUCACUCCAGAAGUACAGUGAGGAAAAGUCAAAGAAAGUGGGCUUCAAUUCCUUGCUCCUGACAUGCGUGGAGACAAGCCAAUGCAAGACUACAAUAAACUAACAAGGAAAAGUCAAGAAUUGGAGCUAAGCUCCCCUGCCAUGCGCAGGAAUCCGAAAAGUAAAAAGUAAAGCUUCAAAGAAAAGUCAACAAUUCUUCCUAAGCUACAGACGGAAGAUCCAGCACAAAAGCCAGCUCCCUUUUUUAUCCCUUUUUCCCCCUUCUUAUUGCGGCGGCUCACCAGGAGAGGAGAGCCCUCCGUCCGUCCUUUCUUCCGAAAAUUACCAAAAUGGGCAUGACAUCUUCUCUUCCAAAAGUGCCCCUGGGACAAGCUUUCUCAUCUGAAUUCUUUUUUUUUCCAAUUUGGCACCUGUUAUCAUAUUUAUAUUCUACUCCCUGAAAUAAACGUCAAAUACUAAAAGUGAGUAGAAUCCAGCAAAUAAAUCCACAUCAAGUCAGGUAAUAGGAGGAAUUAAUAAUAAAAUAAAUGAAUAAAUUGCACCCUAUCAGAAAAAUGCAAAAAUUUGUUAUUUAUCAUUAAGGAUCAUAUCGCAUAUAACAUCAAAAAAUAGUAUAUUAUUUAUAUCUUUCACUUAAUAUAAUAUCCAAAUUACUCUUUUCAGUUACAUACCCAUUGUUAGACAAAAUCAACAACAAAUAACCAAAAAAUUUGCAACCAAAAUAUUACCAAAAAAAUAAACUUUAACAUCAUAAAUAUUUUUAUCAACAUAUUAAAGUUAGUUAUUGAAAUUUUUAUGGUGUUAAACUUCACUCUUAGCAAUAUUUUGGUUACAGAUUUUUUUGAUUAUUUAUUGUUGAUCGUGUUUGACAAUGGAUUUGUAACUGAAAAGAAUAAUUUGAAUCUUACAUUAAGUGAAAUAUAUAAAAUAUUAUACUAUUUUUUAUGGCAUAUGUGAUUCUUUUUUUUUUUUUUAUCAGAACGGCAACAUUGUAUUAAUAGUAAACCAAUUACAGUAUAGGUGGGCAACCGCCCUCACAAUCUGCCUGGACUUGUUCCAGCAGCCAAACUGGGAAGUUUUCCUUCCAUUCAGUAUUUUGUUCCAAAGUAAUAGCUACUUUAGCUAGUUUAUGGCUAACAAAGUUGUUCACCCUAUUUGCAAAGGUAAAACAACAUUCAUCAAAUUUUAUUCAUGUACAAUUGUUGCUAUCACCACGUCCUCCUCCUCCUCCUCACUGCACACUACUUGACUACCACCCUUCGCCAACCUUGCUGUUGCAUGUGCAACUAUCAUGGCCUCUCUUAGCGCCUUUGCUUCUUCGACCUUUGGACUGGCACAGCUAAAAUUUGGAACAGCCCAGGCCCACCCGCAAUCUUCCCAACCAAUCCCUGGCCACCCUUUUCCCACCCAGCUUCUAUGGCAUGUGUGAUUCAAUCCUUCUUGAUAGGAUUGGUAAUAGAGGCAGAGGGGGGAGCCGGCUGCAUCCGGUCUACUUUUCAUAGAUAGUACAAUAUUGCGAAAUCGAUCGCAUUCACACAAGAAUAUUUCGAAGUCAUUGCAUCGCUAAGUUGCAAAAAAGUACAAACACUUGUUAUUAUAUAGCUUAAGAUUCAAAACUUUAGAGCACAACCCUCCACCUAACACAAUUGAAUAAUGAAUAUUCACGAUUGUCAAAUCUGUCAAAGCACAGUUUGAGGACAACCCAUUCCAACCUGCAAAAGAUUUUUGACUUUUUUAAAGUUGUUGAGAGCUGUAAAAAGACUUACCAUGCUUACAUCUUCCGAGCCUUGGGAGUUAAAAAUGAAGGCACUGAGUGCUAUAAAAAGGGGGCUAGAGGCUGCCUAGAAGCAUAUCAGCCUAAAACAAGAAUUUGUAGUUAUGAUGGGAAGCAAAGCAAAAGCAAUGGGGUCUGGGCUGACUCCUCUUCUUACCACUGUUUUAGUGGUAUUUGUUGCUCUUGGCUUGCCCUCAGAAACUGCAGCUGAUGAUCACUACAAGUAUUCAUCUCCUCCUCCUCCUUACCACUAUCCCUCACCACCACCUCCAGUGCAUUUACCUCCACCAGUGUACAAAUACAAGUCCCCACCACCACCUCAUCAUGUUUACAAGUACAAAUCUCCACCACCCCCACCACCACACCCAGUUUACAAGUAUAAGUCGCCACCACCACCUCCUCAUCCGGUAUACAAGUACAAGUCUCCUCCGCCACCUCCUCAUCCGGUACCACACCCAGUUUACAAGUAUAAGUCACCACCACCACCUCCUCAUCCGGUACCACACCCAGUUUACAAGUAUAAGUCUCCUCCGCCACCAGUUUACAAAUAUAAGUCUCCUCCACCACCACCUCCAGUGUACAAAUACAAGUCUCCACCACCACCAGUUUACCACUACAAGUCUCCACCACCUCCUCCCCCAGUUUACAAAUACAAGUCUCCACCACCACCACCACCAGUUUACCACUACAAGUCACCACCACCUCCUCCCCCAGUUUACAAAUACAAGUCUCCACCACCUCCUCACCACUACUAAGCAAUUGCUUCUGAGGUAAUAACACUUGUUCAAUAUACCCACUUCUGCAUGAUAAAGCAUAUCUCUAUCAACACAAACUGUCAUGUCUAUCAUGCUAAGUGCCUUCACUUCAUCCACCAAAAUGACUGCUAGAAAAUUUUUUUUAUGUUACCAAAGAAAGGCAUCAUUUUUUCCCUCUGUUAUCAAGAACUUGUACAGUAUAUAGAUUAAAGAGUAUUUUUUUAACUAGCUUAUCAACUGAGAAAUGCAUAUAGCUGAUAGCCAGCUGAAUAUUUGCAGGCAAAGGAGAAGGAAACCAGUGUUUGAGACCUUCUUGAAGAUGUAGAAGCAUAAGAAUUAAAGCCCAAUGUGAAGAUGAUGAUUUCAAGUUUUUCUACGUUACCAUUUCUUUAUCUAAAUUGGUUGUAGCGCCUUAGUUCCUUUGUUUAUGGGAUUUGUAUCGUUUUACGUACCAUGCAGUACAUGUCAUGUUUGUAAGGUUUUCUAUCCUGCCGGCAAACCGCAGGUUCCAUGUAAUAAAUCAAUACUAUUUAUAUUACGACACUUUUCUCUGUUUCUCUUAUAUUUUGUCGUCUUUAAUAUUCUUAAUCAUAUUUUUAACAAAAAUAUUCAAACACUUAGGCAAUCUGGUCUAAUGCUAAUUGUAUGUUUUACUUUUCUUUUUCACCUGCUCCCCUUUUCAACUCAAAAGGAUGCAAUAGUUUGUGAUCACUGUUGAAGACGGAAGCAUGAUACUAAUGAAUAUAUCAUUGAAACUCAAGGAAACUAACAUUAUGAAAAGUGUAAAUCUUGAUUUGAUGCAACUAUUUAUUCGUGGAAUCUAUAGUUACAAAACUCAAACUCUGACUGCGCCAUUGAUAAAUUAUUAAUGACGCUAUCAUCAUUAUUUAUCCCCAACUAGUUUCGACUACAACUGAACCCAAUAUUUUCCCCAUGAUAAAAGUUUUUUACUAUUUUACUGGCCUCUCUUCAAAUUUUAAAAAUUACACUAAUCUUCAUUGAGAUUAAUUAUCUUGUAGCAUUUAAGUCCAAUUAAUAAUUAAAAAAUAAUAUUAUGAGAGAGAAAAUAAUAUAAUUUUAUCAUUGCCCCCCAUCUUGCUAUAUUAUUUAAUUAAUUUAAUAGCAACCCACACAUUAAAGAAAAAUACUAAAAUUUGCUGCUUUUCAUUAAAGAUCAAAUUGCAUAUGCCAUAAAACAUAGUAUAUCAUUCUAUAUGUUUCACUUAAUGUAAGAUCCCAAUUGUUCUUUUCAAUUACAAACCCAUUGUCAAACAUGAUCAAUAACAAAUAACCAAAAAAUUUGCAACCAAAAUAUUACAAAAAAAAACUUUAACAUCAUAAAUAUUCUUACCACCUCUAGUGCAUUCACCCUCAUAAAAUAAUUCAAGACCCUACUGUCAUAAAAUGACUGAUCAACUCCUGUAAACCUAAUUUGACAACAUUUAAAUGGAGAACUUUAGCUAAAAGAAUUAUGGUCAAGCUAAAGAAAAAACCAGUUAUUUUCCAACAUAUGCAAUCAUUGAUCAGGGAAAAAAAAAAGAAGCAAAAAGACAUCUUCAAUCAUUUAAUAGCUUACAGGGCAAAUUAACCCCUAAGCGAAAACUGGUUGCUCUAGAAUCAAAAUUUUACUUUAGUUACCCAGGCAACUUUUUUUGUUGCCUUUUCUUUUUCUUUUUUGGGUAUAUAUAUAGCUCCAGUUUUGCCCCCUCUGUCAAGCUUAUAUAAUUAUUAAGAUAAUAAAAGUGCCUUUAAUAGUAUUAAUAUAUCCAUUGACUUGAGCUGUCAUCGAUCGGUUUGGGCUACUUCGAUUCCAUGAGAACAAAUGGUAAUAAAAGUACUCAGAAAAUGGGGAGUCAUGAAACCCUUUUGUUCUAUUCAUUGCUAAGAUGCUUUUCUCUAUAAAGACACUUCCUAACGAAAAUACUUUGUAGAUUUCUUUACUCCAAGUGGUGCAUGGAAAAUUAAUAUUUUCAAUUAUCAAAUAAAAUUCCCUUUUUUCGGUGUAGAUUUCAUCCAUUCAGCUGUUAACACUCCGAAUUGACUAAUCUUUUCGUUUCCAUUUUCCAACUUGCGAAUACGGCAUCUUACAUAUUGUCUGCUGAAUAUGAAUACAUAUCCCUUUUCUGAGCAGGUGCAGAGUCAUUAUCAUUUUUAUUCCCACCUAACAAAUUAGUUAAUAAUCUUUUAAAGAACAUGUUAAAUUAAUUUAUUGGUAUGAAUAGUAGUCAAAGAAGUAUGUUAAAGUUAGUAAUCUUUAAAAUAAUAUGUUAAAAUUAUUCGUACAAAUUAGCCAGAGAAGUAGCAUAAACACCGCGAUGCAAUUAAUACUUUCAAUCUCAAGGUCUCUAUUAUGGAAAUUUGCAUCGGUCAACAUACACAAAGCAUUAUUGUAUGCACGUCUCUCUAUUAUGGAAAUUUGCAUAGGUCAAUAUACACUUGGCAUAGUUGCAUGCACGUCCAAUUUUUUUUUAUUUUUAUUUUUGGUAUUUUACUUCCUGCCUUAAGUUGCCUGCAGAUGUUUGUAUUACAAAUAUAUGGUAUACUAAAUAUAUAGUAUGCACAUUAAUUUCUUUGGGUUGCUUAAGGGUAUAUUGUUAAUAAUAGGGGGUUUAACCAUAAAUUAUAACAAUGAUGAAGUAAUAUAUAUUAGAAAAUUAACACAAUUAUGAUUUUUUUUUUUGUAAAAUUCAAAUUUUAUUAAUAAGAAAUGAAAUAGGCAGUAAGCAUUUACAAACCGAAAACAAAAUCCUACAACAACUCUAGGACUCUACACCUUAUUAAAAAAAAACAUUUUGAUAGCGUUUUUCCAAAAGCAGAAGAUGGAAAAUUGCCCAUUUGUACUGGGGAGUUCGUGAUCUUUUCCUCAUUCUAGUCUACUUACAAUUCUUGGAAAAAGGAAUACUCACAUCUCAAACAACAGCCUGUUCAUCUGCAGUGUCCUGCCGAAUUCUAGAAAGUUUGGUGGCAAUGUUAAUUACAUUUCAAAAUUGACUGCUGCGAUAACUAAUUCGAUGGCUUACUACAUGGUCAACGUUUGGAUCUCUUCCUGUCCUUUUUGGAUGCACAUUUUUUUUCUCUAGGUAAUAUAUAAUCUCCCAACUCAUUUCUUUACAAAUGCACCUUUAAUCACCACCAAAAGGUGUGGACAUGAUCUUUACCCUAGAAAACUAUUCACCGACAGGCAAAUUGACGUCAGAAAUACUAAGAGGAAUUCUAGUUUCCUUCGGGUUAAUGCCAUUUUGUACCCUUCAACUGUAACUCAAUUUCUAAGCUGUAAUUUGUGACAUUAUAGUCCUUAAACUAUGAAACCCUUUCUUAUUUAAUUACAAUGGUUAAUACAAUGCCCGUGACUAGACAAGUAUGAAGCAACCAUAACAAAAAAAAAAUCCAAAAUUAGAGAAAAGAAAGAAGUUGCGACCAAAGUAUGUAUCAAGGCAUAGUAUAGAAAUAAAAGUGUCAAAAUUAAGAGUUUAGGGAUAAAAAAGAAUCAAAAUAUAGUUUAGGAAUUGAUUUGUCUCAAUUAGAGUUUAGAUGUCAACUAAGAAGAGAGAUAUAGUUGAAGGGUAGAAUAUAGAUAUAACAGUUCAAUGAUUGAUAUCAACGAGACAAUGACAACUUUGGAUUAUUACCAACCUCUUCUUGAUGGAAAAGGAAAUAGAGAAGAAAGUCGGGCCUGGUCUAAGCCUGUUUCGGAGGCAAAACAACAUUAUGAAAUCACCGGCAUUCACACAAAUAUGUCAAAGUCACCGGCAUGCUAAGUUGCAAAAUUUAUACAAACACUGAAUAUUAUAUUCUUCUCAAAAUUUUUGUUUAAGAUUUAACAAUUAGAGCACGGUACACGAAUUAGCAAUAUUAAAUAAUGAAUGUUCACGAUUGAUAAAGUUAUCAAAGUACAGUUUGAGGACAACCCAUUCCAACGUGUACAAGAUGUUUAGCCUUUGAAAAGUUAAUUAGAGAAGGUGACGAGAUUUUACUAGGCUUACAACUUCUAGGCCUUGGGAGUAAAAAGUGAAGACACUGAGUGCUAUAAAAAGGGGGCUAGAUGUUGCCUAGAAGCAUAUCAGCCUCGGACCACAUUUUGUAGCAAUGGGGAGCAAAGCAAAAGCAAUGGGGUCUAGGCUGACUCCUCUUUUUACCACCGUUUUAGUGGUAUUUGUUGCACUUGGCUUGCCUUCAGAAACUGCAGCUGAUUACGACAAGUAUUCACCUCCUCCUCCUCCUUACCAUUAUUACUCACCACCACCUCUUGUGCAUUCACCUCCACCACCGCCAGUUUAUAAGUCACCCCCACCACCUUAUCACUACUUCUCACCACCACCUCCAGUGUAUCCAUCUCCACCACCAUCUGUUUACAAGUCACCUCCACCACCUUCGCCAGUAUACAAGUCCCCACCACCACCUUAUCAAUAUUCCUCACCACCACCUCCAGUGCAUUCACCUCCACCACCACCGAUUUAUAAGUCACCUCCACCACCUCCUCCAGUUUACAAGUCCCCGCCACCACCUUACCAUUAUUCCGCACCAUCACCUCCAGUGCAUUCACCUCCACCACCACCGAUUUACAAGUCACCUCCACCACCUCCUCCAGUUUACAAGUCUCCAUCACCACCUUACCAUUAUUCCUCACCACCACCUCCAGUGCAUUCACCCCUACCACCACCGGUUUACAAGUCUCUGCCACCACCUUACCAUUAUUCCUCACCACCACCUCCUAUGCAUGCACCUCCACCACCAAUAUACAAGUCACCUCCACCACCUCCUCCAGUUUACAAGUCUCCACCACCACCUUACCAUUAUUCCUCACCACCACCUCCAGUGCAUUCACCCCUACCACCACCAGUUUACAAGUCUCCGCCACCACCUUACCAUUAUUCCUCACCACCACCUCCUGUGCAUGCACUGCCACCACCAAUUUACAAGUCACCUCCACCACCUCCUCCAGUUUACAAGUCCCCACCACCACCUUACCAUUAUUCCUCACCACUACCUCCAGUGCAUUCACCUCCACCACCACCGAUUUACAAGUCACCUUCACCACCUCCUCCAGUUUACAAGUCUUCACCACCACCUUACCAUUAUUCCUCACCACCACCACUCUUCAAUUUGGAUGUAAUUCAAUUUUCCUUGUAAUCGGUGGCCCUCCUUCGGAAUCCAAAUAGUCAUUGAGUGCAGCCUUCUUUCUUUAUUUUUUACUCAUUUUCACCUCAUAAAUUGCUUUCAUCCCCUAAAACUUGUUCGCUGGAAUUUUGAAUUUACCCAUACAACUAAACUCAGAAAAUUCUUACACAAAGGGAUUAGUAGCAUGAAUAGCAAACACAGAAUAAGAGAUAACAGUAUGUUUUAUUGUAUUAAAAAUAUUAAAGUGGAUUAUUUCUCCAUCGAAUUCCAUUGUGAGAGUAUCGUUACUAACAUCAAUCUUAGUUUGAGCAGUACUCAAGAAUGACCUUCCUAAUAUAAUGGGUGAUGGAUUUGGGACACUUUCAUCAUCCAUAUAAAACACAUAAAAAUCAACAGAAAAAAUUAAUCCAUCUACUUGAACUAAAAACAUCCUCAACUACCCCAUUUAGAUAAGCAAAUAUACGAUCAGCCAAUUGAAUUAUUAUCCCUAUUUCUUUUAAAUGUUCUAAAUUUAGGGAAUCAUAAAUUGAUUUAGACAUCACAUUAAUAGAAAUCUUUAAAUCUAUCAUGGCAUUUUUUAUAUUAGAAUGUCCAAUCUUACAUGAGAUAGUAAACAUACCUAGAUUCUCGCAUUUAGGUGGUAGUUUCCUUUGUAAAAUUGCUGAAACGUUCUCAUCUACCACAAUAUGCUUGUCCUCCUCAAUUUCUUCUUGUUGACACACAAGUUUUUCAAGCAUUUAACGUAUUUUGGAACUUAUUUGAUUUGCGUCCAACAAAGGGAUAUUGAUUGCCACCUUGCGAAAAUCUCUAAAAUCUCCUUUUCUUUAUCUUGUUUCUUUGAUUUCUCUAACCUGCUUGGAAAAGGUGGUGAGUUAGUUCCAACUCUAAUUAUAGAAUCAACAAUUACCUUUGGAUUCACAUUUCUCAUUCCUUCCUCCUCAAGCUCUUUGUCGAUUCGAUCUUCAUUUUUAUCCUUUGGAAUCACAACUUCGGAUCCCUGAAUUUUCUUCUCGCUCCUUAAGGUCAUUACACUUACAUUCUUCAGGUUCAGUUCAGGUUGAGACGACAAUUUUUCAUAGAUUUGGGAUUCCAGGCGGUUGAUUGCUAUUACCAUCUGACUCAUCUGACUCUGCAGUGCUUGCACCUGUCCCAAUUGAUUCCUCAUACUUUGCAAGUCAAAAUCCAUCUUUUGUUGAUUAGCAAUUAAUUGCUUCAUUAUCUCUUCUAUAGAUGGACUUGAGUUUGAAAGAGGUGGUGGCGGGCGAGACUGAUACUGUUAUUGAUACCCUUGCUAUCUAUUUGGUGCAAAAUCUGGCUACCUAUUUCCUCCAUAGCUGAGGUUGGGAUGAUCUCUCCAACCAAUAUUGUACGUAUUCGUGUACGAGUCGUAUGGUUUUCUUGGCACGGCGCGUGACCAGCCAUGUUCACUUGCUCCGUACUUUUCUCUUGAAUCAUUGAGCACAUCUCUGUAGAAUGACCCAUAGCAGUGCAGAUCCCACACAUCUUGACUCGUGAUGCAUUUCCUAUAGCUAAUUGCCUAACAAAGGAUGUUAAUUCGGUCAACUGCUGUUGGAUAGAAUAUGUUUCUACCUCAUUUACUUUGCGUGUUGGGGCAUCCUCCCUCGUACCAAACUGUUGCGAAUUUUCCGCCAUUCCUUCAACUAGCUCCCACGCUUCUCGAGAAGUCUUGUUCACCAAUGCCCUUCUACUUGCAGCAUCAAUUAUACUCCUGUCUCUAAAACGCAGCCCCUCGCAAAAAUAUUGGAUGAGCAAUUGCUCACUUAUUUGGUGUUGAGGGAACUUGAUGCAUAACUUCUUGAAUCGCUCCCAAUAAUCAUAAAGCGACUCUCCUGGAUGCUACUUGAUACCGUAUAUCUCCUUCCUUAGACUUGCAGCUCGAGAUGCAAGAAAAUAUUUGUCCAAGAACUUUUUCUUCAGCUGAUCCCACGUGGUGAUGCUACCUGGUGGUAGAUAGCACAGCCAGUCUUUUGCGGAGUCCUUCAAGGAGAAGGGAAAUGCCCUCAUUUUUAUCUAUUUUUCUGUAAUUCUCGGAGGUUUUAUGCUGUUGCAAACGACAUCAAACUCUUGCAAGUGCUUAUACGGUUCCUCACCUGGUAAACCAUAGAAAGAUGGCAAGAGAUGAAUUAGACCAGAUUUUAACUCAAAUGAAGUGUUAUCAUUUAAAAAUAGAAAAGUAACUGAGAUGCAGCACUGGAAUGUUCUUCUCGAAAUUGUCUGGUCUCUUUCUUUGUUCUACGCGUAGUCUUCUCUACCUUAGGAUCAAAAAUUAAUUUACCUGUACGAGAAGAACGAGGCAUACACUAGAAAAACACUAGAAAAUUAGAACAAAAAUGAACAUAAAAAGAAACAAAUAAACCAACGUCAGUCCCCAGCAACGGCGCUAAAAAUUGACAAGUUGUCGAUGCCUGUGCAAUAAUAAAAAUAAACCUAGUUACCAAUUAAAAUAAUCAGAGCCUAAUUCUGAGUACUAGAGCAGGGACUAUAGGUGUGCAAUGGGUUACUUGAUUCACCCUAUUCCUGAAGUUUGCUUAACCCGAUAUACCAGAAUGAGAUUGCUUAUUCAAAAGGAAUUAUUGAUUUGUAAACAGGGCAAGUAGGGUCGUAUCAUCAGGGAUUGAAAAAAUUUGUUUCUUUUCAAAUCCACAGUAACAAGGGGAUGUUUUUGUAUAAAUGAUAACAAUCUAAGGAGUGCAAAUAGAAAUAAAUAGAUAACUAGAAAUUAAAUGACAAUUCACUAAAAUUAGAGUAAUAAUAAUUAAAGGUCUAGCUAAGAAAUAACUUCAGCAAUGGUUCACCUAAUUGAUCAUCGACGCAAAGGCAAUUCCAAUUAUUUACUAAUAAAUAGGUUAUAACUGCAAAACAAGCAAUGACAGUCAACCCCUCCUUACUGUCGGUCGGUGAUUAAGGUACGCCCAAUCACUGCUCUAGUUGAGAAAUAAUUUUAGGGACGCUCGUAAGAUUUAAUUUUCCAAUUGCCUUACGUAUUAGAGGAGCCAUAAUCUAACCAAAUAACGCUACCAGGAUUAUUUUAAAUUAACCCGUGUAUUCCCUUGAUACAAAUUCAAUCAUGUCAGUUGUCACUAUUUCAAGGUAAUGAAACAAUUACGGAUUUAAUAUCCUAAUUGACAAUAGGUUACUAAAUCAAUUCACUAUUUCGAUCCAAGAUAAUCAAUCAAUUUAACAACUAAUAGCACUGCAAUCGGAGAAUAUGUAAAUACCAAUAAAUAAGAGGAAAAGAUAAAAUUAAAUCGAUCUCACAAUUUUUAAACAAAUCAAAGUAUCCGUUGUUUCUUGACUAGAAAAGAAAAUUUAGUUCAUUCCUAAUGUGAAAGACCCACGUGAGAAUUCAAAAAUAAUAUUCACGGAUAUUGUCUUGAUUCAAUAGAUUCAAUUGCGUUGGAAUAAGGAUAAAAAGCCAAACUAUAGAGAGUGAUUCAAUGUUUUGUUUCGUUUGCAUUUUUUCUACACAUAUGGAAGAAGAAAAACAACUAAAGGACGAAAAAAAAAAGUCAAAGAAAGGCACCCAAAGUAGUGCUUGGUCUCUACCAUCCUAUUUCCUAUCUAAUUACUACUUCCCUUCUGCGGCUGCCUAGAGGAAGAAAGAGAAAGCAGACUUCAGGUCUUGUUCCAUCUCCUCCCUUUUCGGCAAUUCCCCAAAAGUAGAAAAGUUCCUCCGUUUACCAAAAUGCCCCUGGAAUGAGGACUGCUACUUGAACUCAUUUUCUUGAUAACUGUCAAAUUAGCACUUGUUAUGGUAUUUGCGUCUACUUCCUGUAAUAAAUGUAAAUUGCCAAAAGUGAGUAAACUGAUAAUUAAUUUACAUCAGGUCAGGUAAUAGGAAAAAUUAAUUAUAAAAUAAAUGAUAAAAUUGCAACCUAUCACUUAGAAUAACCAGAAAUAAAACAAAACAAGAAAUGAAAGAAAUAAGAGGGUAGCAUAGACAUUUUGGAUUUUUCUGUUAAUUUGGAUGAUUUCCACCUACGGUCUAAUUUAAUCCAAAACACAAAUGGAUUAUGUGGAGAUUUUUAAACAAUGAGGGAGUAUCGUGACCGAAUCCCAAACCACAAAGGGGAUUUACUAUAUUUUACUCUUAAAUUUUGGUUUCAUCUCAUAGCAUACAAGAGUACUAUUUCACUGUCUGUCGACCAGGGAGGAGGGUUGGGUUGGGUGGUACGGGGGAGGGAGUCUAAGUAAGAGGUCUCAGGUUCGAAUCCUCCUGUUUAUACUAAAAAAAAAAAUUUACUAUCUGUCGACAAAGAUUUUCUAUGGUUGAUGUACCAUAGGAAAAAUCUGCCUAUACAAUUAUUUGGAAAAAUUAUCCAUCCAAACAUAGUCACGAUAGCAUUUUUUCAAAAACACUAGAUGCAAAAUUGUCCCCUUAAACGUGGAAAUUCAUGAUCUUUCCUCGACUAGUCUACUUGUCAAUUUUUGAAAAAAGAAUACUCACGCCAAAAACACGGCCUCUUCAUCUGCAGAAUUCUAAAAAGUUACGUAAACUCUAUAAACAAGUUGAUAGGUACAAUCGUACCCAAGAUCAAGUACAGAUAGUUGUACAUUCACUGCUGCAAUAACUAAUCUGAUGACUUACAAACACAUCAUGGUCAAUCGUUGAAUGGUAAUGAGUCUUUUGUUAUGCAUUAGUAUUAGUGUGUACACUCUAAUAGAUUGAUACUUAUACUCUUUAAAUUAUCAUAAUAAUACCCUUAAUUAACUUUAACCCUUAAAAAGAAUACGUGUUAAUACACGAGAGUGUGUAACCUGAAUUGUUACUUAUACAUUAGUGUGUAAUAGAACGGCAAGCAUUAUGGUGGUCAUUGAGCAACUUAUAGGAGAAAUAGUCCUAUAAGCUGUUCAAUGACCAAUCACAACUUGCUAAUUGGAUGACUAAUAUAGCUCUAGCUGUAAUGUUUUAAUUAAAUUCCACACUAACGUUGGGAUGACUUUUUAAUCAAAAAAAAAAAAGCCUUAGUUCAAGCUUUUCCCCUUAUUGUGCAUUUUUUAAAACAUUUGAUAGGCACUGCAAAUCUGUCAUUUUGGACAUUUUAUUAUUAACUAACAAUGAAAGCCGUGGACAUCAACCCAUAUCCAACAAAAUAUUAAAUUAAUAUUAGAAAAAUUAUUAAGUAAUUGGAAAAAAAAAAGAAGAGGCUAAUUUUCAUUGAAACCCACCGACAAACUAUCCGUGUCCAUAGCUUUUGAAUAGUGCAUUCAACGUUUAAUUGUAUGGUCCAGUUCAUUGCCGAUUACAUGGAGUAAAGAUUGUGCUCUUUCCUUUUUCACCCCUUUUGGAAUCGAUACUGUGGAGAAUUGGGUUUUUCCCUCCUUUUUUUCUUUUCUUUCCUUCUGUGCUUUGCAAAACAUACGUAAAAAUAUGAAAUCCGAAGCAUUCUUUAAUUGGGAUUAAGUAUUGUUGUUGAAAUUAAAAAGAAGAAAGAAAGAACAACAAAAAUCCCAAUCUGGGUUGAUUGUUGAGCUCUAGAUUGGCUGCAUCGUGCUUCCAUAGAAGUUCUCUUAGUGUGAUACGCUGCUUUCAAUCAGUUUUAAUAUUUAAGUAGAGUGCAAAAUAACUUUACUAUUUAAUGGGUUAUAAUGCACCAUUUGGUACCUCUCACCCACCUAUGAUUUGAUUUACUACUGGCAUGGUAAUGGACAGAGUUGGGGGAGCAGGAGGAGGGAGAUGGCGGUACCAGUCCGUCAACCACAGCACACCCUCCCUCGGACUUUGCGUGGUAGCGAAGUGGAGGCAGAUCGAGCACACAUGCACUAACGCCUUAAGUAUGUACAAUAUAUGUAUGCCAAAAGCAUAGCCAAGCCUACCAGCGCAUUUCAAUAAUAUAACCCGGAAAUUAAGGGCAUUGAAUUAAGUACGAUGAAUCAUAUUGGUGCACAAUUACAGUUUGAAGCUACCGAUUCGAGUAAAUUUAAGCGUAAGCACAAUCAAUCGCCAGUCAAAUGCUGAAAUAUGCAUAUGCAUGGAUGAAUGUAUGGGUUUCUUAGUUCCAGACCAAAGGCCAACAAUAAGGGAAGGAAGGACAGUUCUCAUUUUUAGCACGGACAAGGAGAUGAAGAAAAGUGUAUGUAGCUUGAGACAGAACAAUGGCAUGUGACCGCUCCUGAGACCACAUAACGUGGGGUGGGGAUGGGACGGCCAAGAAUGAAGAUGCCUGUCGGUCUCUCCGUGCUGCUACCAUAUGAAUCCCCCGUUAACCAAUUCAAGAUAAGCCUGAAGUUCUUUUCAUCCCCAAACCCUGUCCCAUCUGUGUAAAUCCAACAUCAUCAUUUACGACCUGCAACUCAGGUUAAGCAUGUUCUAUUGAGAUUCAGACACCACCCUUCAAAAGAUAUACUACUGUGAAACCAGCAGCUUAAUAUCAUUGUAUAAAAAAAAAAAAAAAAGAAAGAAGAAAAGACAUGAAAAGCAAAUUUUGUGGGGAUAAUUUCAAAAUCUCUCCUAAAGUUUUUUACUAUUUUACUGGCCUCCUUUCAAAUUUUAAAAAUUACACCAGUCUUCCUUGAGAUUAUUUAUCUUGUAACAUUGAGGUCCAAUCAAUAAUUAAAAAAUGAUAUUAUGAGAGAGAAAAAAAAUAAACUUUAACAUCAUAAAUAUUCUUAUCAACAUAUUAAAGUUAGUUACUGAAAUUUUUAUGGUGUUAAACUUCACUCUUUGUAAUAUUUUAGUUACAGAUUUUUUGAUUACUUGUUGUUGAUUUUUUUUUUUUUAGUGUAAACAGGAGGACUCGAACCUAAGACCUCUCACUUACACUCCCUCCCCCCGUACCACCCCAACCCAACCCAACCCUCCCCUCGUUGUUGAUCAUGUUUGACAAUGGAUUUGUAAUUGAAAAGAACAAUUUGGAUCUUACAUUGAGUGAAAUAUAUAGAAUGAUAUACUAUUUUUUAUGGCAUAUGUGAUUCAAUCCUUGAUGAUAAAAGCAAAUUCAAGUGUUUUCUUUAAUGUUUGUGCUGAUAUUAGAUUAAUUAAAUAAUUUAGUAGAUGAAGGAAAAUGGUGAAAUCAUAUUAUCUUCUCUUUCCUAAUAUCACUAUUUAAUUAUUGAUUGAACUUAGAUAUUACAAAUAAUAAAUCUCAAGGGAGAUUAGUAUAAUUUUCAAAUUUUGGAGAGAAGCUAAUGAAAUAGUCAAAAACCUUAAGGGAGGUUUACAAAAUUAUCCCAAAUUUGUGGGAAUUAGAAUAAUUGUACUGGACGGCACUGCCGCAACAGAGGGAAAGAGGAGGAGGUGCAGUUAACUUUUUGUUGUUUGAAAUCCUUGGUGAAAUAUUACAGAAAGACAGAUAAAACAGUUAGUACAUAGAUGUAUAUGACAGGGAAAAUGGUACGUCUGUUAAUCACAUUUGAAACACUUUCAUUGGUGAAUGACGAAAACUAUCAGGCUUGCCCAAUAGUUGAUCAUUGACCAAGACAAAUCUUGCCAUGCUAGAGGUACCAUCUUUUCGUACCUCUUUAGUGCACAGGACAUUCCUUUGUUUCAUCUAGCUAAUAAUCUACCAACUCAUUUCUUUGCAAAUGCACCUUUUAUGGUCACGUCUACGAAAGCUUUACAGGAUCUUUACCCAAAAAAUCAAUUCACCGACUCGCAUUUGAUGUCAAAAUUUCUUUACUUUACUCCAAGAUUGACUGUUAAUAAUAAUGCCACUUUGAAUUAUCACACCAUCCUUCUUGAUAGGAUUUGUGCUAGAGGUAGGGAGGGAGUCGCUGCAGCCGGUCUUCUCUUCAUAGACAGUACAAUAUUGCGAAAUCGAUCGCAUUCACGCAAUAUUAUAUUUCCAAGUCGUUGCAUGGGUAAGCUGCCAAAAAGUACGAACACAUGUUAUUAUAUAGCUUAAGAUUCAAAACUUUCGAGCAUAACCCUCCACCUAACACAAUUGAAUAAUGGAUAUUCACGAUUGUCAAAUCUGUCAAAGUACAGUUUGAGGACAACCCAUUCCAACCUGCAAAAGGUUUUUUUACUUUUCUAAAGUUGUUGAGAGCUGUUAAAAGAUUUACCAUGCUUACAUCUUCCGAGCCUUGGGAGUUAAAAAUGAAGGCACUGAGUGCUAUAAAAAGGGAAUAGAGGCUGCCUAGAAGCAUACCAGCCUAAAACAAGGAUUUGUAGUUAUGAUGGGAAGCAAAGCAAAAGCAAUGGGGUCUGGGCUGACUCCUCUUCUUGCCACUGUUUUAGUGGUGUUUGUUGCUCUUGGCUUGCCCUCAGAAACUGCAGCUGAUGAUCACUACAAGUAUUCAUCUCCUCCUCCUCCUUACACUAUCCCUCACCACCACCUCCAGUGCAUAUACCUCCACCUCAUCCUGUUUACAAGUACAAAUCUCCACCACCCCCACCACCACACCCAGUUUACAAGUAUAAGUCACCACCACCACCUCCUCAUCCGGUACCACACCCAGUUCCUCAUCCGGUGCCACACCCAGUUCCUCAUCCGGUGCCACACCCAGUUUACAAGUAUAAGUCACCACCACCACCUCCUCAUCCGGUACCACACCCAGUUCCUCAUCCGGUACCCACACCCAGUUUACAAGUAUAAGUCACACCACCACCUCCUCAUCCGGUACCACACCCAGUUUACAAGUAUAAGUCACCACCACCACCUCCUCAUCCGGUAUACAAGUAUAAGUCUCUCCGCCACCAACACCCAGUUUACAAGUAUAAGUCACCACCACCACCUCCUCAUCCGGUGCCACACCCAGUUUACCACUACAAGUCACCACCACCACCUCCUCAUCCGGUACCACACCAGUUUACCAUACAAGUCACCACCAAUCCUCACCCAGUUUACAAAUACGAGUCUCCACCACCUCCAGUUUAUAAGUACAAGUCACCACCACCUCCUCCACCAGUUUACAAGUAUAAAUCUCCUCCACCACCACCACCAGUUUACCACUACAAGUCUCCACCACCUCCUCCCCCAGUUUACAAAUACAAGUCUCCACCACCUCCUCACCACUACUAAGCAAUUGCUUCUGAGG
This 124150-nucleotide long non-coding RNA is filed under the name Coffea arabica (coffee). RNAcentral describes it as "long non-coding RNA (CARA_LNC007267)". The stretch from base 116934 to 117040 matches the Rfam family "Plant small nucleolar RNA R71". The record is from RNAcentral. Lineage: Eukaryota; Viridiplantae; Streptophyta; Magnoliopsida; Gentianales; Rubiaceae.